RNAcentral lists this long non-coding RNA (133829 nucleotides) under Vitis vinifera (wine grape). Its description in RNAcentral is "long non-coding RNA (VVIN_LNC007360)". The record is from RNAcentral. Lineage: Eukaryota; Viridiplantae; Streptophyta; Magnoliopsida; Vitales; Vitaceae.
UACUCCCAAUAUAUGGAAAUAGUUGUGCCCUUGAGUACCUGAAAAUUAAAGAUUGCCCAUCUCUUAUUGGCUUUCCGAAAGGGGAGCUACCCACCACCCUUAAGAAGCUGAUAAUUAUAAAUUGUGAGAAGCUAGAGUCUCUACCUGAGGGAAUUGACAACAACAACACUUGUCAUCUUGAAUAUCUACAUGUAUGGGGAUGUCCAUCUCUCAAGUCCAUUCCAAGAGGUUACUUUCCCUCGACACUUGAGACCCUUUCCAUUUGGGACUGCCAGCAAUUGGAGUCGAUUCCAGGGAAUAUGCAGCAAAAUCUCACAUCUCUUCAAGUUUUGCAAAUAUGUAAUUGUCGAGAUGUGUUGUCCUCUCCAGAAGCGUUUUUGAACCCUAACCUUGAAGAACUUUGUAUUUCAGAUUGUGAGAAUAUGAGGUGGCCUCUAUCUGGGUGGGGCCUCCACACACUCACCUCUCUUGAUAAGCUCAUGAUUCAAGGCCCAUUCCCAGAUCUGCUUUUUAUUUCCCAGCUCUCACCUUCUUCUUCCUACAUCUAUCACAUGUCUCCGGUUGGUAAAUCUCUACAACUUGAAAUCCAUAGCCUCCAUAAGUCUCCAAAGCCUCAUCUCUCUUAAAAGCCUUGAACUCUACAAUUGCCCUAAGCUCUGGUCCUUUGUGCCCAAGGGCGGGCAACACUUGCAAUACUUGAAAUCUGGGAGUGUCCUAUUCUAGAAAAGAGGUGUCUCAAGGACAAACGGAAAGAUUGGCCCAAGAUUGGCCACAUCCCCUAUGUGGAAAUAAAUGACAUUGUACAACAAUAACAGCUUCAAUAAGGUACUCCUAAUUCUCUGUAAUCUUCCAUCAAAGGUUCUACUUGCUAAUUACUACUCUCUCUAUAAUAUUUGAGUCGCCCUUUUGUUAUGUAAUCAGGGGUUCUCCUAAUUUUUCAGAAGUUAGGCCUUCCUACCACAAUUUAAUACUGAUAUUUGGCAUUGCCCUCUUCCAAAACAAAGGUGCGUAUUAAUGCAUUGAAUUGUAAGUUCUGAUGGAACAUAAUUUUCACCAUUUUCAACCCUAACAUAUUGCUUUCAUUUUCUAAUAAUGAUGGAAUUUAUGUUGCACAGAAUUUCCUGCCAUUCAUAUCUGCAAAGGGUAAAUACUAAAUAUCCUACACAUGAAAGAAGAUGUACUAAAUGCCCCAUUCUUUUCUAGUUUCUGGAUUUACAUGUGAUUCAAGUUUUAAACCCUAUCAAAUUUGGGCACACUUCACUUCCCACCAAGGGAUGGGCAAANNNNNNNNNNNNNNNNNNNNNNNNNNNNNNNNNNNNNNNNNNNNNNNNNNNNNNNNNNNNNNNNNNNNNNNNNNNNNNNNNNNNNNNNNNNNNNNNNNNNUGGAUUUACAUGUGAUUCAAGUUUUAAGGCCCUAUCAAAUUUGGGCAACAACUUCACUUCCCACCAAGGGAUGGGCAAAAGGCCUUAUGUUUGGUGCUUCUUUUUGUUUAAAGCUCAGUAUACUGAUUCAAUCACCAUUAAUUGUUAAAAGGUAUUUAAGAUUUUGUUUUAGUUCUGUUUCAUUCCAGUCUAAAUUUGAAUCUUAUUAUGUUAAUGAAGCCCUUUUAUUUAAUUUUUUUUUCUGUACUUUAAUCACACAGGAAUGCUCCUUUAUUUAACACCUUGGUUUUUUGGGAUUCUGCCAUCUUUUUGCAAAUAUGUAGUGCAAAAACGGGAGAGGUAUAACUUUCUCAAACUUCUAAACUGACCAUUGUAUUUCAUCAGAUUGUUUUUAACUUUCUCAUAUUUUUCCCCUCAAAUUUACAUCUUUUUGACUAAUUACAUGAUAUUGUAGUUACUGUUGACCUAGAGAGGACCUUUCUACUAGCAUCUGGUAUGUCAAGCAGUUCAGGAUACACAGAAAGGGCAUAUAUCCCAGGUUGUUCUUUUUCUCAUUAUGUCUCUCCUCACUUGUAUUAAUUUCAAAUGUGCUCAUUCAAAUUUAUAUUAUCAUAAUAUAAAUUGAAGAUAAAAUCCCUUAAUGAGAGGUGGUAGUUAGGUCUUUGUAAGUAAGUUGUUGAAGGUAAACCUUGGUGAUGAGCCGGCAUGUUUGAGGAAGCCUGGAUUUGGGUUGGAAAACCUUGGUGGUUUAUGGAUGGAUGGGUGUGAUGGGGUUGUAUCCUUGGACGAGCAAAGGCUGCCUUGCAAUCUUCAAUAUUUGGAAGUGAAAGGAUGUUUCAACUUAGAGAAGCUGUCAAAUGCAAUAUGCACCCUCACAUCUCUUAUAGAUUUGGUAAUUUAUAAUUGCCAGAACUUGUGCCAUUCCUAGAGACAAAUAUGUUGCCCAUGCUAAGACUUCUUUUGGUGAAAAAUUGUGAGCUUUUGGAGACGUUGGCCGAUGGAAUGGUGAGCACCAGAUGUGCCUUUGAGUGCUUAGAAAUUGUAGAUUGUCCAUCUCUUAUUAGAUUACCAAAAGGUAAGCUAUCCACCACCCUUAUCCACCACCCUUAAGAAGCUACUCAUUAUAGAUUGCCAGAAACUAGAGUCUCUACCUGAGGGAAUUAUGCACCACACUUCAAUUGACAGCAACAACACUUGUCGUCUUGAACAACUACAUGUGUUGGGAUGUUCGUCUCUCAAGUGCAUUCCAAGAGGCAACUUUCCCUCCUUUCUUGAGAUGCUUUUCAUUUGGAAUUGCAAGAAAUUAGAGCCAAUUCCAGGCAAUAUGCUGCAAAAUCUCACAGCUCUUGGUAUGUUGGGUCUAUGUAAUUGUCCAGAUGUGAGGUUCUCUCCAAAAGAAUAUUGGACCACCAACCUUAAAUAACUUGCGAUUUCAGAUUGUGAGAAUAUGAAGAAGCCUCUAUCCUUUGUGCCAAAGGAAGGGCUGCCACCGUCACUUGCAAGACUUGUAAUCAUGCGUGUCCUAUUCUAGAACAAAUGAAAAGAUUGGCCCAAUAUUGCCUACGCCCCCUAGAUGGAAAUAGAUGGCAUUGUCUAACAAUAACAAUUUCAAUCAGUUACCCACAAUUCUCUGCAAUCUUCCACCAAAUAUUCUACUUGCUAAUAACUUUCUUUCUCUAAAACGUUCUAUUCUUCAUGUUGUUCCGUAUCUCAGUUCCACUUGUUAAUUCAAAUGAUUUUAUUAUUUCUUAAAGAAGCUUAAAAGUCACACAGAAAGAGCACAGUACUUUAUGUUUUCUUUGUUUAUUUUCCUUUCCCCUUUUUAAUCUUAAUCAUUAACAGUUCUUUUAAAAUAUUUGUCUUCAGAUACUUGUUACAGAGGGGGUUGUGCUUAGCCAGUGUGUGACUCUGGAAACCCCACGUAAAAUGUAUGGCAACAACUGAGUCCUAUCGAUACUUGCAACAUUACAUAAUCAAGAGAGAUGUCCUAUUCUAAAAAGGAGGUUCAUGAAGAACAAAGGAAAAGAAUGGCCCUAAAUUGCUCAUAUCCUCCCAUAUCUGGAGAUAGAUUGCAUUGUACAGCAGUAAAAAGGUCAAUCAAGUACCCCAAUUGAUGAUAGUCGCUCUUUUCUCUUGUUGCUCACAUCCAUCCUUCUAUCUGAUUGGAAAUUUAGUUCUCUAAUUCAUCAGUUAUGUGCAACAAUUUAUAUUUGCAUUAAAAAAUUUUCUGAAUAUAUAUUCAAAAUGAAAUGCUCUUGAUUUUAUUUUUUUGCCUUUUACAUUGAAAACAUGUAACUCUUUUUCAUUAUUAUGCUAACAGAAAGGAAUAUUGAGUUUCAUCCUGCAGAUUCCAUGUCUGAAGUGAAUGUGGUGUUGGUUGUUCAUUCUCUAAUAUGGUGAUGGUGAAAAGAAGAUGAAAGGGCCUAGGAAAAGCAUGGUACAUAUGCUAUUUUCAUUUUUUAUCUUAUAUUUCCUAUUUUAAUUUUAAAAUAAAAUGGCUACUGGGCCAUGCCUUUUUAAUCAUAUCAACAUGGAAAAGCAGUCAAAAAGAGUUGGAAAAACAACCUGCUUAUGAUUACAUUCGUUGGUCUGCCUAUAGAUCUUGGGUUGGAUAUGGUGCAGAGGAAGAUUUUUACAAACAAACCUAUUUAAGGUAUUUGGGACUAUCCUCUUCCAAACACAGGUGAUUAUUAGUCUAUUGAAUUGUAAGUCUGAUAUAAAAAACAAUCUCCAUUUCUAACUCAAAAUAUUGCUUUUGCUUCUUGAUAAUGAUGGAAUUCACUUUUUAGAUGCAGGAUGGCAAUCAAAGGGACUGAUGUAGAUGAAAGCAAAAUUCAUGGCCAUUGAUGCGGCUUAUUAGCAUCUGCAAAGGUAAAUAUCCUAAACAUGAAAGAGCGGUACUAAAUGCAUCAUUCUAGGCCAUGUAAAUUUUUAAAAAAAUUUUAAAUCAGGUCCAAAAAGAGUUUUAAGCCCAAUCAAAUUUGCCAGCAGCUUCACAUGGCAAUAAUUUUACAUAGAGAUACAUGGUUGAUACACCUAUUAAAAUUCUUGUUGCAUUUUUUCUUUCUUUCUUUUUUCCGUUUUCAAUAUGCUUCAAUUUCAUGAUGCAAGGGGCCUUACAUCUGGUGGUUCAUUUUGCUUAAAGCCAGAAUACUAUUUCCAUCACCAUUAAUAAAUACAAGGUAAUUAAGAUUUUGCUUGAGUUCUGUUUGAUUUUAAACCAAAUUUGCAUCUUAUUAUGCUAAUGAAGCCUCUUAUUUGAUUUUACUGUGUACCUUAAUCACUCAGGCAUGCUCCCUAAUUUAUUAUUCCCUUUGCUUGGAAAUAUGUACUACAGAAGCAGAGGUAUCACUCUCUCAACUUUNNNNNNNNNUUUUUCUGCUUAUGCAUACAAGGCAACAAGCUAAAAGAGCUUAGGGUGUGUUUGGGAGUUGUUUUCAAAAAUGGUUUUCUAUUUUUAAGAAAAAAAAAAGUCAUAACAUGUUUGAUAAUCAGAAAACAAAAAACAAAGUGUUUUCCAAGAAUAUAUUUUAAUUGUUUUUGGUGGUUUUAACUUUUUUCUAAAUAUUGUUUUAAAAAUAAUUAUACAAAUAUGGAGAAUGAUUGAAAAUUAAGUAUUUACAAAUUAAAGUUAUUUAAAAAAAUAUUUAAAAAUAUAGAAAAUAGGUUAAACACAUUUCAGAUUUUCAAACAAGAUUUGUCAAAUUUAUAGGAAGUGAAUUGGCAUUUUCCUCAAAACUUUGAUUUUGCUUUUUAAUAUUUUAUUCUAUUUUAUGACAACAGUAUUUUCUUGUACCUCUCCCUUAAAUUUGAAACUAGUUUUUCUGAUUUUUUGAUUGGUGAGUAUAACCUAAUUUAAUUUCCCCAUCAUAGUAGGACUAAAAAGUGGAGAUUCUUAUGGAAUGAAAGAAAUGCAAUCAACUCUCACACUAUGAUGAACUGUGAGCAUAUUUGAAUAUUUUGAUGGUAUUUAUUCUAUUUCACCAAAUACUAAUGGAAAGUUAUUCAUUACUUGAAUCAUUCUAACAAGCAAUUGAGCUGGUACAUCACAAACUGAAUUGAUAGGACAAUGAUAGUGACAAUAUUCUUAGCAAGUUUGGGUCAUGUAUUACGUAUAAGGUUUCUUCAGUUUUUACAAGAUGUUUUAUGGUGAAUUACACCCUUAUGACACACGCAAACCCAAAAAAAAAAAGGAUUUUAAGUCAUUUCUUUUUUUCCCUUUUGUUAAUUUGGUAUGGGCAGGUGGUCUUAACAAAGGAGCUCAAUGAGUUAGAACUACAGCCUCACUGUCCCAAAGUGAAACGGUCAAAGCUUGUAAUAAGCUCCAGCUAAGGUAGGUAACUGUUACUAUAUUCUGCUUGUUUUCUUGUCAUAUUCAAUUGGGUGAAUAACAAGUCUAAUAUGAAAAAAUUUAAAAAAAAAUACUAUAUGCUCUUUUAGAAUUCUAGAAGUGUGUCCUUUAAGUGAAAUUUAUUUUUGUCUUAUCUGCUUUUUAGAGUCUAUGAAAAAAAUUAUUCAAUUCUAUGCAAAAAUUUAUUUUAUAUCUAUUUUUAUCUUCUAAGUUUGCUUUUGAGAUGUUUUCUUUCCAUAUAUGGAAUGGUUAUAAUUUUAAUAUUUUGUGCUAUGGAUCAAGCUUAAUCUUUAAAAAUGACAAUCAUUUUGAAUAUUAUCUGCUCUAUAGGAAGCUCCUACAACCAGGUCAUAUUCCUAAUUGACUCUGUUUUUGAGAAAUCAGGAUACUUUGGGUGGAUUUUCCUUCACAUGAAUAAUUGUAAGUUUGAUAAUUUGUGAGCAUUCGUACUGUAGAUACUUGUGACAAAGUUUGUCUUAAGAAUAGGAUGAAUUCUCAUUAUUACUCACUAGAUGUUUUUUUGCAAUUAACAUAAGGAUUCAUCUUCUAAAGUACUCUUGGGAGUGAGGAAUCCUUCUCAAAAGCCUUGGAAUCGAGCACAAAUUUGAAAUUUCAAUCUGCAAUGAGGUAAAGAGCAAAGGAUUCAUGUUAUUUAGUGGCUUACUUUAGAUGGUAUAUUCAUUGUGACAAGAAGAAGUUUUAAUGCAGUCUUUGAUCUUGUUUAGAUAUACUUUUAAAGAAAAAAAAACAAAAAUAACAAUUAUUUCUAAAAAGUAGAAACUCUUGUACAAAAAGUAUAGACUUACCUUUUAUUUUUUUUUUAAAUUACAUAAAAAAAUUUUAAAAUUUGAGGUAAGAAAACAUUUUUAAUACUUCAAAAUUUUAAACAAUUUUUAAAACUAUUAUCAUGUGAAUGUAAGUCUUUAAUUCUUUUUGUAUUUUUAUAUAAACAAGCUAUUUUCUCCUUUUAAAAAUAUAAAACAGUAAAUGCAUCUAAGCAAAUACUUAAUUACACGUUUGUCUCUUGGUAAUUCAACUCCUCUAUGCUCUCUCUUAUUAUUUUAUUGCCUCUGUUUUGAAUUUUAGGAUAUGGGCCUGGUUUCAUCCAAAAGCUUCCUAUAGUUGACUAAUUCAUGAAUUUGAAAAUUUUGGCGGAUAGAAGAACAAGCACAUAUCUUCUGCAAGCAUUUGAAAACUUGUGCAUCAGUGCAUCAAUGGUUGUACUAGUGCUCAUGGAGAUUCAAAUAUGUGAAAUGGUAAUUGUGAGAUUGAAAUCCUGACCAUGAGACUAGCAGACGAGUCUUGGUGAACUUGAGAGUUUUGCCAUUCUCUUUCCUUGUGGAUCAUUCUCAAUACAAGUUGUUCUCCCAUUAUGUUUUAACAGUAUGUAAUACUCUAAAUGGUAAAUUAUGCCUCAGUUGAUCAUCUUUGAAUUACAAUUAGAUGUUAUUAAUGUUUACUUCAACAACUACAUAAUCUAUAGUUUAUUUUUAGUUUCCUUAUUUACUAAAAACUACCUAAUAAGAUUAAGUAGCUAAGUCACAUUUCUCUGCUAUGUACAUAUUUUCUCUAUUUAAGUUCACUUGCUAUUAACAACAUCAACUAAUAUAAAAAGAUUCAGUUUUGGGUUACAAACUUCAUUGCUAUUAUAAAAACUAUUUUGUAACAAGUUCAAGUAGUGACCCAUCAAUCUUUUGCAAUUUUUGAAGAAGAAAUGUUAGUAGUACUUGUCGUUUGAGAAAAUUUCCCUAUGGUACAUCUAUUUUAAAAUCUAUCUGGAUUUAAAAGGAAAAAAGAAAGAAAGAAAGAAAGAGAGAAAGAGAGAAAGUUAACCCUCAACGACCUAAUACCACAUAGGUCCAUGUGGUGAUCUAAAUUAUUUUCUAAGUAUCCAACUAAGAAGAAAUGAGGGUGGAUUAUUCUUGGAUAUAAUGCAAAAUAAUGAUGAUUAAUAUUAAAAAUAUUGAUAAUAUUAUCUCUCUUAUUAUUAAAAAAUCUUUUACUUUUUGAUGAUUUGAAAUACUUUUUAUCAAAUGUAAGUCAUAUUUGUGAUAAAGUAUUUUAAGUUAUUUUUAAACUAACAUGUUGCAUCAUAUAAGGAUGCUCAAAAUGAUCAAACCAGUUUGGUAGGCCAUAAAAGUGAAAAAGUUUACAACAUUGGUAUGUAAAUAUAUGAAGACUACGAAAAAUGUUUUUCAAAGUGAGUUACAACAUAUGAGGUGUGGACAUGCUUGUUGAGACAAAACUCUCAAAAGCAUGACAUAAUGUAACAAAAUAAAAUUUUAUUAAUACAUAUAUAUAUAUAUAUAUAUAUAUAUAUAUAUAUAUAUUAUAAUUUUUUUCUCCAAUAUUCUAUCCAUGUUUGCAUUGAUCUUUAUUUAAGCAUUCAAGUUUCCAUCACUUUUAUCAUACAUGGCUUGGGUGCAAUAAAAGUUGCAUGAAAUAUCUAAGUUAUGUAUUUCUUGCAAGUUGAUGAAUUGUUCAUAACCAAUUCGUGGACUUAGGCAAUCCAUUUGAGGUAAUAUAUACUAACUCUUAAUUGGAGGAAUAAGGACUUGUUUGUCGGGGAUAAAACCCAAACAAAUCAUGACAUCAUGUAACAAAUCAUAUUUUAGUUUUCACUAUUAUAUUCUCAUUUGUAUUAAUACUUGUUUGAGCAUUCGAGUUUACAUUAUACAUGACUUAAGAACAUUAGAAGUUUCAUGAAAGAUCCAAAUCAUAAAGUCCUUAUAAGUUGAUGAAUUGUUCAUAGUUUAUAACUUACACAAUCCUUCUAAGGUUGUAGUGAACUAUCUCAUAAUUGGAGGAAUGACUUAUCUUAGUUAUCGGGUUAGAAUAUACAAUAUCAUCUUAUGGGAUCAGUGUGACUUGCAUUGCCAGGGGACAUCUUCUUUUCUGGCUGGACGUGAUAGCCACAUUUAUGAGAUGUAAAGUUUGCCUCACUUUGGACUUGGGAAGUGUCAUUCCAAGGUGGACAAACUCAGCCACGCUCAAAUUAAUGGAUGAUGCAUUACCUAUGGAAGGAAAUGGCAUUUGCAAGGAUUUAGGCUACCUGGGCAACCCAGCAGAGUGACAUCAAAAUCAGUAAAGCCUAAGUCUUCAACUGUGCAAGCAAAUGGCAACUUCUGAUCUUGUAUUAGUACACCAGUGCCAUGUCAGUCAUCCGCACCAACAGAAUAGUCACCUAAGCCUCCCCGGGGCCCAUUUUUCCAACUCCUGCAUUACAUGGCCACCUUUUCCUCUUGCUACUUUUCUUUUAUUUUUCUUUGUGAUCUUAUAUGUUUUGAAUUGGUUUCAAACUUUCUUUUUUUCUAUUAAAAUAAUCUCAGUUUUUUAAAUUUCAUCCUUUGGAGAUACUAGAAAAUAAAAUUCAGUUUUGAUAAACUAGUUGCCAUUUUUUUUUUUCCGUUUUUCAUGUUUUUAAUAAGCAUGAAUACCAUUUUACAAUUUAAAAAUAAUGAAAUAUAUGGAAUUAAUUCAUGCAAAAAUAAAUUGAUCAUUGGUGGGGCCCAACACAUGAGACAUUCUCCAUUCGUUUGUUGAUUCUGAUUGCUAUAUUUAUUCAAUAUUAAUUUAUUUUUGCCUUGCUCUAUGACUUACGUGAGAUAUUUUGUGCUUGUCAUUAUUGAGUUAACCAUGUUUUUCAUGCAAACACUAUUGAUUUGCUGCUCAAGUAUGCUCCCAUCUUCAUCUUAAUUAUUUAUUCAUUAAUGUGCAAGAUUUGCUUUCAUUCUAUAUGGUCUUUGGUAUCCACAAUUAAUUGAUCAUUUGUCACACUUGUCUUAACUGAUUAGUAGAAACCUAAUUUUUAGGGUUUAGAUGGGUGUUACGGUCUAUCGUUGUACCUUCUUGAUAGGUAACCUGAUCACUAGACCUCGACUCAAUUUUUCUCAGACUUGUAUUUUCCUUCAUGAGUCACACUUAUAGUUUUUCUCUAUUAUUUUGUUUUUCCCUUUAAAAAUGAUAAAUAAAUGGUGUCUCCAAAAAUAAUUUUCAAAAAAUCAAAAUUUUCACAAUAAAAAACAAGUCUCACCAUAGAGUGGGGACGCAUGCAAAAGAUGCGAGGUCCAUACCAACCUAUCUAAUCAAGGUCAACCUCUCUAAUCAAAGGCCGACUCCUAUAUUAGCUACUACCAACAUUAAAAUAGGACAACGUAGAAGAGGAUAAGUCGACCUCUCCAUCCAUGGGUUGGCCCCUCUUUUUGCUACCUUGGGCAUCAUUUUAAUGCAUGUUCUACAAUUUUACCUUGCCACUGUCCAUCAUAAAUAUGAUUUGAAAACCAUAAAAUGUGAAGAUCUAAAAUUGGAAUUGUGUCAAAUGCUCUUCAUCCACGAAAAUAACUUAACAAAAUUUUCUAUAGCUAAAAUUGGAUGUUGCCAAUUAAUGAAUAAGUGAAAUUACAAAAUAGAAAACAUGAGUAAAAGAGAUUUCUAAUAUUAUGAAGUGGAACAAAAACAUAAGCAAAUGUUCCUCAUUGACCAAACACAUUAAGAAGCUCAAUGAUUCUAUUUUUUAAAGAAAUAUGCAUGGCAAAGAGACUGUAAAACAAAAGUUUGACUAAUUUCGGUUUUGUUAAUAACAAAACAAGGUUUGAAACUAAUAAUUUAUUUUAAGUGUUUUUUAGCAAGAGUAAUUCCAAAGAACCAAUCACAACAACAUAAUAAAGUGAAAUCAAGAAAAAAGAGAAGACCUUAAAGAGGAAAUCAAGCAAGACUCAUGUCUAGGAUCUUUUUAUAAAAUUGUUGAUGCACUAGGUUCAAAGUGCAUUUUAUUUUUAUUCAAGUACCUAAAAUCAUCCAAUUUUCUAAAUCGACUUUAUUCUUUUAUAAAGUAAUGAAGAAUCUUUCUAAAUGAAAACCAACUACUAUUCAUGUUUAAAAGGUCUUUAAAAUGAAAAGGAGUUUAUCUACCUAGGUUUUCCUAAGAAUUUUGUGAAAAUUAUAGAAUUCAUUUAUGCAUAUUUCAAUGAAUUUUACACGUCAAAAUUAAAAUUGAUUAUUUCAAGGAUAAAAACUCAUAUUUUGACAUAUAUUUCAUCAUUUAAAUGGGUACUUUUUUCAAUAUUAUGUUUUCAUAUUAAAAUAAUUUGAGUCAUUAAAAGUCAUUUAUGUAUCAAUUUUCCAUAUUUUGCAUAUGUUUGAUUGAAGUGACUCAAUUGGUUGAAUUGGUUAUUGUUCACUCAAUUGAUUGAGGAUUGGUAGAAUUGGUUGAGCUCCUAUGAUGUAAUAGUCAUUUUUUUGUAUCUUCUAUCACCCAAAACUAGUGACCAAUUGCUUUGUGUACCAUUUAUUAUAGAUUUUUUAUUCCAUUGUACCAAUUUAUAAACUAGAAGUUAUAUUCUUGCCAAAUCUUUUCUCAUAUACCUUGUGAGGUAGGCUCAUGUGUGGGGUAAUACUUGAGGAAUUCCAAAUGUGGUGUGAUCUUAAAGGUGUUUUGUAAAUGGUGCUUGAAAUCAUUUUCUAAAAGAGUACUUGGAGUCACAAGUUUAAAAGGAUUGAUUAGAAUUAUAAUCCAAUUGUGAAACUUGAAGACUCGGAUUGAAGCUUUGAUUUAUAGAACCCUCACUCAAUUAAAAGUUUAAGGAGAUGGAUGUAGGCGGACUUGUGCCGAACCAUUCAUAAAAACUAGUACUUGCAUUUGUGUUUUCUCCACGUACUUGCAAUAUCACUUACUUUCUAAAUUUAAAUUUGUAAAAAGUGACUAUUACUAUUCACCUCUUUUGUAAAGUGAUUAAUUACCUUACAUUGGUAUACCUCAAAUUGUAAUAAAAACCACAAAACAUAAGAACAACAAAAUCAAACACUUAUCCUAUAGGAUAGUGUGAAUACUUAUAUAAAACCAAAUCAGAUUUUUUAUUCAAGCCUUCUUGAAAGGGAACAAUGAUAAUCAUAUAGCAAAAAAGCUUGAAGAAAGAAUUAAGGUCAUAUGCAAAGAGCUCGUCUUUUUUCCUUUGUUAGGGCAUUGUUUUUGGGAAAAGUUAUGAAGGAGACAUGAGGAAAUGUGCGGAAAUUCAUUUUUCAUUUUUUAUUUUUUUUUAAAGUCCAAGUGUUUUGAUUACGUGGCAUUUGACGGCAAUCCCACAUCGAAUUGCUUAUGUGGCUGGAGGAGUAUGGGCAAAUAUGGAAUUCUUAUUUUAACAUCCUUGAAGUGCUUAUUUGAGAGACCAUUUCUACAUGAUGUAGCUGGUAUUUGCCCUUAGGAUUUUCUAAACAUAGAGCAGUGUGUAUCAUACUCUCUCUUCAGUAAUUGAAUGGCAGUACACACCACAUCAACCACCACAGCAAUCCACACCUCUUGGUCAAUUCUUCACAUUAUUUUUUAAACCCUCACAUACAAUUGGCUAUAAUAUAACAUGGAGUUGCAUGCAUAAUUGAUCUUUUUAUAUCAAACAGCAUAUGUUUCCAUGUUUAAAUAAUUUUAUUUUACGAGGUUGUUUCCCAACUUCUCCAUUAAAAUUUGUAUUAGUUUAUAUAUUUUCCAAACACGGAUCAGUGCAGCCCAUGUGCCCCUCUCUCUGCCACGCUUUCCUUUUCCAAACCUUGUUGACCCAGCAACCACCAUUGCAAUCUACACCAGUUGCUCACGUCUGCGCUGAUAAAAUUUUCAAUCUCGCUUGUUUCUUUUGUCUCCACUGCCUGCCCUUCGAUUUCUGGAAAGAACUAGCCGAUGGAGGUUGUUGGAGAGUCUGUUCUUUCUGCUGCCCUCCAAGUUCUGUUCGGUAAGUUGGUUUUCCCUGAGUUGCUCAACUUUGCUCUGCAAGAGGGGGUCAUUGCUGAACUUGAAAACUGGAAGGAGAAACUGAUGAUGAUUAAUGAAGUGCUGGACGAAGCUGAGGAGAAGCAGCAUCAAAGCCGUCCGUGAAAAACUGGCUUGACAAUCUCCGAGACUUGGCUUACGACAUGGAAGAUGUGCUGGAUGAGUUCGCGACCGAGCUGUUGCGACGCAGGUUGAUGUCAGAAGGUGCUGAUCAGGUGGCCACCACAAGUAAGGUACGGAGCCUCAUCCCGACUUGCUUUACUGGUUUCAAUCCUGUUGAUGAAGUUAAGUUUAAUAUUGAGAUGGGGACCAAGAUCAGGAAAUCACUAGGCGGUUAGGCGAUAGUUCAACCCGGAAAGCUGAGCUGGGUUUUGAUAUGGUCCCGGGUGUUGAAACAAGUUGGGAAGUUUUGCAUCUGGAGCAGCUUCUACUUGGCAACGACCCCCUUCUACAUCUUUGAUUAACGAAGCUGUUCACGGCAGGGAUAAAGAUAAAGAAGUCAUUAUUGAGAUGCUGUUGAAGGAUGAAGCAGGUGAAAGCAACUUUGGGUAAUUCCCAUUGUAGGUAUAGGUGGGAUGGGGAAAACUACACUGGCCCAGUUGAUAUACAGGGAUGAAGAAAUAGUGAAGCAUUUUGAGCCAAGGGUGUGGGUGUGUGUAUCAGAUGAGAGAGAUGUAGAGAAGUUAACGAAGAUAAUUCUCAAUGCCGUCUCUCCGAAUGAAGUCCGUGAUGGGGAUAACUUUAAUCAAGUGCAGCUCAAGUUAAGCAAUAACCUGGCUGGAAAAAGGUUUUUGCUAGUUUUGGACGAUGUGUGGAACAUCAACAAUUAUGAGCGAUGCCAAUGAACAUCCAAAUUUGGAAUUAAUUCAACAAAGGAUCGUAGAGAAAUGUAGUGGCCUGCCCUAAGCAGCAAAGAUGCUUGGUGGGCUUCUACGCUCCGAACCACAGGAUCGAUGGGAACGUGUACUGAGUAGAAAAAUUUGGAAUAAGAGUGGUGUUUUGCCAGUGCUAAGAUUAAGCUAUCAACAUCUCCCUUCACAUCUAAAAAGAUGUUUUGCUUAUUGUGAGUUGUUUUCAAAGGACUAUGGAUUUAAGCAAAAAGAGCUAAUUUUAUUGUGGAUGGCAGGGGAUUUAAUUCACCAAGCAGAAGAAGAUAACUGUCAAAUGGAAGAAGAUCUAGGUGUUGAUUAUUUUAAUGAAUUGUUAUCAAGAUGCUUUUUCCAACCAUCAAGUGAUAGUAAAUCCAAAUUCAUAAUGCAUGACUUGAUUAAUGAUCUUACUCAAGAAGUUGCUACAAAAAUAUGUUUCAAAUUUCGAGAAUAUACAUAAGGUCUCUCAAAGGACUCGUCAUUUAUCAUUCGUGCGUGGUGAGUAUGAUGUGUUCAGAAAAUUUGAAGUCCUCAAUAAACCAGAGCAAUUAAGAACAUUUGUUGCACUACCCAUCACACUAGAUACUAAGAAGAAAUGCUACUUAAGUAAUAAGGUGCUUCAUGGCUUGUUGCCAAAGUUGGGACAAUUGAGGGUGCUCUCUUUGAGUGGUUAUGAAAUAAAUGAGUUACGGGUCAAUUGGUGAUUUGAAACAUUUACGAUUUCUUAAUCUUGUCUUCUACAAAAAUCAAACAGUUACCUAAAACAGUGAGUGGUCUUUACAACUUACAAUAGUUGAUAGUAUGCAAUUGUGUGCAACUUAUUAAUUUACCUAUGAGCAUCAUAAAUUUAAUUAAUCUUCGCCAUCUUGAUAUUAGAGGUUCAACUAUGUUGAAAAAGAUGCCUCCACAAGUUGGCAAGUUGAUAAAUUUGCAAAUGUUGAAUAGGUAUUUUCUAAGCAAGGGUAAUGUGUCACAAAUAAAAGAAUUGAAGAACUUGUUGAAUCUCCGAUGAGAGCUUAGCAUUUCAGGUUUGGAGAAUAUUUUGGAUCCAAGAGAUGCGAGGUAUGUCAAUUUGAAGGAGGGAUGGGAUAUUGAAGUCUUAAUCAUGGUAUGGAGUGAAAAGUAUGGAAAUUCAAGGAAUGAAAGCACCGAGAUAGAGGUCCUUAAGUGGUUGCAACCUCAUCAAAGUUUGCAAAAACUGGAUAUUAGAUUUUAUGGUGGCUUAAAAUUCCCAAAUUGGAUAGGAGAUCCAUCCUUCUCCAAAAUAGUGUAUCUAGAUCUUAUAAAUUGUAAAAAUUGCACAUCUUUGCAGGGGGACUACCUUUCCUCAAAAACUUGGUGAUUGAAGGCAUGAAUGAAGUUAAAAGCAUAGGCGAUGAGUUCUAUAGGGAGACUGCGAAUCCUUUUUAGGCUUUAGAACAUCUGAGAUUUGAGAAAAUGCCCUAAUGGAAAGAUUGGUUAAUUCCUAAAUAGGGUCAUGAGGAAACCCAAGCAUUGUUUCCUUGCCUCUGUGAGCUUAUAAUAAUAAAAUGUCCAAAACUCAUCAACUUAUCUCAUGAGUUACCUUCCCUUGUGACGCUUCAUGUUCAAGAAUGCCAAGAAUCAGAAAUUUCAAUUCCACGACUUCCAUUUCUUAUUAAAAUAAUAGUAGUUGGGUUGUUAAAAAGUUGGGUUGUUGAUGUCCCCUCACUCACCCAAUUAUACAUUUAGAAGAUUUCAAGCCUGAGUUGUUUAUGGGAAAGGCUUGCACGGAGCUUAAUAGCCAUUGAAGAUCUGGGAAUUGCUGAAUGUGAUGAACUGGCAUGUUUGAGGAAGCCUGGAUUUGAACUGGAAAACCUUGGUGGUCUGCGACAUUCAUGGAUCAAAGGGUGUCAUGGGGUUGUAUCCUUGGAAGAGCAGGGGCUGCCUUGCCAUCUUCAAUACUGGGAAGUGAAUGGAUGUUACAACUUAGAGAAGCUGCCUAACGCAUUACACACCUUCACAUCUCUUACAGAUUUGCUAAUUCAUAAUUGCCCAAAACUGCAGUUGUAUACUUAAGUACGUGGAGAUUAAAGAGUGUCCAUUUUUUAUUGAAUUUCCAAAAGGUGAGCUACCCGCCACCCUCAAGAAGUUGACGAUUGAAGAUUGUAGGAGACUAGAGUCUCUACUUGAGGGAAUUGACAGCAACAACACUUGUCGACUUGAAUGGCUACAUGUAUGGGGAUGUCCAUCUCUCAAGUCCAUUCCAAGAGGCUACUUUCCCUCCACACUUGAGAUACUUUCCAUUUGGGACUGCGAGCAAUUGGAGUCGAUUCCAAGGAAUCUGCUGCAAAAUCUCACAUUUCUUCGACUUCUGAACAUAUGUAAUUGUCCAGAUGUGGUGUCCUCUCCAGAAGCGUUUUUGAACCCUAACCUUAAACAACUUUCUAUUUCAGAUUGUGAGAAUAUGAGGUGGUCUCCAUCUGGGUGGGGCCUCGACACACUCACCUCUCUUGGUGAGCUAUUUAUUCAAGGCCCAUUCCGAGAUCUGCUUUCUUUUUCUGGCUCUCACCUUCUUCUUCCUACUUCUCUCACCACUCUCCGGUUGGGAAAUCUCCGCAAUUUGAAAUCCAUAGCCUCCACAAGUCUACAAAGCCUCAUCUCUCUUAAAACCCUUGAAUUCCACAUUUGCCCUAAGUUCCGGUCCUUUAUGCCAAAUGAAGGGCUGCCAGCAACACUUGCAAAACUUGUAAUCAGGGAAUGUCCCGUUCUAAAAGGGCGGUGCCUCAAGGACAAAGGAAAAGAUUGGCCUAAGAUUGCCCACAUCCCCUACGUGCAAAUAGAUGGCAUUGUACAACAAUUAAAAAGCAAAUAAUAACUUCAAUCAGGUACUCUCAAUUCUCUGUAAUCUUCCAUCAAAAGUUCGACAUUCUAAUUGCUACUGUCUCUAUAAUAUUUGAGCCUCCCUUUUGUUCUGUAAUCAGGGGUUUAACAUGGUCAACAAUAAGCUACGAUGUUUUGUGCUCAAAACUUCGACUCUCACGAAUGUGUGCCCUUAGCUUUUUCCUUGCUUUUAGGAUGACAGGCCUUCCUACCUUAGUUUAAUAACUGGGUAUUUGGCACUGCCCUCUUCCAAAAUAGAGGUGCGUAUUAAUGCAUUGAAUUGUAAGUUCUGAUAGAACACAAUUUCACGAUUUUCAACUCAACAUAUUGCUUUCAUUUUCUAAUAAUAUUGAUGGAAUUUAUGUUGCACAUAUAGGAUUGCAGGAAAAGGGAUUGAUGUAGAGAUGAAAGUAAAAUUCCCUGCCAUUUGUAUCUGCAAGGGUAAAUACAAAAUUCCUACUAAGGGAUGGGCAGCUUGGUCAACUUGUAGAACUAACCCACAACAAUGGACCCUGAAUCUGGUACUCCUUUUUGCUUAAAGCCAGUAAACAAUUUCAAUCACCAUUACUUAAUAAAAGCUAUUCAUGAUUUUGUUUUAGUUCCGUUUCAUUCCAAUCUAAAUUUGAAUCUCAUUAUGUUAAUGAAGCCCUUUUAUUUUAUUUUGUUUUGUACUUUAAUCACACAGGAAUGCUCCCUUAUUCAAUGCCUAGGUUUUCUAGGAUUCUGGCAUUUACUUGGAAAUAUGUAUUGCAAAAAUGGGAGAGGUAUAACUUUCUCAAAAUUUGAAACUGAACAUUGCAUUUCAUCAGGUUGUCUUUAACUUUCUCAUCUUUUUUCUCUCUUUCUGCUUAUGCCACUUCAACUUUUUUGACUAAUUACAUGACAUUGUAAUUGUUGUUGGCCUAGAUAGUACCCUUUCUACUGGGAAUUGGUAUGUCAAGUGGUUCAGGAUGCACAGAAAGGGAAUAUAUCCCAGGUUGUUCUUUUUCUCAUUAUCUCUCUUCUCACUUUUAUUGAUUUCAAAUGUGUUCUUUCAGAUUUAUAUUAACAUAAUAUAAAUUGAAGAUAAAAUCCUCUAAUGACAGGUGGUAGUUAGGUCUUUGUAAGUUAGUCGUUGAAAGUAAAUAAGAGAGGGCAAUUAUUGGUUCAAUCAACAAUUAAUACCUCGACAUGUGCUUUGGUCUAGGUGCAAGAAAUGAGAUUGAACAAUGCCCUCCCUCUGCUUCCCGCCUUUUCUUUUCUUUGUAUUUUUUAUUUUUUAUUCUUAUUUCUUUCAUUUUUUUUCUCUUUAUAUUUGUUGAAAUUUGGCAUUCAAAGAUAGGGUUUUAAUUUAGGAAAGUAUUUUAGGAAUAAAAAAAUGAGAGAUCAUUUAGGAUAUUUCCUUAGGAUUCAGUUUCCUAAUUUUAGGAAAGAAUCAAGCUAGAUUGAUAUUUUCUUAUUCUGUCAUUUUGUGUAUAUAUAUGUGUAUGAUGUGUACCGAAUAAUCAUCAAUAAAAAGGAAUUAAAAAAUUCUUCAUGGUAUCAGAGCCAGUUUUCUGAAACCCUAAUCCCUUCUGGCCGCCUCUUACUCAGGCCAUCAUUCAUUUCGGCCAAGUCUCUCUGGCCAUCUCUCAAUCCGACCAUCUCUCUCUCUGGCCAUCUCUCAUUUCGGCCAUCAGUCCCUGUUCUCAGAGCCAAGGGAGAAAACGUUUUUCAGUCGGUCGACUCGUCGUUAGAAAACAUUCACCGCCGGUGACUUUUCCGGCGAAUUUUUCCGACGACGUCUUUUUCCCACACCGCAAGGAGCGCCUGGAGGAGAUCACCAAUUUUUCCCAAAGCACCGGAGCCAGAAAACCACCCACGCGCCGACCACGUGCGUUUUUCUGGUCGACGACUGUAUCUCACGCGUCGGCGCAUGAGGACGUGUGAGCCACUUUCCGGUGACGCGCUUCCUCCUCCAGCCUCGCUUGACGCCGACUAGCCACCCUUCAUACCAGUUCUGCCAUCCGAGCCUUGCACAUACCUCUUUUGGAGUUCUUUUGCCUCCGCGGGCCCUCCGAACAGUUUUUCCGGCGUCCUCCGGCUAUUUUUUUCUCAACCCCAAUCCCUGUACGUGCCUUGGGAAUUGUUCUUCUACCUUUCCGGUGGUGCCACGGUUGUUUUUCUUUUCCAUUAGGCCGGUAUCUCUGAUUUUCUCUCUCUAACCAUAUUCGGCUGUCUUCCUCAUCUUCAUGACAAAAUACGGAAUGACAUCAUCACAAGUAUCCAGCGUCAUGACACCAAAAUCAGGGGGCAGUUCUGAAAUUCCAAACCUUGGUGGCAGUGAUUCCUCUUCUAUUCUCAUCACAGGACACAAAUUAAAUGGCCAUAACUAUUUAUAGUGGUCACAAUCUGUGUUGCUGUUCAUUUGCGGUAAAGGAAAUGAUGAGUACCUCAUUGGAGAAGCAGCCAUGCCAGAAACUACAGAACCGGGUUUCAGGAAGUGGAAGAUUGAAAACAGCAUGAUCAUGUCAUGGCUUAUCAAUUCCAUGAACAAUGACAUAUGUGAAAAUUUUUUGCUGUUUNNACUGCAAAGGACAUUUGGGAUGCAGCCAAAGAAACUUACUCAAGUUCUAAAAANNNNNNNNNNNNNNNNNNNNNNNNNNNNNNNNNNNNNNNNNNNNNNNNNNNNNNNNNNNNNNNNNNNNNNNNNNNNNNNNNNNNNNNNNNNNNNNNNNNNUUGAAUCAGCCCUACAUGACUUCCGCCAAGGAGAGCAGUCAGUUACUUAGUAUUACAACACACUCACAAGGUAUUGGCAGCAACUUGACUUAUUCGAGACUCAUGGAAAUGUUCGGAUGAUGCAGCAACAUACAGGAAAAUUGUGGAACAAAAGAGACUGUUCAAGUUUUUCCUAGGACUAAACAGGGAAUUGGAUGAUGUUAGAGGCCGAAUCAUGGGCAUUAAACCCCUGCCAAGUCUUAGGGAGGUUUUUUCAGAGGUUAGGCGUGAAGAAAGUAGAAAGAAAGUGAUGAUGGGAUCCAAAGAGCAACCUGCCCCAACAUUAUAUGCCUUUGCCCUUGCUGCUCGGUCAUUUAAUAGUAGUGGUGGAGAUUGUCAGAAACGGGAUAGGCCUUGGUGUGAUUAUUGUAAGAAACUAGGCCAUUAUAAGGAGGCUUGCUGGAAGCUUCAUGGCAAACCGGCUGAUUGGAAACCAAAGCCACGGUCUGAUAGAGAUGGUAGAGCACACGUGGCUGCCAACUCUGAGAGCACAUCUAUUCCCGAGCCGAGUCCAUUCAACAAAGAGCAGAUGGAGAUGCUACAGAAACUAUUAAGCCAAGUUGGCAGUGGCAGUACUACCGGGAUAGCCUUCACUGCUAAUCAAGGAGGAAUGAAGUUGUGGAUAGUGGACACAGGUGCUUCUGAUCACAUGACAGGAGAUGUUGCCAUUCUUCAAAAUUACAAGCCAAGUAAUGGUCAUUCAUCCGUCCAUAUUGCUGAUGGUUCAAAGUCAAAAAUUGUCGGGACAGGUUCCAUAAAACUUACUAAAGACUUGUAUCUUGACUCUGUCCUUCAUGUUCCAAACUUGGAUUGUAAUCUUUUGUCCAUUAGCAAAUUGGCCCAUGAUCUCCAAUGUGUUACUAAAUUUUAUCCAAACUCGUGUGUUUUUCAGGACUUGAAAUCGGGGAAAAUGAUUGGCAGUGGUGAACUGUGUUCCAGGCUCUACCUCCUCCCAUGUGGCCAAUUCUCAAACCAAGUCUCUCAAGCAAGUUGCGUAUAGUCUCAGAGUAUGUUAGAGUCUUUCAAUUCUGUGUCAAAUUCUAAGGUCAAUAAAGAUAGUGAGAUUAUAAUGUUACACUAUUGCCUUGGUCAUCCUAGCUUUUUUUACCUUACAAAAUUGUUUCCCAAAUUAUUUAUCAAUAAAAAUCCAGCAUCUUAUCACUGUGAAAUUUGUCAGUUUGCAAAGCAUACUCGAACAGUAUAUCCUCAAAUCCCAUACAAACCUUCAACUAUUUUCUCUUUAGUACAUAGUGAUGUGUGGGGUCCCUUACGGAUAAAAAAUAUUUCUGGCACUCGAUGGUUUGUGACAUUCGUUGAUGAUCAUACACGGGUAACAUGGGUUUUCCUUAUGAAAGAAAAGUCAGAGGUCGGGCACAUUUUUCAAACCUUCAAUCUUAUGGUUCAAAAUCAAUUCAAUUCCAAAAUUCAAGUCCUCAAGUCAGAUAAUGCAAAGGAAUAUUUUACUAGUAGUCUCAGUACUUAUCUUCAAAAUCACGGCAUUAUCCACAUAAGUUCUUGCGUUGACACCCUACAACAAAAUGGGAUGGCUGAACGCAAGAAUAGACAUCUCUUGGAGGUUGCCCGGUGCCUUAUGUUUUCCUCUAAUGUUCCAAACUAUUUCUGGGGGGAAGCCAUUCUCACAGCUACCUAUUUGAUUAACCGUAUGCCAUCCAAAGUGCUUACCUUUCAAUCCCCAUGUCAACUUCUCUUAAAAAAAUUCCCUCACACCCGUGCAGCCUCUUCUGAUUUACCACUCAAAGUAUUUGGUUGCACGGCAUUCGUUCAUGUGUAUCCUCAAAAUCGUAGCAAAUUUGCUCCUUGAGCCAAUAAGUGCAUUUUCCUAGGGUAUUCUCUAACCCAAAAAGGGCACAAAUGCUAUUCUCCAACCAACAAAAGAUUUUACACCACCAUGGAUGUCUCUUUCUUUGAACAUGUCUUCUUCUAUCCCAAAUCUCAUGUUCAGGGGGAGAGCAUGAAUGAACAUCAAGUUUGGGAGUCUCUUCUUAAGGCUGUACCUUUUUCUCACUCAGAGUCACCAAAUCCUUUCCAAUCCACGCCCACUGAGUUGUCCACACCCAUGCCGUCAUCAGUCCAGCUAGCCCAGCCCACAAAUGUUCCUUCUCCCGUGACCAUCCAGUCUCCCAUGCCUAUUCAACCUAUAGCCCCACAACUUGCUAAUGAGAACUUACAAGUUUACAUCAGGAGGAGGAAAAGACAGGAAUUAGAGCAUGGAUCACAGCCAACAUGUGGCCAAUAUAUUGACUCCAUUUCAAGUCUACCUGAAGAGAACAUAGGUGAGGAUAGGGCUGGAGAGGUGUUAAUUCCCAGCAUUGAUGAUUCUACUAUGCCGAUUGCAUUGAGGAAGAGUGUUAGGAGAUGUACAGAUCAUCCAAUUGGGAAUUAUGUUACGUAUGAAGGGCUAUCACCAUCUUACAGAGCAUUUGCUACUUCUCUUGAUGAUACUCAGGUUCCCAACACAAUACAAGAGGCAUUCAAAAUUUUAGAAUGGAAGAAGGCAGUACAAGAUGAGAUUGAUGCACUUGAGAAGAAUGGGACAUGGACUAUCACAGAUUUGUCGAUUGGGAAGAGGCCCGUGGGGUGCAAGUGGAUUUUCACCAUAAAAUACAAAGCAGAUGGAUCAGUCGAGAGAUUCAAGGCUCGUUUGGUAGCUAGAGGGUUUACACAAUCCUAUGGGAUAAACUAUCAGGAGACUUUUGCUCCUAUUGCAAAACUGAACACUAUCAGGAUUCUUCUCUCAUUGGCUGUCAAUCAAGAUUGGUGCUUGCAACAACUGGACAUAAAAAAUGCGUUUCUAAAUGGUGACCUAGAAGAGGAAGUCUACAUGGAAAUACCACCUGGUUUCGAAGGAAAUAUGGCAAAGAAUCAGGUUUGCAAACUCCAAAAAUCCUUGUAUGGCCUUAAACAAUCUCCCCGAGCCUGGUUUGAUAGAUUCACAAAGGCAGUCUUAAAGCUGGGCUACAAACAAGGUCAGGCUGAUCAUACUCUAUUUGUCAAGAAGUCUCAUGCCGGGAAAAUGGCCAUAUUGAUAGUAUAUGUCGAUGAUAUUAUUCUAUUUGGGAAUGAUAUGGAGGAAUUACAGAAUUUGAAGAAGUAUUUUUCAGAAGAGUUUGAAGUUAAAGACCUUGGAAAUUUGAAAUAUUUCCUUGGUAUGGAAGUGGCUAGAUCAAGGAAGGGAAUUGUAGUCUCUCAAAGAAAAUACAUACUCGAUCUUCUUAAGGAGACCGGUAUGCUUGGAUGCAAACCAAUUGAUACUCCUAUGGAUAGUCAGAAUAAACUUGGUAUCGAGAAAGAGAGUACACCGGUAGACAGGGGGAGAUAUCAGCGGCUCGUUGGGCGCUUGAUUUAUCUCUCACACACUCGGCCAGAUAUUGGCUUUGCAGUGAGUGCUGUAAGUCAAUUCAUGCACAGCCCCACUGAGGAACACAUGGAAGCAGUCUACAGGAUUCUUAGAUAUUUAAAAAUGACACCAGGGAAAGGUCUAUUCUUCAGAAAGACAGAGAAUCGUGACACUGAAGUAUACUCAGAUGCGGAUUGGGCAAGAAACAUCAUUGACAGGCGGUCCACUUUUGGAUACUGUUCUUUUGUCUGGGGAAAUCUUGUUACCUGGAGGAGUAAGAACCAAUCAGUUGUAGCCAGAAGUAGUGCAGAAGCUGAGUACAGAGCACUAGCACAGGGAAUCUGUGAAGGGAUUUGGAUAAAAAGGGUUCUUAGUGAACUAGGACAAACGAGUUCAUCUUCGAUUUUGAUGAUGUGUGAUAAUCAGGCAGCUAUAAGCAUAGCAAAGAACCCCGUGCAUCAUGACAGGACCAAGCACGUUGAGAUUGACAGACACUUCAUCACAGAGAAGGUGACUAGUGAGAUGGUUAAAUUGAACUACGUUCCUACCAAGCACCAAACCGCAGACAUCCUCACCAAAGCUUUACCUAGGCCUAACUUCGAAGACUUAACUUGCAAGUUGGGAUUAUAUGAUGUAUAUUCUCCAGCUUGAGGGGGAGUGUUGAAAUUUGGCAUUCAAAGUUAGGGUUUUAAUUUAGGAAAGUAUUUUAGGAAUAAAAAAAGGAGAGAUCAUUUAGGAUAUUUCCUUAGGAUUCAGUUUCCUAAUUUUAAGAGAGAAUCAAGCUAGAUUGAUAUUUUCUUAUUCUGUCAUUUUGUGUAUAUAUAUGUGUAUGGUGUGUACCGAAUAAUCAUCAAUAAAAAGGAAUUCAGAAAUUCUUCAAUAUUAAACCUCAUGAGUCUCAAGAAAUGGCUCUCAAAGACUCCUGGCAAGAUAUUGGUGAAUUGUAAGAAUAUUUGUAAUGGUAAUGUUAAGAUUGCAGAAUUAAAAAAUAAUCAGAUGAAUUUAUUGAAGAGUGAUUUGAUAAAAAGGUGAAAUAACUUAUCCAAAAGAAGGAAAUUAGCUAACGUUGAGAGGGAAGAGUGGAUCCUUUCCACACCAUGAGGAGCUUAAAAAGAGGGAAGAGUUAAAGAAACUAAAAUGAUAACCCUUGGAUCCUCUUACAAAGUGUCAAGUAUGGACUCCUGCUUUGGCAAGAGCAAAAUUUGCUAAGGCAUGGUCUAAGUUAUGAAUAGCAUACAACUUUGGACACACUUGUAAUUUCCAUAUUGCAGAUUCAUUUUUUGAAAAUUGCCAUCUGGAUAUCUAUCAUCUCUAUGCCACAAUAACAAAAGUGUUCUCCUAAGGUCUUAGUCCAACUUUCAAAGCCAUAGACCACCACAAGCCAAAAUUUCUUGAAUAACAGGACAAUUGUAUACUUUAGGACUUGAUAACAAUGAGAAGAAUUUUAGUGGAGGUAGAAUGAAGUAGGUCUGCCCAUGUAACAUCUCCAACAUUCCUUUGACUCUAAAGCCUUUUUUUACUCCUUUCCUACUUUUCCAUUCCUUGUCAUGUGUUUGGCUGCACCUUCAUGUUCUUUGUCUAUAUACAUGGAAAACAGUUAUAUUCUUAGGGCUCUUCAUUUAGUACUUCAGUAUAUAUAUUCAACACACACACACACACACACACACACACACACACACACACACAUAUAUAUAUAUAUACACACACAUAUAUUAAUUAUAAUCAGAAUUCAUUGCUUGAAUAUUAAUCUAUAAAGAAUCCAUAAAACUUGAUUUUUGCUUCUCUUUUCAUUCCAUACUUAUGCAAUCUUUAAUUGUUGUUGCAUUAGUGCUUGUCUUUAGGUGUUGAAGAUGUGGAUGAGGUUCAUACAACAGUUUUUUGCCUUCCAAAAGGUGAGCUACCGACCACCCUUAAGUGGUUGUUAAUUGAAGAUUGUCAUAAACCGAGGAUGUUCAUCCAAGGGAAUUAAGCACCAUGCUUUAAUGGACAACAAUAACACUUGUUGUCUUGAAUGAAUAGAGGUAUGGGGAUGUUCAUCUCUAAAGUCCAUUCCAUGGAUCUCCAAAGAACUCUACAACUGCCUAAACUCUCAUCCUUUGUGCCAAAGGAAGGGCUGCCACUAACACUUGUAAGAGUUGUAAUGGGGACAUGUCCUAUUCUAAAACAAAGGUGCCUCAAGAGCAAAGGAAAAUAUUAGCCCAAGAUUGCCCACAUCCCCUACAUGGGAACAUAUGACAUUGUAUUACAAUAACAAGUUCAACCAGGCACCCCAAUUCUUUGUAAUCUUGCACCAAAGAUUCUACUCACUAAUUAUUAUUUUGUUUAAAUAUGUUCUAGUCUUUUCUUAUCCUUUUUUACCUCAAGGAUUCUAUUAUUUCUAAAAGAAGCUCCAAGGGUUUCAUGAAAUUGCCAACAACCCACCCUGAGAUAGAUAACAUUGUACAACAGUAAAAAGUUCAAUCAUGUAGCCCAAUUUCGUGAACCCAUGGCAAAUGUGAAAGCCUUUUAAUCACGGUAACCCGAAAAGGCAAUAGAAAAGGCUGCAUGAUCAUCUCAUAUCUCUUGUAGAGUUGAGACUCAUCAUGCUCAAAAAUCUUUUCCUCUGAAGGGACUGUCAUUUUGUGGUUAGUGAUUGUGAGGAGAAUACUUUUAUUAUUGACUUAUCUACUUUUGAAUUCCUCAUUGAUUAAAAUUUGAUUAGGAGUUUUGGCUUUUGACUGCAGUUAUAGGCUCUAAACACUAACAUCUCUCUAAAACAAUCAGCUAUAUGCAUGGUCUCAUCACUCCAACUUCUCUAGCAUCCAAAAACUCUAGAAUCGGGAAUGUGCCCUUAGCUUUGUCCUUAUUGGCCAAAAUAAGCCAUUCCUGCCGCACUUCAAUUUGUAAGUUCUAAUAGAAAGCAAUUUUCACCAUUCUCAACUCAAAAGAUUGCCUUUACCUUUUGAUAAUGAUGGAAUUUAUGUUGUACAUGUAGGAUGACAUGCAAAUGAAAGCAAAAUUUCUUAGGUCUGGUGCAGCUCAUUGGCAUCUGCAUGGGUAAAUAUCCUAAUCAUGAAAUUUUGUGUUUAAUGAAAGCAAAAUUGUUGCAUUUAGUGGACCAUUCUUUUUUACUUUUGGUAUAUGUGAUUCCAAUUUCUAGUCUAACAGUUUUUGUUAACACCUUUUGCACUAUUCUCAAAAGGUUUUGAGGUCAUGCAUUACAUAUAAAGACUCAUCAGUUAAAAAAAAACACAAAACUAAUUUUAAUUCUCUUCUUUUUGUUUUGUUUUUGAGAUGAUGUGAGUUUUUCCCCCAUUGGUUUGGUAUGGGCAAGUGGUGUUAAUAGGAAUCUGAGGGCCUCAAGGAGUUAGAGAACAUUAUCAAUCAAGUAUUCAACAAAUGUUGAGAGAAAUAAAAUUAGACAAUGGUGAGAAGAAGAAAUUUCAAAUCCAGGGUGAGCCUUGGUUUUUUGCUUUCCAUGUUUCAAAUUAAGCUUUUAAUAUGUGAUCUCGGUCUUUUAGUUUUGCCCAGUGCUUAUAUUUUUUUAUGAUCUAAAUUGAGCCUUCACUUCUACCAUGUCUCAAUUGGUGCUUGCAUUUCUAAGUGUCAAGUGUCAUUCUUUUGGAGGUUAUUCAAUUUUCAGACUAUGACAAGAUAAAAUCUCAAUGCAAUCCUAAUUACACGUUUUUCUUUCUAGAAUCAUUUGAACUUAGUAAUAAUUCAACCUAUGUUUUGAAUUUCAGGAUAUGAGACUUGUUUCAUCUGAAAAAGAAUGUAGGUAGAACCCAAGUGAAUCCCACCAUUUGAAAACUUAUGCAUCAAUGGUUACUGCUCUUGCCCACCCAGAUUUGGAUUUGAAAGACGAAAAUACAAUGCAUCAAUGGUUCAGUUGGGAAAACAAUUUUCAUACAUGGAGAGAGAGCAGAAGAGGAUUCUUGCAAGUAGCCAAGCGAUUCCUUACGUACAAUUUUAUUAAUUGCCUUAAAUGCAUUGUACCUUAUGGAGAGAGAGCAUUGGCCUAUCGCCAAAAUUUUGAAAAAAUCGAUGGUUUUUUUACAGUCUUCCUCUGUUGCUCCGUGUGUCACUCUAUGCUCGAUUUUUUCAUCGAUUUUUCACCUCCAAAUUGAUAUAUCAUCGAUAUUUCGCUGAUAUUACUGAAAUUUUUUCGAAAUUCUCAUCGAUUGAUAAUUGGUGCCUAAUAUUAUGUCGGGCACCAUUGAUAUUUGAUAUAUCAACGAUAUUUUGCUGAAAAAUAUGAAAUUUUAAUCUUUGCCUAUAGGCAAGUGUUUCCUCCAUCCCACUCAACUAUAUAUCAAAACAAUCAAAACAUAUUUACUAGGCAAAACCUCAAUAUAUAUAUAUAUAUAUAUAUAAUAAAAAAAUUAAAAAAAAAAAAAAAAACCAGAAAGCAUUGGCCUUAAGUUAGUGAUUAUGCCUAAAAGAUUAAUGUCAAAUUAUCUUCACCAAUAAAUACAAUAUUCUUACUACAUUUUUUCAAACGAUUCUCUAUGGCCAAAAUCUAAAUAAAUAAAAUAAAAAUAAUAUAUUAUAUGUGCCUUUUAUAUGUAGUAUAUUGGUUUUGCUCAUGCAUGUAGUAUAAUUAUUUUGUAAAUAAAAUAAUUUUUGAAAAAAGAAAUAAUAGUAAUAAUAAUGAUAAAGUGAAUAAUUGAAAAAAAAAUUAAAAGAUAGACUUUAUCUUCUUUUUGCUUUUGCCCUAUUCCUUUUUUUUCCUUUCUAGCAACACUACUGCAACAUUACCAUUUUUCAAACCAAUAAGCAUCCACUAAGCAACACUCUAUUCUCUGUCUCUGUCUCUCUGUCUCUGUCUCUCUCUCUCUCUCUCUCUCUCUCUUUUCCAUUGCAAUCGUGGACCAUGCAGCACCUAUUUUUUGGCAGCUGUAACACCUUCACGUUUUUUCAACCAUGGAGAGCUUUUUACUUUAUUCAAAUAUGAUUAACCUUUUAUUUUAUUUUAUUUUCAAUUAAAACAAUCCAUUUUUUAUUUUUUUUAAAAACAUAAAAAUGAUGGAGAAAAGGAUAAAACAUAAAUUUGAAAUCUUUACCAUCAAAAUUUUUCAAACAAAAAAUAAAGUGCAACCUUCAAAGCUUCUAAGAACAAAGUGAAUGAGUCUGAAGAUAGUUUUUUUAUGUUUGUGCUUUUGAUACCAUGGAUAUCCACAUUUGCACAUGCAUUUUAAAAGAAAUCCAUAACUCUCUACUUGCAUUGAAUCGACUAAUUUUUAUUUUUUUUUAAUAGUAGUCAUUUAUUGUCAUGCCUUAUGAUUGUUGUGUAUAUUUAUAUCCUUAUUCUCUUUAGAUAUUGAUUAUAUAUUAUAGCAUUUGAUUAUAUGCUUUAGAUAUCCAACAAAAAAAAAUCGUAGAAAUCAUUGAAGUUCUCUCAACUUGAUAUUAGAUAUUGAUUUAGGGUUUAAAUGGGUGUUAUAACUUAUGUCAUACUGUAGACCCCCAUUUUGGGGUGUAUUUUUGCAGAUCAUUUUUGCCAGGUGGAAGGCUCUUGGAAGACCACAUGUUGCCCUAAGAUUGGUCAUUGGGGAAUUGAUUCGUCCCCAAUUGGUGUACUCUUGAUUCAGUCCUUAGACGGGAGUUAUCAACAAAAUUUAUAAACCUAAUUCACCAUAUACUAGGGUAGCAUAGCUAGCAUAGCAUAGUGGUUCUAGGAUCGUCCACAGGGAUGUGUUUUCAUUUCACACAUGAUAUUAGUUUAAAGAAUUGGAUUGGUGUUUUUUCUUUUAUGAGUUAGCUUUAAAAGAAAACAUAAUCUUUGGUUGAAAAAUGUUGGUUUUAAGCUAACCAAAAAAAUAGUAACUGAUAUUAAUUAUAAAGAAAAGGUUUCUUGGAGUUUCAGGUCACUAGGCUCAGGUUCCUUAUACAAAAGGGGAUAUUCCAGAUCUUUUCCUUGCAUUAGGGAUUUAACCUACAGUUAUCCUCCCAACUGGUGUGUUACAGUUGCUUCCCAUUAAUGGUUUCAACGCUAAAUCCCUCUCACUGAUGCAUCUUGCAAUGGCUCGUACCUCUCACCUAGCAUUUGCCAUUUAGGGUGAUCCUUAACCUUGAAUUACCCUUCAAAAGCUUGUUGGAGAUAAUUAAUGGAUGUCUCCAGGGAGUCCAAAAGCUUACCAAGUGUUGGCUAUUCUAGAUAAUCCUACCUUUAAACCACUUCCCAGAGGCUCGCAAGAGAUAACUAAUGGAUCUCUGUGGAUUGAGUCCGAAAAGCUUACCAAGUGUUGGCCCGGGUGAUUAUAAGGGAUUUCAAGUUAACUAAAAAUAUAAAAACCAUUACCGGAUCACAACUUCCUCUUCAUUAAAAAUUGAAACAAUGAAAACUCCCACUUUUGUAUCUGGGUCCCUUACCUAGCUUCCUUCAGUCCAAGAAACAAAAAGUCUAGCCACUCAUCCUCUGAGAAAACAUCCUCAAAGAUUGUUUGGCUAGAAAGAAAAUACAAUCAAAGUGAGUAGGUAAGGCGGAGCAAAGCUCUAUAUGUUUCUUACUAAAAAAUGUACAAGUGAUCCCCAAGAAUGUUUUCCGAGAUUCUGAGAUAGAUAUUACAAAAAUAGAUAUGUUAAGAUAUAUAUAGAAAGAUAUUUUUAACCCCUCAAUUAGAUAUCCUAAAUAUCUAAAAAGAUCUUUAGCUGAUUACAAUGAGAGAAUAGAUAAUUACACAAAAUAUCUUGAGGUAAAAAUCUAACUGAGUUGGUGCGCAAAUAUCUGAAGAUUACAUGAAGAUUUCACAAGUUAGAUAUGGAGUUGCGAAAAUUUCGCAAGGUUGAAAAGGAGUUGUGAAAUUUUUGCAAUGUUGAAAAGGAAUUGCGAAAAUUUCUUUUGGCUUGCAAAAAUUUCACAAAUGGUGAAAAGAGGUUGCAAAAUUCUUUAGUGUUAGAUUUCUUCUCUGAUUCUCUUCCUUGCAUACUUGAUUGAUUUGGCAAAGGCUUCGAAGCUCUCCAAAACUUGAAUUUUUCAUGUAAUUUAGCUUCAAUCUUGCUUUGCCAUGGAUUAUACCAAGUUCUCCCUCAUUCUUGGCUUGUUUUAAUGAUAAAAAAAGCUAUCAAAAACAUCAAAACUUGCCAAAAAUUGAUUAGUAACACUUGUAAGGGUCCAUAAUGUGCCAAUUAGGUUAAAAGGUAAUAAAUACUACUCAAAAGUGUUUAAAAGAGUUUAUAAGAAGCUACAAAAGAGCACUUUUUAAGUAGUAAUCACUCCCUCCAACCAACAUAUUACUAGUCCCUUAGCAAUGAAUGAGAGAAAAACAAAAAUAAGAUAGUAAAAUAAUUUACAAGUUCAUGCUGAUCACUCCAAAAAAUCAUAAGUGGCAUGAUUGUAAAGCAUAUUCUCACAUGAAAUAUUAAAGAAGCGAAACUCAUCCUUUAACAAGAGGAUAUCAAAAAUCUUACCUGAUCAUAAUUCAUACACAGUAGGUAUUAUGCAAAUUUAAGUAAUGAGAGGAUUUUCACUUUCCUAGGCUCAAUCAUUACUUUUCCACAAAAAUCUGUGUUAAGCUUAUUAGUUUCCGAAUAUAGUACUCUGAACUAAUCUCUCCCCCCAACCUAGUUCUUUCUCAGACUUUAGCAAACUGACCACUUCCAAUAAGCUAAGAAUGCACCUCUUUUAUUUCACAAUUGUUUUUCUUGUAGGUGUGAGGUAUUGUUUUCUAAAGUGUCCAUGUAACGGGAAUCCAUCGAUGACUCCCAACCAAUCAAGGUUUAGGGCAUCAAGCUUUAAGGAUAUUUUGACCACUAACUCCUCAGAUUUUUACCCCGGACUUUUGAAAUUGAAAUUGAUUACUACCCAAAAAGUGCUAUUUUACACCUUUAAUGCAUUAUGUUUUAAGCACUUUUGUGUAGUAGUUCUCCAUCUUUAGUCCAAUUGGCAUGUUAAGGACCUAUCAAUGUCUUCUAAUCAUAUUUGUGGCUAGUUUUAGUGUUUUGACAGCUUUUUGGAUCAUUAAGACAAGCCAAGCAAAGGAGAGAAGCAAAGAGAAGCAAAGUGAAAAAAUCAGAGGACAACAGCUUCAGUCUUCUUUCAUACUUUUGGACGCACUUCCCGAAGUUCAUUUUNNNNNNNNNNNNNNNNNNNNNNNNNNNNNNNNNNNNNNNNNNNNNNNNNNNNNNNNNNNNNNNNNNNNNNNNNNNNNNNNNNNNNNNNNNNNNNNNNNNNUUUCCUCUGUUUUGCCCGACUCCACUUUAGAUAUUUUCUUAUGUAUUUUUUGAUGUAAUUUUCUUUCUUAUCCUUGUAACUAACCAAUCACAAGCUUUUGCUUUUGUAAAGACUAUAUAAGGGGUGGAAAUCACCUUUUUGAAUAUAUGUGAUAUGUGUUACGUUUAACACUUAGAAAAAUAUACAGAGCUCUCUCGUUUCUCUUUUCUCUUUACUAUUUUAUUUUUCUUGGAAGCCAAACAACCUCUGAGGAUGUUUUCCCGGAGGAUGAGAGGCUAAACUUUUGGUUUCUUGGAGUGAAGGAAGCUAGGUGAAAAGUCCAGAUGAAAAGGUGGAAAGCUUUCGUGCAUUAAAUUCAGGUAGUUGGAGUUCAUAAAUGGCUUCUAAAUCCAAAGUUUUGCUUUAAAUCCCUUAGAAUCACUUUGAAUGGCCAAUACAUGGUAAGCUUCAGGUCUCUAUGGAUGCUUAUUACUAGAUCCAUAUCAGUCUAUUAGUUAUCAUGUACGAGCCAUUGGAAAGUGAUUCAAGGUGAAGACCCAUAGUGUCUAAAGCCAUUAAUGGACCUUGACUACCAUUCCUAUUGACUUUUUAUGGAUUAAAUCUUCAUUGUCAAACCUAUAUCGGUUCGGGAAAUAACUAUAGGUUAAAUCCCCAAUGCGAGGAGAAAAAUCCAAAAUUUUCCACUUUGCAUUCUGAACUUGAUCCUAGCAACCCUUAGCUCUGAGAGACUUUCUUUCUUCUAUUUUCACUUAGUUUAUAUUAGUUUAGUUUCAAACACUUUCAAAACAAAUUUUAUUUUCUUUUAAACUUUAAGUUUUUUUAUAAAGAAAAUCAUUAAAUUCAAUUUCUAACCUUGAGUAUAUCACUGGUAGAAUGAAAACCCAUCCCAGAGUUCGACCCUAGAGCCACUAUACUAUAGUAGCUUUGCUACGCUAGUAUGAGGUCAUAGGUUUUAUAAAUGUUUUUGAUUAAAUGACCCAACUGGAGUUUCACGCGAAUCAAAAUGGCGUCGUUGCCGGGGAUGGUGCCACAAUACAGUGAUACAACCUUUUAAAGGCUACUUGUGAUUUUCAUCACAAGUUUGGUGAAUUCCUUUUUCACUAACUUCAUUUCCUUUCAUUUUCCUUUUGUUAAGUUUAUUUUCGUUUUCUUUCUAACCUUAACUUUUUUCUAGUUUUCUUUUGUUUUGGUUGUUUUUGUUUUAUUUCAGGUAAGUUGUAACUUGUGUAUGCCCUAUUGGAUUCGGGACCAAGAGGGAAGAUUAGUAAGGAUUGAGAAUCCUCAAGACACAGAGUUGGAUAUCUGUGUAAACAUCAUGGACCCUCCACAAGAGGAUCAGAAUUCUCAACACGGUCAAGGGGGUAAUCCAAAUGCAUAUCUAUCCAUGAGGGAUAGAAUACACCCACCAAGGAUGAGUGCACCCUCAUGCAUCGUACCUUCUCUUGAGCAGCUGGUUAUAAGGCCCCAUAUUGUGCCCCUUCUACCAAAUUUCCAUGGAAUGGAAAGUGAGAAUCCAUAUGCCCACAUCAAGGAGUUUGAGGAGGUUUGCAAUACCUUUAGAGAGGGAGGAGCUUCAAUAGACUUGAUGAGAAUCAAGCUAUUCCCUUUUACUUUGAAGGAUAAGGCAAAAAUAUGGCUUAAUUCUUUAAGGCCAAGGAGCAUAAGGAAUUGGGUUGAUCUUCAAGCCGAAUUUUUGAAGAAAUUUUUCCCCACCCAUAGGACCAAUGGGUUGAAGAGACAAAUCUCAAAUUUUUCUACAAAAGAAAAUGAGAAGUUCCAUGAAUGUUGGGAAAGGUAUAUGGAGGCCAUCAAUGCUUGCCCUCAUCAUGGCUUUGAUACAUGGCUCUUGGUGAGCUAUUUUUAUGAUGGGAUGUCUUCCACCAUGAAGCAAAUUCAUGAAACCAUGUGUGGGGGAGAUUUUAUGAGCAAGAAUCCGGAAGAAGCCAUGGACUUUUUAAGUUAUGUGUCUGAGGUGUCAAGAGGAUGGGAUGAGCCCAACUCAAGAGAGAAAGGAAAGUUUCCCUCUCAACCAACCCAAAAUCCAAAGGGUGGAAUGUACGUGUUAAGUGAAGACAUGGACAUGAAGGCUAAGGUGGCAACAAUAGCAAGGAGGUUGGAAGAACUUGAGUUGAAAAAGAUGCAUGAAGUCCAAGCCAUUUCCGAGACACAAGCCCAUGUCAUGCCAUGCACCAUUUGCCAAUCAUGUGAUCAUGUGGUAGAUGAGCGCCCAACCAUGCCAGCUGUGAGGGAGAUGUUAGGUGAUCAAGCCAAUGUUGUGGGGCAAUUUAGGCCUAACAACAAUGCACCUUAUGGAAACACCUAUAAUUCAAGCUGGAGAAACCAUCCAAAUUUUUCUUGGAAACCAAGACCACCUCCAUACCAACCAGCCCAAACCCAAGCACCUCAACAAACCUCUUCAGUGGAGCAAGCCAUUGCGAACCUAAGUAAAGUCAUGGGUGACUUUGUGGGUGAACAAAAGGCAAUCAACUCCCAAUUGCAUUAAAAGAUUGAAAAUGUUGAGAGUUCUCAAAUUAAGAGAAUGGAGGGGAUGCAAAAUGAUCUAUCUCAGAAGAUAGAUAAUAUUCAAUACUCCAUCUCUAGGCUUACCAACCUCAACACAGUGAAUGAGAAGGGAAAGUUUCCCUCUCAACCAAGCCAAAAUCCCAAGGGUGUUCAUGAAGUUGAAACUCAAGAGCGGGAGUCUUCAAAGUUGAGGGAGGUUAAAGCUGUGAUCACUUUGAGGAGUGAAAAGGAGGUUGAUCAAUCCUUGCCUAAGGUGAGGCAAGAUGAAGAACUCGUGUCAAAGAAAACCUUGGUUAAAGAGAGUAAUAACCAAGAAGAGAAGAGUGGGAAGAAAAGUGCAUCCAAAUCAAGCAUUGAAGAAGAACCAAGGAUAGUGAUUAAAGAGGAUAUGAUGAAGAAACAUAUGCCUCCCCCUUUUCCUCAAGCUUUACAUGGAAAGAAGGAAAUCAAGAAUUCAUCAGAAAUUCUUGAAGUUUUGAGACAAGUGAAGGUGAAUAUACCCUUACUUGAUAUGAUCAAACAAGUCCCCACAUAUGCAAAGUUUCUAAAGGACUUGUGCACGGUCAAGAGAGGGUUACAUGUGACAAAGAAUGCAUUCCUCACUGAGCAAGUAAGUGCUAUCAUUCAGAGUAAGUCCCCAGUUAAGUAUAAAGAUCCGGGAUGUCCCACCAUUUCAGUCAACAUUGGAGGGACACAUGUGGAGAAAGCUUUACUAGACUUGGGGGCAAGUGUGAAUUUGCUCCCAUACUCUGCGUACAAGCAACUGGGACUUGGUGGAUUGAAGCCCACAACCAUCACUCUCUCUUUAGCUGACAGGUCAGUCAAAAUCCCAAGGGGGGUGAUAGAGGAUGUUCUAGUUCAAGUGGACAAAUUCUACUAUCCUGUGGAUUUUGUGGUGCUUGAUAUUGAUCCCACUGUUAAGGAAGCAAACUAUGUACCAAUCAUCAUUGGGAGACCUUUCCUAGCUACCUCCAAUGCCAUCAUCAAUUGUAGAAAUGGGGUGAUGCAGCUCACAUUUGGGAAAAUGACCUUGGAAUUAAAUAUAUUCCACCUAUGCAAGAGGCAUCUUCACCCAGAAGAUGAGGAAGGAUUGGAGGAGGUGUGCUUGAUCAACACCUUAGUUGAAGAGCAUUAUGACAAGAAUUUACAAGAGAGCUUGAAUAAAAGCCUUGAAAUGUUUAAAGAAGGGUUACCUGAACCCUCUGAUGUUCUAGCCAUCAUGUCUCCUUGGAGGAGACGGGAAGAGAUCUUACCACUAUUCAAUAAGGAGGACUCACAAGGAGCAGCUGUGGAGGACCCUCCAAAGCUUGUUUUGAAGCCGCUUCCUGUUGAUUUGAAAUAUGCAUAUUUGGAGGAAGAUGAGAAAUGUCCAGUGGUGGUUUCUUCAACUCUUACUAGUGAUCAAGAGGAUAGUCUUUUGGGAGUCCUCAGGAAAUGCAAGAAAACCAUUGGAUGGCAAAUUUCUGAUCUGAAAGGGAUUAGCCCUUUGGUGUGCACCCACCAUAUCUAUAUGGAGGAAGAUGCCAAACCAGUGAGGCAGCCCCAGAGGAGGUUGAAUCCUCACAUGCAAGAGGUGGUGAGGGGUGAAGUUCUGAAGCUACUCCAAGCUGGGAUCAUAUAUCCCAUUUCAGACAGCUUGUGGGUGAGCCCCACCCAAGUAGUCCCAAAGAAAUCUGGAAUUACUGUGGUCCAGAAUGAGAAAGGGGAGGAAGUCUCUACACGUCCUACCUCAGGAUGGAGGGUGUGUAUAGACUACAGGAGGUUGAAUUCAGUGACUAGGAAGGACCAUUUCCCAUUGCCUUUCAUGGACCAAGUCCUUGAGAGAGUCUCAAGACAUCCUUUCUACUGUUUUUUGGAUGGUUACUCGGGGUACUUCCAAAUAGAGAUUGAUUUGGAAGAUCAAGAAAAGACAACCUUCACUUGCCCCUUUGGUACUUUUGCGUAUAGGAGAAUGCCCUUUGGUCUAUGUAAUGCUCCUGCAACUUUCCAAAGAUGUAUGCUGAGCAUCUUCAAUGAUAUGGUGGAGCGCAUCAUGGAAGUCUUCAUGGAUGACAUCACUAUAUAUGGAAGUUCUUAUGAGGAGUGUUUGUUGCAUUUAGAAGCUGUUCUCCACAGAUGUAUUGAGAAAGACCUAGUGCCAAAUUGGGAGAAGUGCCAUUUUAUGGUACAACAAGGAAUUGUCUUAGGACAUAUCAUCUCCAAGAAUGACAUUGAGGUAGAUAAGGCAAAGGUGGAGCUAAUUGUUAAGUUGCCACCUUCCACAAAUGUUAAAGGAAUUAGGUAAUUCCUAGGACAUGUUGGGUUCUAUAGGAGGUUCAUUAAGGAUUUAUCAAAAAUCUCAAAGCCUCUUUGUGAACUCUUGGUAAAGGAUGCCAAGUUUGUGUGGGAUGCGAAGUGUCAGAAGAGUUUUGAGGAACUGAAGCAAUUCCUCACAACUGCACCAAUAGUGAGAGCCCCAAAUUGGAAAUUACCUUUUGAGGUAAUGUGUGAUGCAAGUGAUCUUGCUAUGGGGGCUGUCUUGGGGCAAAGAGAAGAUGGAAAGCCCUAUGUGAUUUAUUAUGCGAGCAAAACUUUGAACAAGGCUCAAAGAAACUACACAACUACUGAGAAGGAGUUGUUGGCAGUAGUUUUUGCCUUGGAUAAGUUUUGUGCCUAUUUGGUAGGGUCCUCUAUAGUGGUGUUCACUGACCAUUCCACUUUGAAGUACUUGCUAACCAAGCAAGAUGCCAAGGCAAGAUUGAUAAGAUGGAUCCUUUUGCUCCAAGAAUUCAAUCUCCAAAUCCGGGAUAAAAAGGGGGUAGAAAAUGUGGUAGCUGACCACUUGUCAAGACUUGUGAUAGCACAUGACUCACAUGGUCUACCUAUCAAUGAUGACUUCCCUGAGGAGUCUCUCAUGUCAAUAGAGGUAGCUCCAUGGUAUUCUCACAUUGCAAAUUUCUUGGUUUCUGGAGAAAUUCCGAGUGAGUGGAGUGCCCAAGACAAGAGGCAUUUCUUUGCUAAGAUCCAUGCCUAUUAUUGGGAGGAGCCUUUUCUCUUCAAAUAUUGUGCAGAUCAAAUCAUAAGGAAAUGUGUUCCUGAACAAGAGCAAUCAGGAAUUCUUUCCCAUUGCCAUGAUAGUGCAUGUGGAAGUCAUUUUGCCUCCGAGAAAAUAGCUAUGAAAGUGAUCCAAUCAGGUUUUUGGUGGCCCUCUCUUUUCAAGGAUGCCCACUCUAUGUGCAAGGGAUGUGAUCGGUGUCAAAGGCUUGGGAAGCUAACACGCCGAAAUAUGAUGCCCUUGAACCCCAUCUUGAUAGUGGAUGUUUUUUAUGUUUGGGGGAUAGACUUCAUGGGACCAUUUCCAAUGUCGUUUGGACAUUCCUACAUUUUGGUGGGAGUGGAUUAUGUCUCUAAGUGGGUAGAAGCAAUCCCAUGUAGGAGCAAUGAUCAUAAGGUGGUUCUUAAAUUCCUCAAGGAUAACAUCUUUGCAAGAUUUGGAGUGCCUAAGGCCAGUAUAAGUGAUGGAGGAACUCACUUUUGCAAUAAACCUUUUGAGACUCUUCUAGCCAAAUAUGGGGUUAAGCACAAGGUAGCUACACCUUAUCACCCUCAAACAAGUGGCUAAGUUGAGUUAGCCAACCAGGAGAUCAAGAAUAUAUUGAUGAAGGUGGUGAAUGUGAAUAGGAAGGAUUGGUCUACUAAGCUCCUGGAUUCCUUAUGGGCUUAUAGGACCGCUUACAAGACCAUUCUUGGAAUGUCUCCUUAUCGCCUUGUUUAUGGCAAAGCAUGUCAUCUUCCAGUGGAGGUUGAAUAUAAAGCAUGGUGGGCAAUCAAGAAGCUCAACAUGGAUUUGACAAGAGCCGGGUUGAAGAGAUGUUUGGAUUUGAAUGAAUUGAAGGAAAUGAGGAAUGAUGCUUACCUCAAUUCAAAAAUUGCAAAAGAGAGGUUGAAGAAAUAGCAUGAUCAGUUGGUAAAUCAAAAGAAUUUUGCCAAGGGACAAAGAGUCUUGCUUUAUGACUCUAAGCUUCAUCUUUUUCCGGGAAAAUUGAAAUCAAGGUAGACGGGUCCUUUCAUUGUUCAUGAUGUGCAACCAAAUGAAGUAGUGGAACUACUCAACUUCAAUAGCACUCGAACUUUCAAAGUGAAUGGGCAUCGUCUCAAGCCCUAUAUGGAAUCAUUUUCCCGAGACAAGGAGGAAUUCAUCCUCCUUGAUCCACCUCCAACAUGAAAAUACUUGGUUUAUGGUUGAACUUAGUCUCUUCAAAGACUAAAGAGUUCAUCCUCUUUUUGUUUUCUUUUAAGUUGAUUCUAGUUUAAUUUAGUGUUUUUCCAUGUUUUGAUUUUUAUUUUUGACUUUAAGGUCGUUCUAAUGUGUUUUGAAUUGGUUUUUUGUGUUAACAUUCAGGUAGGAAAGCUUGAAGAAUGAAGGCAUGGUGAAAACAAAGGGAAAACAGGGGAGAAAAAAACCAAACUCAGUAAUUUUCGCACAACACUUCCUGUUGUGCGAAAUUUUCACACAACACAUUCCUUGUGCGAAAACGCUUUUGUGCCAAUUUCCAAAAAACAUGCUCUCGGUCCCUUCCCAAAAUCCCUUGUGCGAAUUUCACAGGAAUGCGAACCUUGUGCGAACCUUGUGCGAACCUUGUGCGAAUUCAUUUUUGGGACAAAUUUUCAAAACCAUGCUCUCUGUCUUGGUACUCCACAGGAAUGCGAAAUUUUCGCACAACACAAGGUGUCGUGCAAAAUUUGCACUUCCUCUUUAAAGGUCGUGUUCUCCUCUUCCAAUGCUCAAUUUCUUCUUCAUUUCUCUCAACACCUCUCUUCCGAUCACCCAAUCCCUUCCUUAAGCCCUUUUUCUUCAUCAUUCCCCACUCUCAGCACCACCAUGGCGGCCCAUCUCCAUAACUCCACUCCAUAGCCGCGGCAUUCACUNNNNNNNNNNNNNNNNNNNNNNNNNNNNNNNNNNNNNNNNNNNNNNNNNNNNNNNNNNNNNNNNNNNNNNNNNNNNNNNNNNNNNNNNNNNNNNNNNNNNNNNNNNNNNNNNNNNNNNNNNNNNNNNNNNNNNNNNNNNNNNNNNNNNNNNNNNNNNNNNNNNNNNNNNNNNNNNNNNNNNNNNNNNNNNNNNNNNNNNNNNNNNNNNNNNNNNNNNNNNNNNNNNNNNNNNNNNNNNNNNNNNNNNNNNNNNNNNNNNNNNNNNNNNNNNNNNNNNNNNNNNNNNNNNNNNNNNNNNNNNNNNNNNNNNNNNNNNNNNNNNNNNNNNNNNNNNNNNNNNNNNNNNCGCGGCAUUCACUAUUCAUCACCGCCCACUCCUUCAAUUUUCAUCUCCUUCCACCAUAAAAAACCUUCCAAUUCUUCACUCAACACUCUAAAUCCAUUCCUCAACCAAUCCCAACCUUGCAUUUACCAAACCAAAGCCUCAAGCUAAGGAUUCAAGCCACGUUUUCUUCAAAGGAAACCCAUUGCCGCCGGGUAGAGGAGCUCCAAAUUUCAAAUUCUCUUCGUAAAAAAGCUCCAAUUUCCAAGCCUAACCACCAUGAAAAAUCUUUUUCCUACCUUAGCCAGCAUUUCCCACCCUCAAAAGCCAAAAAUUUUCACCAUUUGAACGAGCUUCAAAAUUGCAAAAGGGCGGGUGAAUAGUGCUUGUGCGAAAUUUUCGCACAACACCUAGUGUUGUGUGAAAUUCGCACAACACCCCCCUUGUGCGAAAAAUUCGCACAACACCCCCCCUUGUGCAAAUUUUUAGUUUCUCCAUCCGUACCCUCCCCAAUCCCAAGCCUCUAAGCCUCAUUUCAUUGCUUCAUCAUGCCUAAGACCCGAGGAGGACAUACCUCAGCUCCCUAGAGCAGUGAGAGAGCCGCCCCUGUGCGGGCCCCACUAGAUGCGCCGCCACAUUUAGCUGAUUCUACCCCUCAGAGCAGAUACCAUACGAGGAGAGCAUCUGCCACGCCUGUGGCCCAUACUCAGAUUCCACCUCGGGGUCCUCCUACAAAGAAAGCCAAGACUUCAGAGCCAAGGGAAGUCCCUCCUGCUCCAUCCACUUCAGCUCCCUCGGAGCCUGUACCAGAGGCAGCAUCAUCUGAUGCCCCACUUGCUGUUCCUCCUACCUCAGAGCUGCCCAUCACUAUCCCUACUACAGAGUACCGUGACUUGCUCGCUUCUUUCCAGACUCUGACCACUACUNNNNNNNNNNNNNNNNNNNNNNNNNNNNNNNNNNNNNNNNNNNNNNNNNNNNNNNNNNNNNNNNNNNNNNNNNNNNNNNNNNNNNNNNNNNNNNNNNNNNCUUUCCAGACUCUGACCACUACUCAGACGGCCAUUAUGGAGCGGAUGGACCACUUCCAGCUUCAGUAGGACCAGCAGACUCUCAUUCUCCGUGAGAUUCAGCAGCACCUCGGUCUUUUGCCACCAGCUCCACCUGUAGAGAUGCCUUCCUCAGUUCCAGCAGAGGACCCCUCCUAUCCACCAGAGAAGCCUACUACUUGAUCAUAUGAUCACUCAUCUCUCUUUUUGUAUUUAUAUUCUACGUUUUUGGAUGUCUUAUAUAUUUUGGACCACUUUUAUACUGGGAUUGGAUAUAUUCCAUGUUUAUCUUGUAUAUUGUACUCUCUCUUAGUUUAUAUAGACAUCUUUUUUUUUUAAUGUAUUUUAGCUAUUCUUUUUUAUUCCCUCUAAUCAUCACUCUUAUGAUUUUUCUUUUCUUUUGCAACAUGUGGUUUCUCCUGUUCAUUCAGAGUCCCUUACUAUCAGGAGGUAUCACUUCCUCCCUUUUAUUAUCACUUGUUUUUAGAACAUUGGAGACAAUGUUCAUCUUAGUUGGGGGGAGAGUUGAGGAAGUAAUUUGUUGAAUUUUGGUUAAGUUAUAUUGCUAACAAAUUUUUUGCAAACUCUCCUUGUUUUCUUAAAGAUAAAUUCUUAAAAAUAAAUAGGAGAAAUUAAAUUCUUAUCUUAUUGCCAUAGUCUCAGAGUUUGUAUUAUGCUUAUUAAAGUUGUUAAAUUGUUGAAGCUCCUUUUGAUUUCAAUCUUAAUUCUUCCACUCUAAUCUUUUCACACACUGAACACAUUAGAUUCCAGUUAUAAGAUGGAAAACUUUCUCACCUCCUAAACUUAAGAAAUUUUCGACUUGGUACCAUUGACCUCAUUCUAUUAGUGUUGGGACACCUUAUAAAAGGCCAAUGUGUCUUAUGAAAUUUUUUUUUUUUGCUUCACUUGCUUUGAAACCCGAGCAAGGUCCGAGGGGUAUAUGGUGAAAAUCUUUAAAACCUGGUGCCCUAAGCCUUCAAUGGUUGGGAGUCACCGACCUCACUGCUCGUUACAUGGGGUGGAUGAGUGGAGUAUAUAUUUAAAAAAAAAAAAAAAGAGGUGUGUUCUUAGCUUUCUAUAUAUGAGUUAGUGUUGCUAAGUUAGAGAAAACCUUAGUUGGGGGGAGAAUAUAGUUUGAACCACUAUAACUGGAAACUAAGCAUCUUNNNNNNNNNNNNNNNNNNNNNNNNNNNNNNNNNNNNNNNNNNNNNNNNNNNNNNNNNNNNNNNNNNNNNNNNNNNNNNNNNNNNNNNNNNNNNNNNNNNNAGGGACUAGCAAUGUGUCAGUUGGGGGGAGUGAUUACUACCCAAAAAGUGUUAUUUUACACCUUUAAUGCAUUAUGUUUAAGCACUUUUGUGUAGUAGUUCUCCAUCUUUAGUCCAAUUGGCAUGUUAAGGACCUAGAAAUGUCUUCUAAUCAUAUUUGUGGCUAGUUUUAGUGUUUUUACAGCUUUUUGGAUCAUUAAGACAAGCCAAGCAAAGGAGAGAAGCAAAGAGAAGCAAAGUGAAAAAAUCAUAGGACAGUAGCUUCAGUCUUCUUUCGCACUUUUGGAGCACUUUCUGAAGUCCAUUUUCUACAUGCUAUAUACCAUUUCAAAGCUCAGGAAGUCAAGAAUCCAACGCUUCAAACCGUGUAUGAUUUGGAGCUGAAAUGAGGAAGAUAUGGCCUUUGGAAGACAACUGCUCCAGGCUUGUGCGAAAUUUUCGCACAACACCUUCAAAAUUCGCACAGCCCAUGCGUGGUGCGAAUUUUCCUCUGUUUUUGCCAACUCCACUUUAGAUAUUUUCCUAUGUAUUUUUUGAUGUAAUUUCCUUUCUUAUCCUUGUAACUAACCAAUCACAAGCUUUUGCUUUUGUAAAGACUAUAUAAGGGGUGGAAAUCACCUCUUUGAAUAUAUGUGAUAUGUGUUACGUUUAACACUUAGAAAAAUAUACAGAGCUCUCUCGUUUCUCUUUUCUCUUUACUAUUUUAUUUUUCUUGGAAGCCAAACAACCUCUGAGGAUAUUUUCCCGAAAGAUGAGAGCCUAAACUUUUGGUUUCUUGGAGUGAAGGAAGCCAGGUGAAAAGUCCAGAUGAAAAGGUGGAAAGCUUCCGUGCAUUAAAUUCAGGUAGUUGGAGUUCAUAAAUGGCUUCUAAAUCCAAAGUUUUGCUUUAAAUCCCUUAGAAUCACUUUGAAUGGCCAAUACAUGGUAAGCUUCAGGUCUCUAUGGAUGCUUAUUACUAGAUCCAUAUCAGUCCAUUAGUUAUCAUGAACGAGCCACUGGAAAGUGAUUCAAGGUGAAGACCCAUAGUGUCUAAAGCCAUUAAUGGACCUUGACUACCAUUCCUAUUGACUUUUUAUGGAUUAAAUCUUCAUUGUCAAACCUAUACCGGUUCAGGAAAUAACUAUAGGUUAAAUCCCCAAUGCGAGGAGAAAAAUCCGGAAUUUUCCACUUUGCAUUCUGAACUUGAUCCUAGCAACCCUUAGCUCCGGGAGACUUUCUUUCUUCCAUUUUCACUUAGUUUAUGUUAGUUUAGUUUCAAACACUUUCAAAACAAAUUUUUAUUUUCUUUUAAACUUUAAGUUUUUGAUAAAGGAAAUCAUUAAAUUCAAUUUCUAAUCUUGAGUAUAUCACUGGUAGAAUGAAAACUCAUCCAAGAGUUCGACCCUAGAGCCACUAUACUAUAGUAGCUUUGCUACGCUAGUAUGAGGUCAUAGGUUUUAUAAAUGUUUUUGAUUAAAUGACCCAAGUGGAGUUUCACGCGAAUCAGAAAUUUAAUACCUAAGCACCUACAAUAUGUUAAACUCCACCUAUUCACCCUUAUAACGAGCAUUGAGGUCGGUGACUCUCAACUAAUAAAGGCUUAGGGCACCGGUUUUUAAAGACUUUCGCCAUAUACCCCUCGGACCUUGCUCGACUUUCAAGGCAAGCGAAACACUUUAUUCUUUUUUUUUCAAAGGCUUAUUGGCCUUUUAUCAGGUGUCUCAACACUAUUAAAACGAGGUCAAAGGUACCAAGUCUAAAUUUUCCUAAGUUCAGGUGGUAAGAUAGUUUUUCAUCUUAUAAACGAAACCUAAUGUGCAUAGUGUGUGGUAAGAUUAAAGUGGAAGAAAUAAGGUUGAAAUCAAUAAGAGUUUCUAUAAUUCAUCAACUUCAAUAAACAUAAUACGACUCUAAUAUUCAAGUAAAAAGGUAAGAACUCAAUUUCUCCCAUUUCAUUUUGAUAAUUUUUCUUUAAUAACCAUGGAGAGUAUAGUAAAAACUUUUAAAAUUAAACAAUUUUUUUUUAAAUUAAGCAAAAGUACUUAAUUAACAAAAUAAUUUAGCAUUAUUAACAAUACUUCCUUCUUUUACUCUCUCCCCAACCAAGAUCAACAUUGCCCUCAAUGUGGCAAGAACGAUUGUAAAUAAAGGGAGAAAGUGGUACCUCCUAAGUGACAUGGAGUCUGAGUCGUAUAGGAAAAACCACAUGAUUCAAAAAACAAAAGAUUAAUGAGUAAACAAGCCACCCUGGACCCUGAUGGUAGGAACAAUGCAGAUCCAUCCUGAAGCGUAGUGGCACGGGUUGGGAUAUAGGUCUAAGAGCCAACUGAGUCAACAAACCACCCUUCAUGAGCUUUUGGAAAACUCGACUCAAAGGCAUACCUAGCUGGGAGAAAUGUCAUGUCUGUCUCUAUUAAAGAGGAAUAACAGUCUGUGGGGCUCGGGGUCGAGGGUAUAAAGUAGGAGGUCUCUUUGAAACCUGUGCAACAAAAACAAGAUCUAGGGUCUGGUGUAGGUAUGUAGGAGCCAUGGGCCUGAGUAGUCUAUAUUGAACAUUGCACUAUGGGUAAUAGGCUCCUGAAGUCUGCCCAAAUGUUUGAUAACGCCUGGGAGGUCUCAAUCCUGUUGAACUAAUAUUACCCACAUCUUCUGGUCUCUAUCAUCCUGAGGGCUUCUUUCUUUUUGAGUCAGGAGGGGAAGACUCGAGCCACAAUCCUCUAGCAAUGCCCUCCUCUAUACCAUAUAAAGCCUGUACCAAGGAUCCAAAAUCCAUAUGAGGAAAUCUCAUCAAAUGUCUGGCGAAUCUGAGCUGUAAACUCCUUAAAAUCACAUUAAUAUGGUCCCUCUUUGAAGGACGAUCAACAAUCUGAGUGAUUUUCUCCCUCCAUCGAGAGAUAAACAAAGUCACUGACUCCUCUAGUCCCUAUCUUAAGACCUCUAGCUCUCUCCUCGAGACGUCAAUGACAACAUUAAAUGCAAACUGUCUCAAAAACUCUUGGGCCAAAUCAUCGCAAUUCCUACGAUGUGAGGCAUUUAAGGAAGCAAACCAACGCUAUGCUGCACUACUCAACGACAAGGGGAAAAGCAUGAUCAAGUGGGCCUCAUCCAACCCAUGGGCCCUCAUCACACUACUGUAUAACCUCAAAUGAAUCUUAAGGCAACCUAUGCCCAUAUACCUCUCAAUAUCUGACAUCCUGAACUGGGCCAAUAAACUGGCCACUGGUGCUCCAUCAAAAUCAUCCCAAUUGAUAGCUCCAUUUGAAACCCUCAUCCGUCUCAUUCUCUACUCGAAUCUAUCCAUAUGAGCAUGUGCAUCCUCUAAGAUUGGAACGGGUGCUACGACAGGAAGUGGUGUAGCAUCAAUCUGACUAUGUAAAACAUACGAUGCAGGGUGUGGAACCGACUAAUUGAGUGGAGGAGGUGGUGAUGUUGUAGAGUCAUAUUGUGCACUAUCCCGAGGCGGGGCCUACUGCCCAUCUAUUCUCUGGGAGAGGCCGGCUAUAACCUCCUAAAUCAAAGCCAUGGUCGCGACAAACUGGGCAAUAGUGACUACCUGUGAGUCCAUAUCUCUCUGAUCUAGUCUUUAGUUUGGCUGAUCUGAUGCUCUAGUCAACCUGCCUCUAACUCUAGUCCAUGAAGGCGAAUUCAGAUUAGGCAUAAAAAUACUCCUAUAAACACAGAAACACUGGAUGAGACGCUAUACAGGAGUAGCUCUGUAGGAAUCGACUUAAAGGUAAUCAAGCAUACAACCCAUGUAUGCUGAAACUGAUACUCGUAUCUGAUCAUACCAGAAUGAGACUAUGGAGAGGGUAACCGAACCCAAUUGUAACCAAGGCAGCUCUGAAGGUCCAUAGAUGCACCCACGUGUGGGAAUGAAAUCUUAAUUAGGUUUAAGCUAACCUAAAAGGUUGAUGUGGCUCUAUAAGAUAAAAUCAGUGGGUUAAAGGAUCCCUAACAAAAGCGAUCGUACCCUCCGAUGAUACACAACCCUUUGCACACCUCCAAGGAGAGGGGAUGCUUCCAUGCAAGGUGGUCAUCACCUCCACACAUGCAUUUCCUCGCAUUCCCAGGGGGUUUCUUAAUGGUAAAGGCUCUCUUAUAUCUCAACACUCAAGGAAAAUCUAAAGUGCAAAGUGAAGGAUGUGGGUGCAUCAGAAAAACCUAAGAUCUAAAGUGGGAUAGUGAACAAAGACAAGAAAUCAUACAAUCAUGCAAAAGAAAGGGUUGUCAUACAAUAAGGAGUUAUUUGAAACAGAUAAGUUUCAUACAAUCAAGGUCCUAUCUAACAUAUGUGAAAGUGAAUCAUGCUGAAGUGAGCAAAGCAAUCAAGUGAUCCUUCAAGGCAAUCAAACAUGUUAGAUAGCAAACCAAGCAAGCAAACAAACUAAAUCGUCUUGUUUAAAAAAAGGAGGUACCCUCUAAUCGACUAAUUAAAUGCCACAUUUUCCUCAACUAAUGUUCAAGCUUGAUCCUCAAAAUCCCCAAUGGAGUCAGCAAUUUGUGGACCCGCAUUUUUCACGUGCACCCCUACUCUAUUGUGAGACUCGCUUUUAUUGGUGAAAAUUUGAUUUUGGAAAAGUUAGAGUCGCCACUUAUUUUAUUUUAUUUUAAAGGGAAAUUAAAAUAAGAAAUAAAACCCUAGAAAAAAAUAACUCCAUAGUUUUUGGAAAAGUGUGUCUUUGGAAAACCCGAGUCUAGGUCCAGGAAUCAGGUUACCUAUUGGGAAGGUAUCUCUAAAAGGUAGUACCCCUCUAACCCCUACAAAGGUCUCUACUAACUAAGUUGAGGGAAAUGUGGCAAUUAAUUGAUUAAUUGAGGAUACCUAGGUAGACUAAGGUGAUGUAAAAAAAAAUAGCAUGCCAAACAAGAUCAAAUCACAAUAAAGAAGAGUUAGGAUGCGUACCCGAACCACUUCUUAAGCGCUUUCAUAAAACAUCAGAGUUAGUAUAAAAAUAUAACACACGACAUGUAUUUAAUCAUAGCAAAUCAAGCACACAUCUAAGCACUUAAGGAUCAUAUCAAGCAUAAAUAAGGCUCACGACAACAUGCAUGUUCAUGGAAUUCUGAAAAGAAAUGAUAGAGAGCGUACCUUGAUAACAUGCAUAAUUUAUAAGAUUCCUCCAAAAAUGUUAGAAUGGUUAGGAAAAGUAUAAAUUAUAUAACAUCUCUAUUAUGUCUAAUAUACAGUACCAAAUCCAAAAGUGAACCAAGGUAAGUCAAAUGACUCCAAAAGCAGAUAACAAAUUCAAGCAAGUACUGAGUCAUCAACAUGCAUAUAGUAAAGAUAGCAUCACAAAACAAUUGCUAAAAAAAUGUCUUGGAGUGGAAUUUAAUCACAAAAAAUUUCAAGAAGCUACUCCUACGUAUCUAGAACAAGAUACCAAAAUCCAAACACUCAUUUGAAUGACAAAUUGCAGCAAAGACACCAAAAAGUUCCAAAAGGUCCAGAUUAGGUAAAAAAAAUAGUGACAUGCAUAAAUGAUUUUUUUUAAAAAAAUAAUAAGACAUCACAUAAAUCCGUACAAAAAAUCACAUACAUCGUUCAAGGUGUCUAUAUCAAAAGGAAAACAAAUUUAGGGUUGGGUAGUACUCUAAAAUAUUUUUAAAACGCUCCAACGUAAUUAGAUGUCCAGAUUCCAUCAUGCACAGUAGGUGUCUAAGAUCAAUUUCAAGAAGCCUAGAAUUGAGGAAAAAUAUUGGAUCAAAUUUAAAAAUCGUCUGGUAUUUUAAUUUUGCAAAAAGAUCUCGGGUGUCUAGAUCUGGGUGAAAACAAAGUCCCCUUAAAAACUCGUUUAUAUCUUUUAUUCCAGAAUGACUUUCUAACUCAAACGAAACUUUAAAUUUCAAGUUCAAGAAGUGAGGAAAGUCAUACAAGAUUUGGAAAUUUUUUUAAAAACAUUCCAAAGUUGCUAAAACAAAUUUUAAAUCUAAAGGGUCAGUGGCUGAGUGAAAACUGGUAGCAAGGAAGAGUUUUAAAAAAUUUUCUUAUGUAGGAAAUUCACCAAUUCCCCAAUUGGCAUACAAAAGUCUAGCCUAGAAUCAUCCCAUUUAUUUGGGACCACAAACUUUGAUUCGUGUUUUAUUCAAAACUAAAAUUUUCAUUGAAAACCGAGAAAGAUGCAAACUAAUCAAAAAAUGGUUGCAUAUUAUUUUAAGAAAAUGAGAUUUGGAUUAUAAGGACUCUAAAUGGAUUUUUUUUUUUUAAAUAGAUUUUUAUGAGGAACAUUUUGAGAAAUGUAUUUUAUUUUAUUUUAAAAUAAAAUAAUUUGAAAAAAAAACAGAACAUAAUAAAAAAAAAUACCAAGCAAAACAAAAGAAAAAACAAAAUCAUAAAAUGAUUAUUUUUUUACAACCGAGCAAACUAAAAUAGUAAGAAUGGAGGCCAAUCUUCACUAUUUUCUGAUGGCCUCCAAAAAGUAAAUUUUACCAGAGACUACUAAAGCAAUAAACUGUUCAAACUUAAAUCAAUUAAAUUAAUGACUAAUAUUCAAGGAACAUAUCAAUUAAGAGUAAUAAUCACGAAUUAACACGUGAUCGAUUAAACACACAAACGCAUCUAGAUUGAUUAAAAUAGACCAAAUUAAAUCAGGGCAAACAUGAAUUUUCAAUCAUAGAAUUAAUUUUAUUAGUGAGCUAAUAUUAUAGAAAAUACCUAACUGAAUAGAUGAGUGAAGUUAAACCAGCGUAAACUAAACACAAACACCUUCUAAAUGUGGAAUUGAUUUUAUUAAUAACUUAGAAUUAUAAAAAAAUACCUAAAAUAAUUAAAAUGAAUCAAAUGAAAUGAAAGCAAGCUAAAACAAAAUAUGAAUUCAUAGAAUCAGUUUCCUAAAUAAAUUUACAUUAUUAAAUUGAAAUCUAAGCUCAAAAUGAAUUAAACACUAAUUACGACAAAUUUAAGAAUCAAAUAUUUAACAAAUAAGAUCAAUUAUUUCAACAAACUAAAAUUUUACUUUAACCAAAAAUUAAAUUAUAAAACUACCCAAAACAAAUUUUAUAACUAAAUUUCUAACCUAUAAAAUCAAACUCAUUAACAAAUGGAUAAGUAGAUAACACAUAAAUGAAUAAAUAUGACUAAAACGAAAUAUGAACUCACGGAAUUAAUUUUUUUUAACUAAACUUACAUUACUAAAAUAAAAUUUAAGCUUAACAAACGUUUUUAACACUAAUUAAGGCAAGUCUAAAAUCUAAUAUUUAACACAUAAAAUCAAUCAUUUCAACAAACUAAAAUUUUACUUAAACCUAAAGCCGAUUCAAACUACCUACAACAUAUUUUUUUUAAAAAAAAUUGAAUUUUUAACCCAUAGGAUCAGUCUUAUUAAUAAAUAAGAAAUAAAUAAAUGAAUUACAAAUCAUUAAAUUAGUAGCAAAUAAAUACAUAAACAACUAAUAAUUAAAUGAAUCAAAACUAAAUUAAAUAAAGAUCAAACUAUAUUUUUUCUCAAAGUAAAACUACAUAAAAUUUUAUUUUCUGAAUUUAAUAUAAUAAAUCAAAACUAACCUUAAACACAAUUCUAAUCUUUAGUGUAAUAAAUCAAAAAUUAAACAAGAGUGAGAUUCAUGCUGCCAUGUUAAAACAAAUACAUGUUGGAGCUAACAAUAUAAGUUAAAUCACUCACCCAAUAUAAUAAUCACACUUGAAAAAUAAACCAAAACUUUAAAUUCUACUGAAAACCUAUAUAUAUAUAUAACUUACCUAGUCGGCUUACCAAAACAACUUGGUGACGUGUAACUGUUUUCUCUUCUCCGAUGAUGCUCUAGAACAAUGGUGUACUGGUUGAUGGAGUUUUGGUUCUUCAGCCAAUACUAUUCUUCCCUAUCAGCAGAUAAAUAGUACAGAACUCGUCUCAAGGAACGGUAAGUAUAAAUUUAAGAACUCCAUGCAAUUGGUUUUCAACUAUUCUGAUAGCCAUUGGAAUACGGAUAUUGUGUUCCAGAAGUUGGAUGAACAUGGAAAUGUGUGGUAAGAGAAUGGAGAAAAGCAAAUUCUUUCGAAUCUUAGUGUGGCCUGGUUGCAUAGAUCGACCCUUGACGAUGAUGGGAAUUUGAGAGUUUACCAUUUUCAGGAAGGCAUGGAUGGGUGGGCUGUUGUUCGACUGGUUCUCGGUUUUCGAUCAAAUGAAGAUUCAGAAUACUAAUGCGACAGGAAAAUUCAGAUGACACAAACACCAACUCCAGCUUGACUACGUCAACUUCAGCGACAGGGUCGACCAAAACAAUCUGGGUGUUCAGGUUGUUACCAUCGGUGAGUCCAAAUGUCGCAUUCCUUCUUUUGCUUCGAAAUCCUCCCGUUCUUCCCUCUCUUCUGAUGCGUGCUGAAAGUGUAUCAAGAAUGGUGCGGCUGGUUUAUGGUUCCCUUCCCAAAGACGUCAAUUUCUCUAAAAAUAAAAAAUCCAACCUUCAUCCAUGAAUCCACCCUCCAACCUUUUUUCGAUGAUUUCCUCCAUAAAGUUGGAGAUCUCUUCUUUACUCUUUGUGUAUGGCAGUCUCUCCCUCUCCUCUCCAGAAUGCUGGAUCCUGUUCCACGUGCUCUUUCUUCUUCUUCUUUUUUUCUUUAUUUUAAUCUCUUCUCAAUCACCCCUCAGCUCCUCUCUCCAGCCACGGUAAUAGAAGGAACAGUAGAAACAAUCGUCCUUUCUCUUUUCAGAUCACCCUCAAUCUUUUUCAGUAAUCCAUCAGACCUCCCCUUAAUAGUGCGUUUUUUUUCUUUUUUUCUUAAUCUUUUCUCCAUCACUUAGUCAGCUUCUCUACAACCACGGUGAUGGAAAAAACGGCAGAAAAAGGCUUUCUUCUCCUCUUCCAAUCACCCUCCAUCCCCUCCAAUUUUCUUUUUUUUUCUUUGCUUUUCCUUUUCUCUUUUCCUCUCUCUCCAAUCCACUGACUGCCUCCAUCUUUCCUUUCUAAUGGUGUUUUUCUUUUUUCUUUUACGGAACACGUGGGAUCCAUGCAAAACAAAUAAUAAAAAAAUUAAAAAUAAAAAUACCAAUAAAAGAAAACUAAGGGUUACAAUAAUAAUAAAAAAACGUGUAAUUAAGAAUUAAAAAUCCAAAAUAUGCAAUUUUAAACAAAAUUAAAAAAUAUAGAUCACAUGCAAAACUAAAAUGAAUUAUCCACUCAAGUAACUUUAUAUCAAAAUAAACUAAUAAAUAGAUAAAUAAAAACAAAAUGAAUAUGAUUAUUAAGCUCAUGCAAUUUCCUAAAAAUAAAUAAAUAAAUGAAUAAAACUAAUGAAUAGAGAAAGAUAAAAAUAAAAACAAAAAACAAAAAACAAAAUCAAGCAUAUGCAAGCCAUACGAGCUAUGCAACCAUGCAAGCCAUACGAGCUAUGCAACCAUGCAAGCCAUGCAAACCAUGCAUCCAUGCAAAAAAUGACCUAAGUGGGCCUAAGGUGCCUAAAUGGGCCUAUGGUGCAUAAGUGGGCAUAUGGUGCCUAAGUGGGCUUAAGGUGGUGCCUAACGAGCCAAGCGUGCAUAAAUGGGCGUAGGGUGUCUAAGUAGGCCUAGGGUGGUGCUUAAGAGGCCAAGUGUGACUAAAUGGACCUAGGGUGCCUAAAUGGGCCUAAUGUACCUAAAUGGGCCUAGUUGGUGCCUAAUGGGUCAUGUGUAUCUAAGUUGGCCUAAAGUGGUGCCUAAUGGGUCUAUGGUGCCUAAGCGGGCCUUAGGUGCCUAAGUAGGCCUAUAGUACCUAAUGGGCCUAAGGUGCCUAAGCGGGCCUAAGGUGCAUAAGUGGGCUUAUGGUGCAUAAGUGGGCCUAUGGUGCCUAAGUGGGCCUAAGUGGACCUAUGGUGCAUAAGUGAGCCUAAUGGUGCCUAAGUGGGUCUAAGGUGCUUAAGUGGGCCUAUGGUGCAUAAGUGGGCCUAUGGUGCAUAAGUGGGCCUAUGGUGCAUAAGUGGGCCUAUGGUGCCUAAAUGGGCUUAAGGUGCCUAAGUGGACUUAUGGCGCCUAAGUGAACCUAAUGGUGCAUAAGUGGGCUUAUGGUUCCCAAAUGGGCUUAAGUCUAAACUAGGGUUGCCAAGAGUCACAAUGGAGUUAAAUAAAUCCCUCAACCAAAGUCCCCAAGGUGGCUUAGAAAAGAUAGGCUACACAAGUAGUAAUGGGCCAUCAGGGAAUUGUUGUAAAAUAUGGAACAAAUACCUAAUAGGACAUGUGCUAAGAGGACAAAAUGGAGGGUUUACAGUAACAUGAUCUCACAUCAUUAGGAGAGUUGAGAAUUUCAUCAUGCUCAAAAAAAAAAUUCCUCUAAGGGAAUGGUUUAUCAUCCUUGCUGUCGCAUUUUGUACUUAGUGAUUGUGAGUGGAAUACUUUUAUUAUUGACUUAUCUAUUUUUUAAUUCCUCAUUGAUUAACAUUUGACUAGGAAAUUUGGCUUUAGACUGCAACUAUAGGCUCUGAAUGCUAACAUCUUACUAAAGGAUUCAUCUAUAUGCAUCCAAAAACUCUGGAAUCAUGGAAUGUGCUCUUAGCUUUGUCCUUAUUGGUUAAAGGAAGUAUUUCCUGCCAUACUUCAAUUGUAAGUUGUGAUAGAAAACAAUUUUCAAAAUACUGAUUUUACCUUUUGGUAAUGAUGGAAUUUAUGUUGUACAUGCAGAUGAAAGAAAAAUUUCUUACCUUUGGGGCAACUUAUUAGUAGGUGCAAAGGUAAAUAUCCUAAACAUGAAAUUUCUAUUUAAUGAAAGCGGAAUUUCUUACCUUUGGUGCUCCAUUCUUUUUUAAUUUUGGUACAUGUGAUUCUAAUUUCAUGUCUAAAAGUUUUUGUUAAUCACCUCUUGCACUAUUCUAAGAAGGUUUUGAGGUCAUGUAUUACAUAUAAAGUCUCAUCAAUUAAGAAAAAAAAAAAGAUGAUAUGAGUUUUCUCCCAUUUUCAUAUAGUAUGGGCGAGUGGUGUUACCAAAGGUUUGAGGUCCUUAAGGAGUUAGAAACUUUAUCAAUCAAAUCUUUAAUAAAUGAUAAGAGAAAUAAAAUUAGAUAGUAGAGAGAAGAAAAAACUUCAAAUCUAGAACAAGCCUUUGUUUUAUGAUUUCCAUGUUUCAAAUUGAGCUUUUAAUUUGGUAUCUCAAUCUUUAGUUCUACCUAGUGCUUAUUUUUUAUGAUCUAAAUAGUUGAGCUUUAAUGUUAUUCUACUGAAGAUAUGAGUCUUCACUUUUACCUUGUCUCAACAGUUCUUGCAUUUCUAAGCAUCAUGUGUCAUUCUUUUGAAGGUUAUUCAAUUUUCAGACUCCUACUUUACUCAAAUUUUCUUAUGGGAUUCAAUAAAUUGUCAUAAUUGUAGGAUAUGGGAUGGGAUUGAGAAAUAGGAACUGAUGUUAUCUACUCUUUGGAGAGAGUGUGGAUGAAUAAAAUGUGAUUCGAUUAUGUGUAAAAAUAUGUUUUAUAUGUAUUUUAUCUUUUGAUUGAGCUUUUGGGAUGUUUUCUUUUCAUAAUAAGGUUAAAGUUUCAAUAUUUUCUCUUGUAGUUCACACUUCAAAUGAAUAUUUGUAAGUUUGAUAUUGUUGUAAGCACUAGUCUUGUAGAUUCUUUUUUUUUUUUGAUGCUUGUGACAAUUUUUAUCUCAAGAAUAAAAUGAAUUCAUAUUAUUAUUCAUCACAUGUUCUUUCUUUGAAAUCAAAAUAGGGAUUCAUCUUGUGAAAUACUCUUGGGAGUGAAAAAAAACCCUUCUUGGGAGCCCUAGAAACUCUUGCAUUCUUGGAAUGAACUUAAAAUUUCAAUCUAUAAUGAGGUAAGAACAAAGGAUUUGUAUUAUUUAGUGGCUUGAUUUGGACAAUAUAUUGCCUGUGUGUAGACCCCCAUUUUGGGGAGACAUCUCUACAGCCCGAUUAUGACAAGUGUCAUCGUCUGGGAUGACCACGUGUCACUCCAGGACUGGUUGAUAGGGUAUCAAGUUAGUGGUUUUGAUGGCCAAUGGAAGCUUGACACGUGGAGAUUUCUUUCAGCAGAAAAAGCUGAAAAUCGUGAAGGUUGGCAGCUGCAGGGUAGUGGGGAAGAGGCUUGGCCGUUAGAGAUUUUUUGGAACUGAAAGAGAGAACGGGACAGUGAGAGAGAAAAGUUUUUUUGGGGGGAGUUUAGAGAGAUUCUAGAGGAGCAGGCUGGUUACUGAAGGACGAGAGAGAGAAAAACAGGGGGAUUAGAGGAGGAAGGGAGAGAGUUUGAGGGUGAGUUUCUGGCUUAGAGGAGAGGCUACCGGAGGAGAGAACGGGGAGCAGGCCAGCUGCAGAGUAGAGGUUUUUGGCUGCCGUUUUUCAGAGACCUUGAGAGUUGAGGGAGGGAAACUAAGAAAAACAGAACAUGUUUCUGGAGAGAGGGUGCUAAUUUUGCAGUGAGGCAGCUGCAUUGAGGAGAAGAGCAUGGAUCUGAGGAGAGGAAGAACAUACUAAGAAGAGGAAACUUUCAGGUUUGGUUACUCUGCUUUUUCUUUAUAUGUUCAUUCUUCAUCUUUUUAUAUAUAUAUAUAUAUAUAUUUCGUCCUCCAUGAUUUUCAUCUUGUUUAUUGGAUUGCCUUUGGUUUGGCGAUUAUGGCCUUGAUAUUUGAAAGAUUUUGAGGCACAUUAUUCCCUUUUCUGAUGAACUUUUCUUUCUCACCAUAAUAUAUUUGUUGUCGGGUCCAUGGAUAAAAUAUUGAAAUGGAUUCAACAUGUUGGUUAAAAGACUUGUUUUCAAUUCUUGUUGCUAUCCUCUCGAUCCUCUGUUUUUCCCUGCAUAUAUGCUCCCGGCUAUGAAAUUAUGAAAAACUGGAUUGAAGAUGGGUCUGGCAGUUCAUGGUCCGCAGGGUUGAUGAGACUAUUGCAGUAUAGAAUAGCAGUUUUAUGGGGGAUGAAUAAAAGCUUUGUGGAUGAAAUGAGAUAUAAAUCAAGGGAAACUGAAACAGACCUGGGUCUCUCUCUUCACUCUGUUUUUAUCCUCAGAUUUAGAGAAGUAUGGAGACUUAGCAACUAGCAGAUCUCAAUCUUAAGAAGGCAUCCCAACUUGGAGAAAUGGAGAGUGAAGGUGACCUGGGAAGAAGUCUGGAUCUAGUAUGCAUAUCUAAGCGUACUCCGAAUCGAUGUAGAGGAAAUAUUUCUUAAGGGAAGGCAUCUAAAAAUUGGUGAGAAAUACCGUCUGGGUUUAUUCCAGCUUUGAUGCAGAAAAUGAUCCUAUAAGGAGGUGAAAUGCAGAGGAGGGUUCAGCAUGAGAUGCGGCAAUGCAGUCCCGUUUGUAAUCGGGGGGCCCACAUGUAUAAUUGUUAUUUGCAUGGUCACUUUUUCUCACCACUCUUUUAACCACUGUACCCAUGUACUAAUCCAAUGCUUUACAUGCCCGCUGCCCACUCCCUCAUCCCUAUACUUCACCAUACCCAUUCAUUGCCUAUGUGUAUCAACUAUCCAUUUCUCUCAUUCUUUCUCUCUCUAUCCCACCAUGCAACCCAUUGCUUCAUACCCACAUCCACUCAUCCUACACCCGCGGCUAAAGCUUAUACCCAUAUCCCAUACCUUUAUGCAUGAACUCACUUAACUCCACUCUUGAACUCCUUUCUCUCUUCAUUAUUGUGCACCACUCGUCAUCUCUCAUGCCCUUCCCCCAAACCCAUUGCUUACUCCCUAUUCACGGACAUGAAAGUCAUCAUGCAUGAACAUUUCUAGGGGAUACCGAGUAGCUCAUCAAGAGGCAGUGCCAAUGCCAGAAUUCAGUCGAUCAAGCAGUCAUCACCCCAUAAUAUGAGAUACCAGUUCCCCACCUGAAUCGUCAAGCUUCCUUGACUCGGAUACACAGUCAACAACCAUCACUGCCGUGGCGUAAACCUGCUGGAACGUGGCUGCAUGUUGCUCGAAAACGCCCACCACUAUCAUGCCCGUCUUAGUGCAUGCAUGACCUUCUUGAAAAACAUGGAAAUGUUUGGCGCGCCUAGAGCUUGACUGGCCACAUGUGAUGAGAUUUAAAAAGGGUAUUUUGUGUCAACAUAAUGAACCUUUUGAAAAAGCUGUACGUGAAGGGUUAGAAUUAUCAAUCCCAUUCAGUUUCAAAGGCAUCCAAUUCCCUGAAGACUCCUUUUGAAGUUGUGAUUGCUAGAUUCCCCAUUACCUCAUUCUUUCAUUUCUGUUUGGUUCGUCGGAAGUGGAAUCCAUUGCUCAUUAGUGCAGGGAUGUGGUGAUGCUAGCUGAAAUUCAAAUUGUCUACAUCAUUGACUGUCUUGGUUUCGACACGUCUGAUGAACUAGCAAGCUGUGUACAUAUGAUGGCCAUGCGCACAUGCAUGAUGCUGAGGGAAAGAGCCUGAUUGGAGCCAUGUCAGGUCAUGAAAACUGGGUGCUCUGAGAGGCUAUGACGCCUUUGACUGUGGCUGGUUCAUCAGCAUAACUGGAGGAUAGCACUCAUUCCAAUAUACGGGUGUUUCUUGCUCACCUCCAGUUUGAACACUUGUUGACCUUACUGUGUGCACUGGACCCGCAAGCACGACCUGUUUUGCAUGGCCACCUUAUGCAUGUAACCCAAGAGCCACGUGUCAUCUUCCCUUUUCUCCAAUCCUCUUUGAUUUUGAAAAAGAUUUUCCCAAACUUCAUUUUGUAAAUAAUUUCCAAAAUUCCGGUUUUUAAAUGACUUCAAGUCUCCAAAGAUUUCAUCCUUAAAGUUUUUAGGACUCAACAUCCCAUUUUCAAUCAAAUUUGGUUGUCAUUUUCUUUCCGGCAAGCCACUUUUGCAUUUUCUUUGUUUUUAAAAUAAGUAAGAAUUAAAUUCCAUAAUUCCAAGUGAUGGAGUUUAUGGAAUUGAUUCAUGCAAAAUAAAUGGGCUUUGGUGGGGGCCCUACAUGUGAGACUUCAUGAUUGAUUAACUGAUUGAUUGAUUUAAUUGUCAUGAAUGAUGGAUUUUAUUAUGCUCUGUGAUAUAUCUCAUGAUUGUUAUUAUGCAGUAACCUCCUCUCUUGAUAGCGCAUGGUGGCUCGUUGGUCAGGUACACACCUAUUCUCACUCUGGUCACUCUAUAUACAUGUAUUGAUUCCCAUAUGUGCAUGAUCAAUUCAGGUAUUCAUUGAUUUCUUUAUUAGAUGCCACGAUUGCUUCAUUUUAUUAGUAGAGACCCGUCUUUAGGGACUUAGAGGGGUGCUACGGUCUUUACCGUACCUUCCCGAUAAGUAACCUGACCCCCGAACCCGAUCCGGUUUUUCGUAGAUCACCUUUUCCAAAUAAGGAGUCACACUUAGGGUUUUUCUUUCUUAUUUUGUUUACCCUUUUAAAAAUAAAACAAAAAUAAGUGGCGACUCCAAGUCAUUUUCAAACAAUAAAUAAAAAUAAAAAUUUCAAAUAAAAUCGAGCUCGCCAUCGAGUGGAAAACACAUUGAGCCGAAAAUGCGGGGUCCACAAAAUGGCGACUCCGCUGGGGAUCAUUUAGAGGGUCAAGCUUGAACUUAGAGUGAAGCAAACGUGGCAUUCGAUUGGACGAUCAGUGGAUGCCCAUUUCUUGAUUGCACAUUGUGGAUAUUUGAUGCAUGCUCGGAUUUUAUAUCCACUUGAGACUUUGACACGUCGAUCGUGUUGAUUGAUUUAUAUUGAUUGAGGAUUCUGAUGCCAUGAUUUCUUCUGUGUUUAAUUGAUAUAUUCAUUUGAGACAUUGACAUGCUGGAUCAUUAUUGAUUGAUCUUAUUGCCUUGCUUAACACAUUGAUUCUGAUUUUGCCAUGAUUGUUCUGAUCACUUCACAUGCAUACACUCAUUAUUGUACAUCAUUUGACUCGCCAUGUUGAUCCACUUGUUGCUAUAUUAUUUUGAUCAUCCUUGAGCGUGUUGUCUUUGUAUCACUAUCCAUCUGAUUGUCGUAUUCUCGCUUAUCUUGUGUGUGUACAUUGAUGAUAUAUCUGAGAUUUGUUUGAUUGUGUGUCGCAUGACUGCCCUCCUUCUGCAUGACUGCGUGCCGCUUGUUUAUGUGGGUCGCAUAUCUAUCCCCUUAUCUCCCAUCCUCUAGUCUCGGUCAUUUCCUUCAUUACGGUUUCUCUGACUGAGAUAGAGGUUAAGAGUAGGGUCUAGCGAUGGGCUAUACCGACGUUUGGGAGCAUUCUGGAGGAGAGCGGCACAUUGUUGUCGAUUGGAGUCCGAUCAUUGAAGACCUGUAUAGCCUUGAGCUAGGUUCAUGGAUAUUUGUGCGACCAGUGUGUUUCAUCUUUUGCUUUAGCUUCUUAGGGUUUCGGAUGCACCCACACCGAUCAUUGUGCACUCUAGUUGACUAUUGAGCGUUGAGAGUUUGAGAGGAUUCACCAUAGGAAACCCCCUGGGAUGUCGAGGUAGUGCAUGUGUGGAGGUGAUGACCACCUUGCAUGGAAACACCCCGUCUCUUCUGAGGCGUGCAGAGGGUUGCGUACCGCUGGAGGGUACGAUCGCUUCUGUUAGGGAUCUUUUAAAAGUCCACCCAUAUCCAUUUAGAGCCACCUUGACCUCGUAGGUUGAGCCGUAGAUCCUUCUAUUAGGACUCCCUCCCUACACAUGGGUGCAUCUGAGGGCCUUUAGAGCCUCUUUAGUUACAGUUCGGAUCCAGUAUUCCCUCUUUUUAGUCUCCAGUUGAGAGUGCUCAGAGAUUGGUAUGAGUUUGAGUAUCGGUCGGAUCACCUUUUGUCUUGUAGCCUCAGAUUCUUGUUUUUCACUCGAUGAGUUUGUCAUGUUUUCUCCCUAAGGCUUUCAUUUCUCAUUUCUUGGCUCUACACACCCCUUCACUUUGUUAUCACUCACUUGAUGCUUCGAGAUAUGUUCAUCGAUCAUGAUCAUCUUGUUUUUACACUGUACAUCUAUCGCGGGCUCAGUACCUCAUUCUUUGUUGGAUCCUUGAUUCAAUUUUCAACUCGAUGCUCAUAUUAUCAUUACAGAAAGGUGAAAGACACAUUUUCACAUUCACACUUUUUUCGAGAGAGCCGCCUUGAUCACCUUAUUAUUUUCCUCUUAUGGAGAUCGAGUUCAAAGUUGAUUCAAGGAUAUGUGGUUAUAGAUGGAGUAUUGAUCUCGUGAUAGUGUGUUUUUCACACCUCUUUUAUCUCGGAUUAUUGAUGGAGAUUCUUUAGUCACAUUUGUAGCCAUCUCACAGUGGACACCUUUAUGACUCUAGAGUUUCUGUCAUAUUUCCAGUUAUAGAUUGCCAUCACAGGACCGUAUUUCAUAUGAUGUAUUGUGCUUUUGAUUUGAGACAUAUUUUCACUUAUGCAUCAUGAUCACUCUGGCCCGACCUAUCAUGGAGGAUAUUGAGUCUAUUGACCUAGGAUCAGGAGAUCGACCUAGGGAGUUUGAGGCUGUGACCCAUUUCACCUUCUGAUUAGAGUGGUACCAUACCCACAUCCAUACCUUAGUCUUUUCAGACUGGAUGACCUACCCGUUUUGAGCUUGACAUGACACCACCCCUUGGUACCGUUACACGACCUUACCAUUCCUAUUCACCUUCGUAUAUUACAGUACCCUUGCCUAUUUCCAUCAUUUCCUUGAUUUGACCAGGCAGAGUCCGAGAUGGUUAGACCUGAGAUGAGCUCUAGACGAUGAUAUAUGGAUCAUGAUGAGAGAGUGGUUUGACUACUUGACGAUGUUGUUGAGCCAUUGCACAUGACUUCAGAGAGUCGGGAUGAUUAGAGAUGAUGUUUUUUUUUAUUUAUGAGACGAUGGUGAGUGGAUUAUGAUGAUAGAGUGAGGUGAUUAUCCGAGGACGUUGAUGAUUAUCACAGAGCAUCAGUGGGAGCUUUCACACGAUUUCGGAGGGGUUGACAUGACUUUGUUGGAUGGAUGCCAGUUUUUAGUAUUGGUCAUGUGAGAUCUCGAAAGCACGAUGUUCGAGGUUGUGGUCAAAGGAUGGGUGGCCAUCAUUUCAUGAGCCUAUUUACUUUAUCACCCUCGCAUAUAGAGUUAUCCAUUGCUAGCCCUUUGAGCCUUGCACGAGCAUGUAGCCUUUUCUUUCAUCACCUCAUUUACCUAUUACACCGGGUUGGGGACCCUAUAGUGCUUGCAUGUUAUGAUUGGAUACGUCAUGAGUUUCGGACCUGACAUACAUAUUCGAGCCUCAUUCUUCAAUCUUCACUGUGAUAUUUUCCGCUUGGACAUCAUUUCAUCACUAUUUUCCGAUAUCACAUACCACCACUUGUGAUAUUCAUUCUCUGUCUUUUCCUUUCCUCAUUGAUUACUUGACAUUAUCCUUGUUUCACCUUGAGUGGUGGUUUUUCACACGUCACUGCAUGGAGGAUUGUCACAUUCUUUCCUAUCAUUCACCCCAUGGGCAGUGGUUCAGAGAUGUUAUUUUGAGAGGUUGUCUUGUUAGUGAGGAUUCAUGUUACAUUCGUAUGUGGAGAGGGUUUGAUCAUUUGGGUAUGUAUUUUCAUGGGAGUUCAUUCACUAUUGAUCAGCGUAUGCGCAAAAAAAAUAAAAAAUAAAAAAUAAAAAUAAAUAAAUAAUAAAUAAAUAAAUAAAUAAAUAAAAUAAAAUUGAUUGAUGAUAGCGCAUUAUUCAUUGUAUCAUUCUUCAUUAGGCAUGUGUAUGGACGUGCCAGGUUGUUUCAUUGAGUUCAUAUGAUAGAGAGAGCUCGUAUGGGAGCUUAUUUUUUAGAUUCAUCUUGAAGUAUAUUUUGGGUGAGAGUAUGAUUCGCCCAUUCGUUUUUUGUGAGAGAUGCGAGUGACCUUUCUUCAGUAUCUCUGGAUCCUUGCUCUAUCCAUCAUUCCGUCUAUUUCGGAUGUGACUACUUUCCAUGCUUUGAUGCAGGGUGACCAUCACUCACUUUUCUAUCUCUUCGCCUUCUUUCAUCUUUAUUUUAUCCCUCCGUUUCACUCCACUUCAUUUUAUCUCAUUCUUUUCUCAUUCUGUCUGAUGUUUGACAUGGGUUCAGCAUCCACACUUUAUUCUUGCUUAUUCGAUGUGUCCAUUCAUUUAUCAUCACUUUUCGUGUGGGGACCUCUAGGUCCGGGACUCAUGACGUUUUCUACGCAUUGCAUAUCAUGCACGAGGGGUAUGGGGAUUAUAUCAUUGAGAUUUUUGAGCCUAGUUUCCUUUCGUUUCUUUCACCCUAUUACCUUGGCCUACGUUACGUCCCGUGUCUGAAGACCACCCUGAGGCCAUUACUUUGUAUCGUGUUUGACAGCUCCCACGUGGGCAAUACUCGAGCUUGGUCGGAGAUUAUUUCUCAGAGCAAGAUGGAUGGGGAGUUGAGAUGAUGAUUUACACUGGGUCAUACCCCUCUUAUCAGUGAUGGAUUUUCAGAGGCGACAUUAUCUACAUUGGGGCAUACCCCGCUCAUCGAUGACGUUUUCUUUCAGGAUGGUGUCUUGCACAGAGGCAUAGUCAGUUCGCCUCUUCACUUGGAUUAUGAUGGAUUAGGAGUUGUUGGAUGACCUUACACUAGGGCAUAGCUAUUUCAGAGAACGCUUUUAUUGGAGAUACAGUCACUCUACUCGAUACUCUGCAUUGGGACACACUUUACUCAUCGAUGGUUGAUUUUUGAGAUGACGAUUUAUUUUGAGGUGUAGCCCUCUCUUUGGCGAUGGACUUUGAUUUAUCUUGGAGCAUAGUCACUUCAGUUGGUUUAUACUGGGGCAUAGCCACCGCAUUCACAUUCGUGGAGCCCGGGGAUUCUGAUUCAUAUGGAUUAUGUUGAGAUGUUUCCGUUUUGGCACCAGGAGUAGAGGUUGAUUGAUUUGUUGACUCGGAUACACUACUUUUCACUGGGGCAUAGCCAGGAUGGAGAGCAUUUUUCAUUGGAGCAUAGCCACCCUAUUUGGAUCCUUUACACUGGGGCAUGUCCAUCUUUUGGAGGGAGAUCAGAUUGGUUCUUGACAUUGGAGCACCUGACGAGUGAUAGGGAGAUCAUUGGAUUAUUUCAUGUUGUUCUCAUUGCAUACUGGGGCAUAGCCACCUUGUUGGAGGUUUUGACAUUGAGGCUUGACUUCCUGUUUGUGAUUGCUGCUUACGAUGGGUUAUGGAGUUAUCGACACCUCGGGUUUAGUCUUCUCGGCAUACUUGGAUGAUCUCGGAUAUCUCCCUACCUUUCAUUUCAUACUCAGACGUUUCACCAUGGAUACUUUCAUACCUUCUAUCAUACCGGAGCCUGACCAUCACAUUAUUUUAUCCUACACAUCUUACCAUGACACAUGACCUCACCCCUUUCUCGAUUAUGAGGAGAUGUAGAUCAGUCCUCGAUCACCCUGGUUGUGCUUUCAUAUAUCUUUUGGACUUUAGGUUCAACAUCUUCCAUGAUGGCAGGGCCUGACAGAUCGUUGACUUAUUAGUGAUGAUGCUUUCAUUUUGAUAGUUGGCAUGUUGAAUGUUGGUUUGCUUGCUCUUUUCAUUUUGAGCACUGGUCAUCAUUAUUGUUGUUAUUCAUCAGUUAGUUUUGUUUUGUCAGCAUGGUGUCAUGACACAUGGUCCUAUUUGGCUUUACCUAUUUGAGGUUGGACAUUUUCAUUACAUGAUGGAUGAGCAUAUUUCAGAGUACAGUAGUUUUGAGGCAUUUUGCAUCUCUGUCUGUUCAUCAUUACAUACUGGGGCAUACCCCAUCUCCGAGAGCAUUGGACCUUCAACAGGUUUCAUUCACUUUUGAUCUAGUUGUCAACCCCGAGAGUUGCAUACUGGGGCAUACCCUCCUUCUCCGAGAUCAUCGGACCUUUCACAGACUUCAUUAUCUUUCGACCUAGUUGUCGAUCCUUAUGAGUUGUCAUACUGGGGCAUAUCCCCUCCCGAGUUUACUUGCAUCAUUAUCUGGGUCAUCCUUUGGUUUUGGGUCACUUGAUCAGGUCAUUCAUCAUCUUGUCAUGUCAGUUUGAGUCGGGGCCGCACUUAUAUCGAUCGGCCAUCUUCCUAUCAGUUCAGUUCGAGUCGGGACCGCACCUAUAUCGAUCGGUCAUUAUCGUGUCAGUUUGAGUCGGGGCCGCACCUAUACGAUCGGUCAUCUCUUUGUCAUGACAGUUCGGUUUCUGGGACCGCACCUAUACGAUCGGUCAUUAUCGUGUCAGUUUGAGUCGGGGCCGCACCUAUACGAUCGGCCAUCUCUUUGUCAUGUCAAUUCAGUUUCCGGGACCGCACCUAUACGAUCGAUCAUUAUCGUGUCAGUUUUAGUCGGGGCCGCACCUAUACGAUCGACCAUCUCUUUGUCAUGACAGUUCGGUUUCUGGGACCGCACCUAUACGAUCGGUCAUUAUCAUGUCAGUUUGAGUCGGGGUCGCACCUAUACGAUCGGCCAUCUCCUUGUCAUGACAGUUUAGUUUCCGGGACCGCACCUAUACGAUCGGUCAUUAUCGUGUCAGUUUGAGUCGGGGCCGCACCUAUACGAUCGACCAUCUCUUUGUCAUGUCAGUUCAGUUUCCGGGACCGCACCUAUAUGAUCGGUCAUUAUCGUGUCUGUUUGAGUCGGGGCCGCACCUAUAUCGAUUGACCAUCUUCCUAUCAUGUCAGUUCAGUUUCUGGGACCGCACCUAUACGAUCGGUCAUUAUCGUGUCAGUUUGAGUCGGGACCGCACCUAUAUGAUCGGUCAUCUCCUUGUCAUGUCAGUUCAGUUUCUGAGACUGCACCUAUAUGAUCGGUCAUCCUCCUGUCAUGUCAGUUCAGUUUCUGGGACCGCACCUAUACGAUCGGUCAUCUCCUUGUCAUGUUAAUUCAAUUUCUGGGACCGCACCUAUACUAUCGGUCAUUAUCAUGUCAGUUUAGUUUCUAGGGCCGCACCUAUAUCAAUCGGCCAUCUUCUUAUCAGUUCAGUUUGAGUCGGGGCCGCACCCAUAUUGAUCGGCCAUUUCCCUAUCAGUUUAUGUUUAGUUUGAGUCGGGACCGCACCCAUAUAGAUCGGUCAUUCAUUCUUCCUAUCAGGUCAGUUCGGCGUCCAGGUCUUUGCUUCAGUAUGACAUUCAGGGUCACAUUUCCAUUUUGGGCGUUCAGAGUCAUUCUCCUCACCUGGUUACUUGAUGCUUAUCGCCUAUUCAUCAUUGCUCUUCUAGGCUUCCCUUUCCACUACACAUGACACAGUCUUUUGAGAUCCGUGAUGCAUAUUUCGAUCAUGUUGUUAGGCACCCUACACUUGGCAUUCUCGUAUAGUUCACAUAGGGCAGUCUCCUUCGGGCACAUUCUUUCUUGUACUCCAGGGUGGUUCGACCGUUACUCAUCUUUGACAUUGAUCUUCGAGUCACUUUUGGAGACGUCUUAGAGGGAGCUUGGAUCCUUAGUGUGGCUUCAGAGGCAUUUUGUGACAUUUUUCUCUCUUAGGAUUAGAGCCUCAUUGUUCAUUCUGUUGGCCUGAGUGAGUUCGGGUUCCACCGGUGUCCUUUUGGGGGUCUCCUUUGUUCUUCGGUAGAGUUCACUUCAUUGCACUCACUAUUCACACUUGCUUUUUACUUCAGUGUUCAUAUCUCUUACACUCGUGAACUCUACCGAAGAGGGGCAUAUUUGUAGACCCCCAUUUUGGGGAGACAUCUCUACAGCCCGAUUAUGACAAGUGUCAUCGUCUGGGAUGACCACGUGUCACUCCAGGACUGGUUGAUAGGGUAUCAAGUUAGUGGUUUUGAUGGCCAAUGGAAGCUUGACACAUGGAGAUUUCUUUCAGCAGAAAAAGCUGAAAACCGUGAAGGUUGGCAGCUGCAGGGUAAUGGGGAAGAGGCUUGGCCGUUAGAGAUUUUUUGGAACUGAAAGAGAGAACGGGACAAGGAGAGAGAAAAUUUUUUUUGGGGGGAGUUUAGAGAGAUUCUAGAGGAGCAGGCUGGUUACUGAAGGACGAGAGAGAGAAAAACAGGGGGAUCAGAGGAGGAAAGGGAGAGAGUUUGAGGGUGAGUUUCUGGCUUAGAGGAGAGGCUACCGGAGGAGAGAACGGGGAGCAGGCCAGCUGCAGAGUAGAGGUUUUUGGUUGCCGUUUUUCAGAGAGCUUGAGAGUUGAGGGAGGGAAGCUAAGAAAAACAGAGCAUGUUUCUGGAGAGAGGGUGCUGAUUUUGCAGUGAGGCAGUUGCAUUGAGGAGAAGAGCAUGGAUCUGAGGAGAGGAAAAACAUACUAAGAAGAGGAAACUUUCAGGUUUGGUUACUCUGCUUUUUCUUUAUAUGUUCAUUCUUCAUCUUUUUAUAUAUAUAUAUAUAUAUUUCGUCCUCCAUGAUUUUCAUCUUGUUUAUUGGAUUGCCUUUGGUUUGGCGAUUAUGGCCUUGAUAUUUGAAAGAUUUUGAGGCACAUUAUUCCCUUUUCUGAUGAACUUUUCUUUCUCACCAUAAUAUAUUUGUUGUCGGGUCCAUGGAUAAAAUAUUGAAAUGGAUUCAACAUGUUGGUUAAAAGACUUGUUUUCAAUUCUUGUUGUUAUCCUCUCGAUCCUCUGUUUUUCGCUGCAUAUAUGCUCCCGGCUAUGAAAUUAUGAAAAACUGGAUUGAAAAUGGGUCUGGCAGUUCAUGGUCCGCAGGGUUGAUGAGACUAUUGCAGUAUAGAAUAGCAGUUUUAUGGGGGAUGAAUGAAAGCUUUGUGGAUGAAAUGAGAUAUAAAUCAAGGGAAACUGAAACAGACCUGGGUCUCUCUCUUCACUCUGUUUUUAUCCUCAGAUUUAGAGAAGUAUGGAGACUUAGCAACUAGCAGAUCUCAAUCUUAAGAAGGCAUCCCAACUGGGAGAAAUGGAGAGUGAAGGUGACCUGGGAAGAAGUCUGGAUCUAGUAUGCAUAUCUAAGCGUACUCCGAAUCGAUGUAGAGGAAAUAUUUCUUAAGGGAAGGCAUCUAAAAAUUGGUGAGAAAUACCGUCUGGGUUUAUUCCAGCUUUGAUGCAGAAAAUGAUCCUAUAAGGAGGUGAAAUGCAGAGGAGGGUUCAACAUGAGAUGCGGUAAUGCAGUCCCGUUUGUAAUCGGGGGGCCCACAUGUAUAAUUUCUAUUUGCAUGGUCACUUUUUCUCACCACUCUUUUAACCACUGUACCCAUGUACUAAUCCAAUGCUUUACAUGCCCGCUGCCCACUCCCUCAUCCCUAUACUUUACCAUACCCAUUCAUUUCCUAUGUGUAUCAACUAUCCAUUUCUCUCAUUCUUUCUCUCUCUAUCCCACCAUGCAACCCAUUGCUUCAUACCCACAUCCACUCAUCCUACACCCGCGGCUGAAGCUUAUACCCAUAUCCCAUACCUUCAUGCAUGAACUCACUUAACUCCACUCUUGAACUCCUUUCUCUCUUCAUUAUUGUGCACCACUCGUCAUCUCUCAUGCACUUCCCCCAAACCCAUUGCUUACUCCCUAUUCACGGACAUGAAAGUCAUCAUGCAUGAACAUUUCUAGGGGAUACCGAGUAGCUCAUCAAGAGGCAGUGCCAAUGCCAGAAUUCAGUCGAUCAAGCAGUCAUCACCCCAUAAUCUGAGAUACCAGUUCCCCACCUGAAUCGUCAAGCUUCCUUGACCCGGAUACACAGUCAACAACCAUCACUGCCGUGGCGUAAACCUGCUGGAACGUGGCCACAUGUUGCUCGAAAACGCCCACCACUAUCAUGCCCGUCUUAGUGCAUGCAUGACCUUCUUGAGAAACAUGGAAAUGUUUGGCGUGCCUAGAGCUUGACUGGCCACAUGUGAUGAGAUUUAAAAAGGGUAUUUUGUGUCGACAUAAUGAACCUUUUGACAAAGCUGUACGUGAAGGGUUAGAAUUAUCAAUCCCAUUCAGUUUCAAAGGCGUCCAAUUCCCUGAAGACUCCUUUUGAAGUUGUGAUUGCUAGAUUCCCCAUUACCUCAUUCUUUCAUUUCUGUUUGGUUCGUCGGAAGUGGAAUCCAUUGCUCAUUGGUGCAGGGAUGUGGUGAUGCUGGCUGAAAUUCAAAUUGUCUACGUCAUUGACUGUCUUGGUUUCGACACGUUUAAUGAACUAGCAAGCUGUGUACAUAUGAUGGCCAUGCGCACAUGCAUGAUGCUGAGGGAAAGAGCCUAAUUGGAGCCAUGUCAAGUCAUGAAAACUGGGUGCUCUGAGAGGCUAUGACGCCUUUGACUGUGGCUGGUUCAUCAGCAUAACUGGAGGAUAGCACUCAUUCCAAUAUACGAGUGUUUCUUGCUCACCUCCAGUUUGAACACUUGUUGACCUUACUGUGUGCACUGGACCCGCAAGCACGACCUGUUUUGCAUGGCCACCUUAUGCAUGUAACCCAAGAGCCACGUGUCAUCUUCCCUUUUCUCCAAUCCUCUUUGAUUUUGAAAAAGAUUUUCCCAAACUUCAUUUUGUAAAUAAUUUCCAAAAUUCCGGUUUUUAAAUGACUUCAAGUCUCCAAAGAUUUCAUCCUUAAAGUUUUUAGGACUCAACAUCCCAUUUUCAAUCAAAUUUAGUUGUCAUUUUCUUUUCGGCAAGCCACUUUUGCAUUUUCUUUGUUUUUAAAAUAAGUAAGAAUUAAAUUCCAUAAUUCCAAGUGAUGGAGUUUAUGGAAUUGAUUCAUGCAAAAUAAAUGAGCUUUGGUGGGGGCCCUACAUGUGAGACUUCAUGAUUGAUUAACUGAUUGAUUGAUUUAAUUGUCAUGAAUGAUGGAUUUUAUUAAGCUCUGUGAUAUAUCUCGUGAUUGUUAUUAUGCAGUAACCUCCUCUCUUGAUAGCGCAUGGUGGCUCGUUGGUCAGGUACACACCUAUUCUCACUCUGGUCACUUUAUAUACAUGUAUUGAUUCCCAUAUGUGCAUGAUCAAUUCGGGUAUUCAUUGAUUUCUUUAUUAGAUGCCACGAUUGCUUCAUUUUAUUAGUAGAGACCCGUCUUUAGGGACUUAGAGGGGUGCUACGGUCUUUACCGUACCUUCCCGAUAAGUAACCUGACCCCCGAACCCAAUCCGGUUUUUCGUAGAUCACCUUUUCCAAAUAAGGAGUCACACUUAGGGUUUUUCUUUCUUAUUUUGUUUACCCUUUUAAAAAUAAUACAAAAAUAAGUGGCGACUCCAAGUCAUUUUCAAACAAUAAAUAAAAAUAAAAAUUUCAAAUAAAAUCGAGCUCGCCAUCGAGUGGAAAACGCAUUGAGCCGAAAAUGCGGGGUCCACACUAUGACAAGACAAAAUCUCAAUGCAAUCUUAAUUACACGUUUUUUCUUUCUUAAAUCAUUUGAACUUGGAAAUUCAACUUAUGGUUUUAUUUCCUAUGUCUUGAAUUUCAAGAUAUGAGACUUGUUUCAUUAGAAAAGAAAGGAGCUAAAACAUUUGAAAACCUAUGCCAUCAAUGGUUGUUGUUGUUUUAGUUGUGAAGGAAGUUUUCAUAUAUGGAGAGAGACCAAAAGAGGAUUCUCGAUAAGCUUGACACUUCUACCAUUCUCUUCCCCUGGCUACUAAAGUGAAACACCAAUGGGUUUUACUUGAUUUCUAGUUCCAUGAAUUUAUUGAACAUUUGUAAAAUGAAGCAAGACAAAAAUGCUCUCUUCCAUAGAAUUUGAAGUUAUUUGGAGAACAAAAAUUGAGUUGGGGCAUGCUAAUUAAUACUAUUUUAAUCACCUUCACCCAUAAUAUUAAUAUUUAAAUAUAAUUUAGAUAGAUAACCUUUUGGGGUUUUUCUCCCACGCUUCCUAAAAUAUGCAACACUUGAUAUUCACUCUCUCUAUCUUCUUUUUUUCCAUUGCUGCCAUGGACUAUGGAACACCCUUUUUUGAUUGCUCCAACACCCUACCUUUUUCCAACCAUGGAGAACUUUUAACUUNNNNNNNNNNNNNNNNNNNNNNNNNNNNNNNNNNNNNNNNNNNNNNNNNNNNNNNNNNNNNNNNNNNNNNNNNNNNNNNNNNNNNNNNNNNNNNNNNNNNUUUUUUUUUCAAGUAAACAAAAUUAAAACCCUUUUUUUCGAUUUUUUAUCUAAUUACUUAUGGUUUUAAAUACAUAUAUUUUAAAGAUGUAUGUUGAAACUAACUUUCAACUUAAUUGAAUGGAAACAUAAAAAUGAGAGGAAAAAAGAAUAAAAUAUAAAUUUGAAAUCUUUACUAUCAAACUUUUUCAAACAAAGAAUAUAUAGACAAAAGAAAUACAAGUUUUAAAAUAUUUUAUUAUAUUUUUUUAAAAAAAAUUUCAUUAAAAAAAACAAAACAUGUGUUUCUAUUUUCAAUUAUUUUAUUGGUUUUAAGAUUAAUAUGGUAUAAAUUAGUCGCAACAAUUAUUUAUGAAAUAUUUGGUCAUUAUUUGUAUUAUAUAUAAAAGGAUAAGGUGUAUGUUUUUUUAACUUUUGUCUUCUAAGAUAGCAAUUUUGAGGCUUGGGACAUACUAUCGAUUAUUCAUGAGGGCACUUGGUUGUGAAGUUGUCUAAGAUUCAAAUGCUCAGAGCUAUAUUUGAGAGUUUAAGGAUAUGAGAUGCUAAAACGUUUGCUGGAUUCAUUUUUAAAUUAAGUAACAUUUUCAACUCGAGGUUUAACCUUGGGGAAAAGAUUCUCUAUUCUAAGGUAGUUAUGAAAAUCCUUAAAUCUCUUCCUAAAAGGUUCAAACACAAGGUAAUUGUUAUAGAAGAAAACAAGAACAUUGACUCCAUGAGAGUUGAUGAAACUUAUAGAUUUUUACCAACUUAUGAGAUGUCUCUACUAUUUUCAAAAGUCUUAGGGUGCAACCUUCAAAGCUUUCAAUAACAAAGGGAAUGAGUUUGAACAUGUUUUUUUUUUUCUUCUUUUUUUUUUCUUCUAUAUUUAUGCUUUUGAUAUCAUACAUAUCUAGAUUUGCACAUGCUUAUUAAAAGACAUACAUGACUUUUUACUUACAUUGAAUUGACCAAUUUCUCUUUUCUUGGGGGAAUGUAUGAAGGAGAACACGGUGCCUUUAUCCUUAGGAGAAUAUUGAAUAAUAGUGAACAUGACUUUAAUAGUUGAGUAAUAGAUUACAAUACUUAGAGGAUUUAAGAACAUAGGUAGAAUAACAGUCAAGGAGUAAUUUUAAAAGGGAAAUGAGAAAUCUCCCAUAGCAGCCACAAGGGCUUGGACAAAUUUUGGUGUAAAGGUAAGAUUGUUUUAGGUGUGGGAAAUAAUGGAGAGAGUGUCUUGUGAAGGAUUUCUCCCAAACCAAAACCAGAGGACUUUUGGACAACAAAUUCGUCCUUAGUUUUUGCAAAACCACAAUGUCAUUUAACCUUUCCAUCACAAACCAAAGAAACUGACCAUUUAAUUUCCAAUAGAAAUCAGGAGUUCAUGGAAUUUAGUCAUGAUCCUAAUAGGAGUUAAUGUAAUUAAGGAGGUAUUAUUCAAGGACAUGUGUAUGUUAUAGAUAAAGUGAAGGAAGAUAACGCUCUUGCCUUUUUGGAAGAUGCUAUCCUAGCUUAUAAUUCUUGAGCAAAAGUUCCAUUUGAUUCUAGAACAACAACUCUUUCUUUUUUGCCUUCUUCAUGAAUGCACUAGAAUUAGUACUUAAGGGACAUAGAUCCUCUUUAUCUAUUAGUCCUCCUAUGGGACAAAACUUAGAGAGAAAAAAAAUAUGUAUAGUAUGUAAUAUGAUAAUUUUAAAUCAUGAAUUAAAAGGAGAUUUAGUUGUUUUAGAGAUGUUAGAAUAUGAUGUAAUUUUAGGCAUAAAUUUUUAUCCUCCCCACCAUGCUAUUAUUGACUAUUUUAAAAGAAAGGUAAAGAUUCAUAUCUUAGGAAGGGAUGUAGUUUAUUUCUUUGAUGAUAAGGGUGCACCAUUUCCUUGUCAUCCAUUAAAUUAGUAUUAUCAAUUAAGAUUAAAGAAAGAUGGUAAAUACUUUUUGACAAGUGUUUAAGUAGAGAUUAAAGGAAAAAAAGGAUUUGCAGUCCUUUCAUGUUAUUAAUUAAUUUAGUGAUGUUUUUUUUGUUUGAAGAAUUACUUGGAUUGUCUCCUAAGAGAGAAUGUAACUUUACCAUUGAAGUUUGUCCAAGUAUAUUUCCUACAUCAAUUACACCCUAGUUAAGUUACGAGAAUUGAAGAUUCAACUUCGAAAACUUCAAGAUAAGGAAUUCAUUAGAUGAAGUAAUUCUCCAUGGGGUGUUCCUAUACUAUUUUUUAAGAAGAAAGAUGGUUCUUUAAGUUGUGAAUUGAUUAUAAGAAAUUGAAUGAAGUCACCAUGAUGAAUAAAUACCUUUUGCCAAAGAUUGAUGAUUUGUUUAAUUAAUUAAAGGAUACUAGAUAUUUCUCCAAAACAAGGAAGAGAACAAUCACACUCCUCCCUGACCAUCACCAUCUUCUCCUUUGCCCUCCUUGAUCUCUUCUACCUUAUCCACUUCAUCCUCCAAUACAAACCUUUUGAUGACUCAAUUGAUUCCCUUACUUGAAAUCAAAGCGAGCUUGCUCUGUAAAGGAUGCAGUCAAUGUUACAGAGAUAGUAAAAGUCUUAAUACAUAUUGCAACAACAUCAACAAUUGAAGAUUUUAUAGUCAAAGCUUAGUUAUCUGUCUCUUGAGGCUUNNNNNNNNNNNNNNNNNNNNNNNNNNNNNNNNNNNNNNNNNNNNNNNNNNNNNNNNNNNNNNNNNNNNNNNNNNNNNNNNNNNNNNNNNNNNNNNNNNNNCACCUACUUGAAAGACUCACCUUCGCACAAAGAGCACCCUUGCAUUAAUUAUAAAAUGGAUAUGACCCCCUCAUUAGUCAAAUAAUCAUUAAACCUUAAAAGUUGUUGAAAAAACUAUUCAUUGUCCUAACAGUUAUGUCAUAAUCAUCUCAUAAUGAUUAAAGCCUUAAAGAUGAACAUAAUAGAAAUCAUUUAAAAUAAUACCUAACGAACAUCUCAUUUAUAGUCUUCCCAUAAUCAAUCUAUCAAAAGGUAACUACAAGAAGAAGACCAUAUUUUAGAAAAAGUACACACAGUGAACUCUAUCUAGCUCAUAUCUCUUAUUCCUACUUUAAUCCAUGACAAACUUGAUCAUCUCAAAAGGGUCGACCUAAGCAACCCAACCUUUUCUCAUCAUUCUCGCUCUCUCUCUCUUUCUCCCUAAUCUAUUGGAAAACUGUGAUGCCUAGUUCAACCAUAGUCGAAGGAGUGUGUAACAAAUUCCAAAUCUAAUGAGACUUAAUGCAUAGGAUUUGACAAUUUUUAAAAAUAAUUUAUAAUUUAAAACCAAUCUAAUUAAUACUAAAAAGUCAUGAAACUAAAAAAAUUGAUCCAAUUAAUACUAGAAAGUCUAACCAAAAUUGAUUCUAAAUGACUUUGUUUGUUUUCUCCUUUACAUCUAACUAUAAACCAAAAUUUAUAAGGUUUUUCAUUAAGCAAAUAUAAUCAAAAUCCAAUAAGACUCGAUGUCUUAGAUCUAUUAACAAGUGUUAAAGAAAAUUAGAACUCAAACACCAAAAAUUACUAUCAAAGAUUCUUGAACCAGAUUUGGUACUUAAAUGACUGUUAUUUCUCUUUUACACAUAAUGAAAUUUAUGUGAAUUUUCUAUGUAGAAAAAUGUACUUCAAAUUAAGCAAAACUUAAUACAUCAAAUUUAUUAAAAAGUUUAGUAGUUUUUUAAUAAAGAAAUAAAAAUUAAAUACUAAACUAAUUAAUAUUGGAAUUUGUGGACAAACUCUUUGACAUAGAACUAUAAUUCUCAAAAUUUUCUAACUGGACAAGUGAAUUCUCUUCCAAAUUAAACAAGACAUAAUAUAUUAAAAUUGUUAACAAGUUUAUUAAUUUUUUAAAAUAAAAUAAUAACGUAAUUAUUAUUAGAAAUUCAUAGCAUAAAACUAGUCCAAAAAAACUUUGUUGUUUCUCCUCCACAUAUAAUUAUAAUUUUAUGAAUUUUCUGGUUAGGCAAAGAAACUCUAAAUUAAGCAAAACUCAACAUAUUAGAUUUGUAGAUGAGUCUAGUAAUUUUUUAAAAUAAUUUAAAAUUCAAAAAUAGAAUCAAUAAAAAAAAAAAAAAAGAAGAAGAUAAAAAUUAGUCUAGAAUAAGCAAUAAUAUUAUAUUGUUUCUCAUAUGCGCAUAACUAUACCUUCUCAAAUUUUUUUAUUAGGUAAACAUAUGUUAAAUUAAUUGAGCCCAAAUCAAAUGAGAAUUAAUGCUUUAAAUUCUCUAAUUAAUUUACUAAUUUUUAAGAAUAAUUGAGAAUUUGAAAAACUAACUCAAUUAUUAGCAUAGCACUUUGACAAUGGCUAAAUAUUAAAUGCGCACAGGUAAUGCAAAAACUUAACAUAUUAACCAUUAUUAUUUCUAAAGUAUUAUUAUUCAAUUUUAACAGAAAAAAAAAAAAGAAUUAUACCUUUAAGAAGAUAUUAAUAUCCAUAUUUUAUUAUAUCUAUUUAAAAUUAUAUCAUUUCUAAUUAAAAAAAUUUACUUAUAAUUUUAUUAUAAUAUUAGUAUUGGUAUUUUACAAAAAAUUAUUUAUUUUUCAUUAUAUAAUUAUUAUUUUCUAUUUUUAUUAAGACUUGAAUUGAAUUGAAUUGAUAUUAAUAAAAAAUGAGUGUACAUUUUUUUUAUUUUUUUUGUACAAAAUGAAAAUAGAAAAACUAUUUUUAAAAGCAACUAAAAUUUACUUAUCUAAAAGUGUUUUUGUUUUUUUGCUUUUUGACAAAUAUUUUUAAAAACAACUUGCCAAGUAUUAUUAUUUUUAAGACACACCUAAAAAACUUAUUUUUUCUUUUUAACUUGAAAAUAAUUUUAGAAACAAGGUUAAACAUACAUGGGCAAACAGGCCAUUAGACUUUCUAGAUUGCCAACUUGAGGACUUAGAAGAGGCUUUCUUUACUUUUUCAAAGCACCGUACCAUCAAUUAUUCUUUGUUUCCUCAUAUUAGUGAAACGUUUUGGUAUUGGAAAAAGAAAUUUGUAGCUUAACUCCUUCAGAAGUUUACAUAUGCCAACAAAAGAAAAACUUAUCCAAUCCCUCGAUAGUUUUUUCCGAAGCUUUCUCCAUUCAUAAGCAUGGAAUGAGGUGCUUUUCUCCCUUCUUGAGAGCUUCUUAGCAAUCCAUCUGCUACCUUUCCACUACAUCCUUUUCCUUUGUGUGUAGGCCUUCCUACAAUAUUGUACUCCUUAGGCAAAAUUGUUUUAGUUUCUCAAUUACUUGCUCUGACUUCUCCAAUCCCUACGAAUAAAAAAAAGUAAUUUUUGUUCGUUUAAUGAUUUUUUUUUUUGUCUAGUACUAAAUCAAUCCAUCAAAUAAAUGGGUUUAGAUUGUAUUAUUUGGGUUAUAAAGACGUGAUGCAUUAUUUUUUUUAAAACAUUUUAUGAUAUUUUUAGCUAGUAAUAAAUUUCAANNNNNNNNNNNNNNNNNNNNNNNNNNNNNNNNNNNNNNNNNNNNNNNNNNNNNNNNNNNNNNNNNNNNNNNNNNNNNNNNNNNNNNNNNNNNNNNNNNNNUUUUGUUCGUUUAAUGAUUUUUUUUUUGUCUAGUACUAAAUCAAUCCAUCAAAUAAAUGGGUUAAGAUUGUAUUAUUUGGUUAUAAAAGAAGGUGAAUGCAUUAUUUUUUUUAAAAACAAUUUUAUGAAUAUUUUAGCUAAGUAAUAAAUUUCAAAUCAAACAAUACUUAAUGUAUUUGAUUUAUUAAUGAGUUGAGUCACUUUUAAAAAUAAUUUGAAAACAAAAUACUGAAGUAAUUAGUAUCAUAAAUUUAAGAUCAAACAUGUUCUACAUAGAACUAUAAUUUUCAAAAUUUUCUAACUAGACAAGUAGAUUCCGAAUCAAGCAGGACACAAUGUGUUAGAUUUGUUAAAAAGUAUAUUAAUUUUCAAAAAAUAAUUUUAAACUCAAAAAACUGUAAGGAAAUUAUAGAACUAUCUUUAUUUUACUCUAAGUAUUGCUAUUCAAGUCUGUGCCAACACAGGAGUUCGGAUGUUGAUCAAUGAUCUAUAAUUUAUAUGUAGCUCAAAAUAAUUUAUAAUGCAUGAUUUGAUCAAUGAUCUAGCUCAAGAUGUUGCUACAGAAAUAUGCUUCAAUCUAGAGAAUAUACAUAAAACUUCUGAAAUGACUCGUCAUUUGUCAUUCAUAUGUAGCGAGUAUGAUGUAUUCAAAAAAUUUGAAGUCCUUAAUAAAUCGGAGCAAUUACGAACAUUUGUUGCAUUACCCGUCCCUGUAAAUAAUAAGAUGAAAUGUUACUUAAGUACUGAGGUGCUUCAUGGCUUGUUGCCAAAGUUGAUACAAUUAAGGGUGCUCUCUUUGAGUGGUUAUGAAAUAAAUGAGUUGCCAAAUUCGAUUGGUGAUUUGAAACAUUUACGGUAUCUUAAUUUGUCUCAUACUAGACUCAAAUGGUUACCUGAAGCAGUGAGUAGUCUCUACAAUUUACAAUCAUUGAUAUUAUGCAAUUGUAUGGAACUCAUUAAGUUGUCUAUUUGCAUUAUGAAUUUAACCAAUCUUCGACAUCUUGAUAUUAGUGGUUCAACUAUGUUGGAAGAGAUGCCUCCACAAGUUGGAAGCUUGGUAAAUUUGCAAACAUUGUCUAAGUUUUUUCUAAGCAAAGAUAAUGGGUCACGAAUAAAAGAAUUGAAGAACUUGUUGAAUCUCCGAGGAGAGCUUGCCAUUUUAGGGUUGGAAAAUGUUUCGGAUCCAAGAGAUGCAAUGUAUGUCAAUUUGAAGGAGAUACCAAAUAUUGAAGACUUAAUUAUGGUAUGGAGUGAAGAUUCUGGUAAUUCAAGGAAUCAAAGUACUGAGAUAGAGGUCCUUAAGUGGUUGCAACCUCAUCAAAGUUUGAAAAAACUGGAAAUUGCAUUUUAUGGUGGCUCAAAAUUCCCGCAUUGGAUAGGAGAUCCAUCCUUCUCCAAAAUGGUUUGUUUGGAACUUACAAAUUGUAAAAAUUGCACAUCAUUGCCAGCACUUGGGGGUUUACCUUUCCUCAAAGAGUUGGUGAUUAAAGGAAUGAAUCAAGUUAAAAGCAUAGGUGAUGGGUUCUAUGGGGAUACCGCAAACCCUUUUCAGUCUUUGGAAUCUCUAAGAUUUGAGAAUAUGGCAGAAUGGAACAAUUGGUUAAUUCCCAAAUUGGGACAUGAGGAAACUGAAGCAUUGUUUCCUUGCCUCCAUGAGCUUAUGAUAAUAAAAUGUCCAAAACUGAUCAACUUACCUCAUGAGUUACCGUCCCUUGUGGUUUUUUUUGUUAAAGAAUGCCAAGAACUGGAAAUGUCAAUUCCACGACUUCCACUUCUUACUGAAUUAAUAGUAGUUGGGUCGUUAAAAAGUUGGGAUGGUGAUGUCCCCUCACUUACCCAAUUAUACAUUUGGGGAAUUUCGAGGCUGAGUUGUUUAUGGGAAAGGCUUGCACAACGCUUAAUGGUCCUUGAAGAUCUGGGAAUAAAUGAAUGUGAUGAGUUGGCAUGUUUGAGGAAGCCUGGAUUUGGACUGGAAAACCUUGGUGGUCUGCGACGUUUAUGGAAUAAUCAGGGGCUGCCGUGGUCGACAAUAAGUUGUGGAGUUUUGUGCUCAAAACCUCGACUCUCAUGAAUGUGCCCUUAGCUUUUUCCUUAUUUUUCCAAAGGAAGGUCCCUGCCCUCUUCCAAAACAGAGGUACUUAUUAAUGCAUUGAAUUGUAAGUUUUGAUAGAACACAAUUUUCACCAUUUUCGACUAAAAAUAUCGCUUUCAUUUUCUGAUAAUGAUGGAAUUUGUGCUGCACAUUGAUGUAGAUGAAAGCAAAAUUUCUGGCCAUUGGUGCAGCUUAUUUGCAAGGGGAAAUAUCCUAAACAUGAAAGAGUUGUACUAAAUGCACCAUUCUUUUUUCAUUUCAGGGUUUACACUUUCAAUUCCAGUCUCCACUGUCAAUUUUUUUUGGUAAUCAGGUCCAAAAGUAGUUUUAAGGCCCUAUUAAAUUUGGCACCAACUUCAUUUCCUACCAAGGGAUGGUCAGUUUUAGGGCCCAACUUCAUUUCCUACAAUAAGCUAAACAGUUUUGUGCUCAAAAACUCACCUCUCUUGAUUGUGUUCUUAGCUUGUUCCUUAUUUUCUUAAGAAAGGCCUUCCUACCAUAGUUUAAUAACUGGAUAUUUGGCACUUUCAACUCAAAAUAUUGCUUUCAAUUUCCAAUAAUGAUGUCUUGUACAUAUAGGAUGGCAGGAAAAAGGAUUGAUGUAGAUAAAAGGGUAAUUUCCUGCCAUUGAUGCACCUUAUUCAUAUCUGCAAGGGGAAAUGCCCUACACAUGAAAGGAGCUGUAAUAAAUGCACCAUUCUUUUUUAAUCUUGGGGUUUACAUGUGAUUCCAGUUUCAUCUGUACAAUUUUUUGCUAAUCAGGUCCAAAAGAAAUUUUAAGGCCCUAUCAAAUGUGGCACCAACUUCACUUCCUACCAAGGGAUGGGCAGCUUGGCAAACUUGCAGAACCUAACCCACAACAAGAGGCCUUAUAUCUGGUGCUUCAUUUUGCUUAAAGCCAGUAUUCUAUUUCAAUUACCAUUAAUUAAUAGAAGGUAUUUCCGAUUUUGUUUUAGUUCUAUUUCAUUCCAAUCUAAAUUUGCAUCUUAGUAUCUUAAUAAAGCCCUUCUAUCUGAUUUUGUUUUGUACUUUAUUCACACAGGAAUUCUCCCUUACUAAACACCAAGGUUUUCUGGGAUUCUGCCAUCAGCUUGGAAAUAUGUAUUGCAAAACGGGGGAGAGGUAUAACUUCUUUGUUGAUGAGAUUUUUUUUCCCUUUUUUCUGCUUUUCCACUUAAUUUUUUUUUACUAAUUACAUGACAUUGUAAAUGCUGUUGGCCUAGACCCUUACUACUGGCAACUGGUAUGUCAAGCAGUUCAGGAUGCAGAGAAAGGGCAUAUAUCCAGGUUGUUCUCUUUCUUAUUCUCUCUCUUCUCACUUGUAUUGAUUUAAAAUGUGCUCUUUCAAAUUAAGGUCUUUGUAAGUAAGUUGUUGAAGGUAAAAUCCCCUAAUUGGGGCACAUGAUGAUUGUAACCUAGCCAGGUAAGGUGAUAUUUUAUUACUGUCUUUCUAGCUUUUACAUUUGCAUAUUUCUAUAUGGUUGCUUAGGCUUCUGCACCAGAAUUCUUUUGACUUAGUGCUACAUAAUUUUUAUUUUUUUUAUCAUACUGUUUGCUACAAUGGGCAUGCUCUGCCCAUGUGAUACCAGAAGGUGAAGGUUGUGGAUUAGUAAAAGACUUGACCCUGAUGAUUCAUGUUACAAACUGAUGAAGAAGAGAGUCCACUAAUAUCUCUAGUUAGUCUUUGUAAAAUAAUUACUUAGGCCCUCUUGCAUAAUCAGUUUGUAUUUGGAGUCUCAUUUGUAUUUGGAGGCUCACUUCAUGUAGCAUUAAUCUGCCCAAUCUAAUAGGGAUAAAAGGCCCUCUUUCAUAAUCAGUUUAGGGUUGAAUAGAGGGCAAUUAUUGGUUCAAUCAACAUAGGGAAAUGAGAUUGAACCUCAUGCCCUCCACUUCCCACCUUUUCUUUUAUUUUUUAUUUUUUUCUCUUUAUAUUGAACCUCAUGACCCUCUAGAAAUGCCUCUGAGAAUCAUGUCAAGAAAUUGAUGAAUUGUAAAGAAUAUUUGUGAUGGUAGGAAUGUUAAGAUUGUAAAAUUAAAAAAAUAAUCUGAUGAAUUUACUGAAGACGGAUUUGAUAAGGGGUGAAAUAAUUUCUGUAAGGGAAGGAAAUUGCCUAACCUUGAGAGGGAAGAGUGGAUCCUUUCCAUGCUAUGAGGAGUUUGAAAAGAGGGAAGAGUUAAAGAAACUGAAAUGACAACCCUNNNNNNNNNNNNNNNNNNNNNNNNNNNNNNNNNNNNNNNNNNNNNNNNNNNNNNNNNNNNNNNNNNNNNNNNNNNNNNNNNNNNNNNNNNNNNNNNNNNNAAUAUCUCUAGUUAGUCUUUGUAAAAUAAUUACUUAGGCCCUCUUCCAUAAUCAGUUUGUAUUUGGAGUCUCAUUUGUAUUUGGAGGCUCACUUCAUGUAGCAUUAAUCUGCCCAAUCUAAUAGGGAUAAAAGGCCCUCUUUCAUAAUCAGUUUAGGGUUGAAGAGAGGGCAAUUAUUGGUUCAAUCAACAUAGGGAAAUGAGAUUGAACCUCAUGCCCUCCACUUCCCACCUUUUCUUUUAUUUUUUAUUUUUUUUCUCUUUAUAUUGAACCUCAUGACCCUCUAGAAAUGCCUCUCAGAAUCAUGGCAAGAAAUUGGUGAAUUGUAAAGAAUAUUUGUGAUGGUAGGAAUGUUAAGAUUGUAGAAUUAAAAAAAUAAUCUGAUGAAUUUACUGAAGACGGAUUUGAUAAGGGGUGAAAUAAUUUCUGUAAGGGAAGGAAAUUGCCUAACCUUGAGAGGGAAGAGUGGAUCCUUUCCAUGCUAUGAGGAGUUUGAAAAGAGGGAAGAGUUAAAGAAACUGAAAUGACAACCCUUGGAUCCUCUUAAUCUGUAGAAUUUAAGGAGUAUGCAAGGCAAAAGUUAUUGAAUAGCAGGAUGUGUAUUCUUUUGGACUUGAUAACAACGAGAAGAAUUUUAGUGGAGGUAGAAUCAAUUAGGCCUGCCCAUGUGGCAUCUCCAGCAUUGCUUUGACUCUAAAGCUUUUUCAGAUUCUUCCUACUUCUUUUCCAUUCUUUGUCAUGUGUUUGGCUGCACCUGCAUGUUCUUUGUCGAUAUACAUGACAAAUAGUUAUGUUAUUAGUGCUUCAAUUUAUAUAUAUACAUAUAUAAUCAGAAUUUAUUCCUUGAAUAUUAAUCUAUAAAGAAUCCAUAUACCCUUGAUUUUCACUUCUCUUUGCAUUCCGUACUUAUGCAAUCUGUAAUUAUUGUUGCAUUAGGGUUAUUCUUCAGGUGUUGAAGAUGUGGAUGAGGUUCAUACACCAGAUUCUGACUAUAUUAAAUAAGCUAAAUCUUGGCAAGCAUAGGGGGCCACAAGUACAUAGUUUUUCUUUCCAUUAAGAUGGAAUACACAAACACAUAUUUAUGUGUUGGUGUCUGAUUUUAUAAUUUUCCACUCCUUAUGUUAUAUAAUUUAUUUCCAGAUUAGCAUUUCACAAAUGCAUUGAUGAAGUUACAGAGAGCUGGUAUAAUAGGGGAGUUUCUAAGUAUUUUUGUAAAUGAGUUGGUAAAUUCUUGUCUCCUAAUUGUACUUUGUAUUAGUUUACUUUCUGUUUCUUAUCUUCUUUUUUGCUUCACAUUUGGUCAAUGGAGAAUAUCCUAUUGCAGUCCUUUUCCACAUAAAAGAAUUGCGAUGGUGUAAGGCUGAAUGAGUCCUAAGCUUCAACCCUUAUUGCAAGAAGAAUAGAGAAAGGACAUAUUUAUCCAUUGAAAGAUUCAUAUUUUCUCUUAAUAGGGGAAUGAGCAGAGAUCAUGUUUCCCUCCUUAUAUGACAAAUUUUGCUUCUACGCCUUUGCUAAAUUUGAAAAAAAAAUUAUUUUUAUUUUUUUAUAAUAAUUAUAAACUAAUUUCCACAUUAUAUAGUGUGUAGCACGGCUUAAAAGGUUCCAUUCUUGUGAAGUGAAAGAAAUACAAUCACCUUUUGCACUAUUCUUCGUUGAUUUUGGAGUAAUGCAUUAUAUAAAGUUUCAUCAAUGUUUCCAUGAUAUUUUAUGGUAAAUCACAUCCUUAAGACACAAAAAAGUAUGAUUUUAUUAUUAUUACUAUUAUUAUUAUUAUUAUUAUUAUUAUUUAAUUUGUUCUAUUUUUGAUAUGAUAUGAGUUUUUUUCUACUCAUUUUCCCCCUUUUUAUUUGGUAUGGGCAGGUGGUCUUAAUAGGGGUUCAAAGAUGUCUCUUAUUGGCUUUCUAGAAGGUGAGCUACCCACAUUGACCCACCACCAACACUUGCAAGAGUUGUAAUGGGGAGAUGUCAUAUUCUAAAAGAGAGGUGCCUCAAAGACAAAGGAAAAUAUUAGCCUAAGAUUGCUCACAUCCCCUAUAUGGAAAUAGAUGACAUUAUAAAACUACAAGAAGUUCAACCAGGUACUCCCAAUAUAUGGAAAUAGUUGUGCCCUUGAGUACCUGAAAAUUAAAGAUUGUCCAUCUCUUAUUGGCUUUCCGAAAGGGGAGCUACCCGCCACCCUUAAGAAGCUGAUAAUUAUAAAUUGUGAGAAGCUAGAGUCUCUACCUGAGGGAAUUGACAACAACACUUGUCAUCUUGAAUAUCUACAUGUAUGGGGAUGUCCAUCUCUCAAGUCCAUUCCAAGAGGUUACUUUCCCUCAACACUUGAGACCCUUUCCAUUUGGGACUGCCAGCAAUUGGAGUCGAUUCCAGGGAAUAUGCAGCAAAAUCUCACAUCUCUUCAAGUUUUGCAAAUAUGUAAUUGUCGAGAUGUGUUGUCCUCUCCAGAAGCGUUUUUGAACCCUAACCUUGAAGAACUUUGUAUUUCAGAUUGUGAGAAUAUGAGGUGGCCUCUAUCUGGGUGGGGCCUCCACACACUCACCUCUCUUGAUAAGCUCAUGAUUCAAGGCCCAUUCCCAGAUCUGCUUUCUUUUCCCAGCUCUCACCUUCUUCUUCCUACAUCUAUCACAUGUCUCCGGUUGGUAAAUCUCUACAACUUGAAAUCCAUAGCCUCCAUAAGUCUCCGAAGCCUCAUCUCUCUUAAAAUCCUUGAACUCUAGAAUUGCCCUAAGCUCUGGUCCUUUGUGCCCAAGGGUGAGCAACACUUGCAAUACUUGAAAUCUGGGAGUGUCCUAUUCUAGAAAAGAGGUGUCUCAAGGACAAACGGAAAGAUUGGCCCAAGAUUGGCCACAUCCCCUACGUUCAAAUAAAUGACAUUGUACAACAAUAACAGCUUCAAUAAGGUACUCCUAAUUCUCUGUAAUCUUCCAUCAAAGGUUCUACUUGCUAAUUACUACCCUCUCUAUAAUAUUUGAGUCGCCCUUUUGUUAUGUAAUCAGGGGUUCUCCUAAUUUUUCAGAAGUUAGGCCUUCCUACCACAAUUUAAUAUUGAUAUUUGGCAUUGCCCUCUUCCAAAACAAAGGUGCGUAUUAAUGCAUUGAAUUGUAAGUUCUGAUGGAACAUAAUUUUCACCAUUUUCAACCCUAACAUAUUGCUUUCAUUUUCUAAUAAUGAUGGAAUUUAUGUUGCACAGAAUUUCCUGCCAUUCAUAUCUGCAAGGGUAAAUACUAAAUAUCCUACACAUGAAAGAAGAUGUACUAAAUGCCCCAUUCUUUUCUAGUUUCUGGAUUUACAUGUGAUUCAAGUUUUAAGGCCCUAUCAAAUUUGGGCAACAACUUCACUUCCCACCAAGGGAUGGGCAAAAGGCCUUAUGUUUGGUGGUUCUUUUUGUUUAAAGCUCAGUAUAUUGAUUCAAUCACCAUUAAUUGUUAAAAGGUAUUUAAGAUUUUGUUUUAGUUCUGUUUCAUUCCAGUCUAAAUUUGAAUCUUAUUAUGUUAAUGAAGCCCUUUUAUUUAAUUUUUUUUUCUGUACUUUAAUCACACAGGAAUGCUCCUUUAUUUAACACCUUGGUUUUUUGGGAUUCUGCCAUCUUUUUGCAAAUAUGUAUUGCAAAAACGGGAGAGGUAUAACUUUCUCGAACUUCUAAACUGACCAUUGUAUUUCAUCAGAUUGUUUUUAACUUUCUCAUAUUUUUCCCCUCAAAUUUACAUCUUUUUGACUAAUUACAUGAUAUUGUAGUUACUGUUGACCUAGAGAGGACCUUUCUACUAGCAUCUGGUAUGUCAAGCUGUUCAGGAUGCACAGAAAGGACAUAUAUCCCAGGUUGUUCUUUUUGUCAUUAUGUCUCUCCUCACUUGUAUUAAUUUCAAAUGUGCUCAUUCAAAUUUAUAUUAUCAUAAUAUAAAUUGAAGAUAAAAUCCCUUAAUGAGAGGUGGUAGUUAGGUCUUUGUAAGUAAGUUGUUGAAGGUAAACCUUGGUGAUGAGCUGGCAUGUUUGAGGAAGCCUGGAUUUGGGUUGGAAAACCUUGGUGGUUUAUGGAUGGAUGGGUGUGAUGGGAUUGUAUCCUUGGACGAGCAAAGGCUGCCUUGCAAUCUUCAAUAUUUGGAAGUGAAAGGAUGUUUCAACUUAGAGAAGCUGCCAAAUGCACUAUGCACCCUCACAUCUCUUAUAGAUUUGGUAAUUCAUAAUUGCCAGAACUUGUGCCAUUCCUAGAGACAAAUAUGUUGCCCAUGCUAAGACUUCUUUUGGUGAAAAAUUGUGAGCUUUUGGAGACGUUGGCCGAUGGAAUGGUGAGCACCAGAUGUGCCUUUGAGUGCUUAGAAAUUGUAGAUUGUCCAUCUCUUAUUAGAUUACCAAAAGGUAAGCUAUCGACCACCCUUAAGAAGCUACUCAUUAUAGAUUGCCAAAAACUAGAGUCUCUACCUGAGGGAAUUAUGCACCACACUUCAAUUGACAGCAACAACACUUGUCGUCUUGAACAACUACAUGUAUUGGGAUGUUUGUCUCUCAAGUGCAUUCCAAGAGGCAACUUUCCUUCCUUUCUUGAGAUGCUUUUCAUUUGGAAUUGCAAGAAAUUAGAGCCAAUUCCAGGCAAUAUGCUGCAAAAUCUCACAGCUCUUGGUAUGUUGGGUCUAUGUAAUUGUCCAGAUGUGAGGUUGUCUCCAAAAGAAUUUUGGACCACCAACCUUAAAUAACUUGCGAUUUCAGAUUGUGAGAAUAUGAAGAAGCCUCUAUCCUUUGUGCCAAAGGAAGGGCUGCCACCAUCACUUGCAAGACUUGUAAUCAUGGGUGUCCUAUUCUAGAACAAAUGAAAAGAUUGGCCCAAUAUUGCCUACACCCCCUAGAUGGAAAUAGAUGGCAUUGUCUAACAAUAACAAUUUCAAUCAGGUACCCACAAUUCUCUGUAAUCUUCCACCAAAUAUUCUACUUGCUAAUAACUUUCUUUCUCUAAAACGUUCUAUUCUUCAUGUUGUUCCGUAUCUCAGUUCCACUUGUUAAUUCAAAUGAUUUUAUUAUUUCUUAAAGAAGCUUAAAAUUCACACAGAAAAAGCACCGUACUUUAUGUUUUCUUUAUUUAUUUUCCUUUCCCCUUUUUAAUCUUAAUCAUUAACAGUUCUUUUAAAAUAUUUGUCGUCAGAUACUUGUUACAGAGGGGGUUGUGCUUAGCCAGUGUGUGACUCUGGAAACCCCACGUAAAAUGUAUGGCAACAACUGAGUCCUAUCAAUACUUGCAACAUUACAUAAUCAAGAGAGAUGUCCUAUUCUGAAAAGGAGGUCCAUGAAGAACAAAGGAAUAGGAUGGCCCUAAACUGCUCAUAUCCUCCCAUAUCUGGAGAUAGAUUGCAUUGUACAGCAGUAAAAAGGUCAAUCAAGUACCCCAAUUAAUGAUAGUCGCUCUUUUCUCUUGUUGCUCACAUCCAUCCUUCUAUCUGAUUGGAAAUUUAGUUCUCUAAUUCAUCAGUUAUGUGCAACAAUUUAUAUUUGCAUUAAAAAAAUUUCUGAAUAUAUAUUCAAAAUGAAAUGCUCUUGAUCUUAUUUUUUUGCCUUUUACAUUGAAAACAUAUAACUCUUUUUCAUUAUUAUGCUAACAGAAAGGAAUAUUGAGUUUCAUCCUGCAGAUUCCAUGUCUGAAGUGAAUAUGGUGUUGGUUGUUCAUUCUCUAAUAUGGUGAUGGUGAAAAGAAGAUGAAAGGGCCUAGGAAAAGCAUGGUACAUAUGCUAUUUUCAUUUUUUAUCUUAUAUUUCCUAUUUUAAUUUUAAAAUAAAAUGGCUACUGGGCCAUGCCUUUUUAAUCAUAUCAACAUGGAAAAGCAGUCAAAAAGAGUUGGAAAAACAACCUGCUUAUGAUUACAUUCGUUGGUCUACCUAUAGAUCUUGGGUUGGAUAUGGUGCAGAGGAAGAUUUUUACAAACAAACCUAUUUAAGGUAUUUGGGACUAUCCUCUUCCAAACACAGGUGAUUAUUAGUCUAUUGAAUUGUAAGUCUGAUAUAAAAAACAAUCUCCAUUUCUAACUCAAAAUAUUGCUUUUGCUUCUUGAUAAUGAUGGAAUUUACUUUUUAGAUGCAGGAUGGCAAUCAAAGGGACUGAUGUAGAUGAAAGCAAAAUUCAUGGCCAUUGAUGCAGCUUAUUAGCAUCUGCAAAGGUAAAUAUCCUAAACAUGAAAGAGCAGUACUAAAUGCAUCAUUCUAGGCCAUGUAAAUUUAAAAAAAAAAAUUCAAUCAGGUCCAAAAAGAGUUUUAAGCCCAAUCGAAUUUGCCACCAGCUUCACAUGGCAAUAAUUUCACAUAGAGAUACAUGGUUGAUACACCUAUUAAAAGUCUUGUUGCAUUUUUUCUUUCUUUCUUUUUUCCGUUUUCAAUAUGCUUCAAUUUCAUGAUGCAAGGGGCCUUACAUCUGGUGGUUCAUUUUGCUUAAAGCCAGAAUACUAUUUCCAUCACCAUUAAUAAAUACAAGGUAAUUAAGAUUUUGCUUGAGUUCUCUUUGAUUUUAAACCAAAUUUGCAUCUUAUUAUGCUAAUGAGCCUCUUAUUUGAUUUUACUGUGUACAUUAAUCACUCAGGCAUGCUCCCUAAUUUAUUCUUCCCUUUGCUUGGAAAUAUGUACUACAAAAAAGCAAGAGGUAUCACUCUCUCAAACCUUUCAAUUGCCUAGUAAUAUGGUUCAUUUUAGCAUGUAGCAUUUCUCAUCAAACCUUUGAAACUACUUGGAAAUAUAGUUGAACACCGUGUUUCUCAUCUUUUGUUCCUUUUUUCUGCUUAUGCAUACAAGGCAACAAGCUAAAAGAGCCUUAGGGUGUGUUUGGAGUUGUUUUCAAAAAUGGUUUUCUAUUUUUAAGAAAAAAAAAAAGGUCAUAACAUGUUUGAUAAUCGGAAAACAAAAAGCAAAGUGUUUUCCAAGAAUAUAUUUUAAUUGUUUUUGGUGGUUUUAACUUUUUUCUAAAUAUUGUUUUAAAAAUAAUUAUACAAAUAUGGAGAAUGAUUGAAAAUUAAGUAUUUACAAAUUAAAGUUAUUUAAAAAAAUAUUUAAAAAUAUAGAAAAUAGGUUAAACACAUUUCAGAUUUUCAAACAAGAUUUGUCAAAUUUAUAGGAAGUGAAUUGGCAUUUUCCUCAAAACUUUGAUUUUGCUUUUUAAUAUUUUAUUCUAUUUUAUGACGAUAGUAUUUUCUUGUACCUCUCCCUUAAAUUUGAAACUAGUUUUUCUGAUUUUUUUAUUGGUAAGUAUAACCUAAUUUAAUUUCCCCAUCAUAGUAGGACUAAAAAGUGGAGAUUCUUAUGGAAUGAAAGAAAUGCAAUCAACUCUCACACUAUGAUGAACUGCAAGCAUAUUUCAAUAUUUUGAUGGUAUUUAUUCUAUUUCACCAAAUACUAAUGGAAAGUUAUUCAUUACUUGAAUCAUUCUAACAGGCAAUUGAGCUGGUACAUCACAAACUGAAUUGAUAGGACAAUGAUAGUGACAAUAUUCUUAGCAAGUUCGGGUCAUGUAUUACAUAUAAGGUUUCUUCAGUUUUUACAAGAUGUUUUAUGGUGAAUUACACCCUUAUGACACACGCAAACCCAAAAAAAAAAAAAACAAAGGAUUUUAAGUCAUUUCUUUUUUUCCCUUUUGUUAAUUUGGUAUGGGCAGGUGGUCAUAAACAAAGGAGCUCAAUGAGUUAGAACUACAGCCUCACUGUNNNNNNNNNNNNNNNNNNNNNNNNNNNNNNNNNNNNNNNNNNNNNNNNNNNNNNNNNNNNNNNNNNNNNNNNNNNNNNNNNNNNNNNNNNNNNNNNNNNNNNNNNNNNNNNNNNNNNNNNNNNNNNNNNNNNNNNNNNNNNNNNNNNNNNNNNNNNNNNNNNNNNNNNNNNNNNNNNNNNNNNNNNNNNNNNNNNNNNNNNNNNNNNNNNNNNNNNNNNNNNNNNNNNNNNNNNNNNNNNNNNNNNNNNNNNNNNNNNNNNNNNNNNNNNNNNNNNNNNNNNNNNNNNNNNNNNNNNNNNNNNNNNNNNNNNNNNNNNNNNNNNNNNNNNNNNNNNNNNNNNNNNNNNNNNNNNNNNNNNNNNNNNNNNNNNNNNNNNNNNNNNNNNNNNNNNNNNNNNNNNNNNNNNNNNNNNNNNNNNNNNNNNNNNNNNNNNNNNNNNNNNNNNNNNNNNNNNNNNNNNNNNNNNNNNNNNNNNNNNNNNNNNNNNNNNNNNNNNNNNNNNNNNNNNNNNNNNNNNNNNNNNNNNNNNNNNNNNNNNNNNNNNNNNNNNNNNNNNNNNNNNNNNNNNNNNNNNNNNNNNNNNNNNNNNNNNNNNNNNNNNNNNNNNNNNNNNNNNNNNNNNNNNNNNNNNNNNNNNNNNNNNNNNNNNNNNNNNNNNNNNNNNNNNNNNNNNNNNNNNNNNNNNNNNNNNNNNNNNNNNNNNNNNNNNNNNNNNNNNNNNNNNNNNNNNNNNNNNNNNNNNNNNNNNNNNNNNNNNNNNNNNNNNNNNNNNNNNNNNNNNNNNNNNNNNNNNNNNNNNNNNNNNNNNNNNNNNNNNNNNNNNNNNNNNNNNNNNNNNNNNNNNNNNNNNNNNNNNNNNNNNNNNNNNNNNNNNNNNNNNNNNNNNNNNNNNNNNNNNNNNNNNNNNNNNNNNNNNNNNNNNNNNNNNNNNNNNNNNNNNNNNNNNNNNNNNNNNNNNNNNNNNNNNNNNNNNNNNNNNNNNNNNNNNNNNNNNNNNNNNNNNNNNNNNNNNNNNNNNNNNNNNNNNNNNNNNNNNNNNNNNNNNNNNNNNNNNNNNNNNNNNNNNNNNNNNNNNNNNNNNNNNNNNNNNNNNNNNNNNNNNNNNNNNNNNNNNNNNNNNNNNNNNNNNNNNNNNNNNNNNNNNNNNNNNNNNNNNNNNNNNNNNNNNNNNNNNNNNNNNNNNNNNNNNNNNNNNNNNNNNNNNNNNNNNNNNNNNNNNNNNNNNNNNNNNNNNNNNNNNNNNNNNNNNNNNNNNNNNNNNNNNNNNNNNNNNNNNNNNNNNNNNNNNNNNNNNNNNNNNNNNNNNNNNNNNNNNNNNNNNNNNNNNNNNNNNNNNNNNNNNNNNNNNNNNNNNNNNNNNNNNNNNNNNNNNNNNNNNNNNNNNNNNNNNNNNNNNNNNNNNNNNNNNNNNNNNNNNNNNNNNNNNNNNNNNNNNNNNNNNNNNNNNNNNNNNNNNNNNNNNNNNNNNNNNNNNNNNNNNNNNNNNNNNNNNNNNNNNNNNNNNNNNNNNNNNNNNNNNNNNNNNNNNNNNNNNNNNNNNNNNNNNNNNNNNNNNNNNNNNNNNNNNNNNNNNNNNNNNNNNNNNNNNNNNNNNNNNNNNNNNNNNNNNNNNNNNNNNNNNNNNNNNNNNNNNNNNNNNNNNNNNNNNNNNNNNNNNNNNNNNNNNNNNNNNNNNNNNNNNNNNNNNNNNNNNNNNNNNNNNNNNNNNNNNNNNNNNNNNNNNNNNNNNNNNNNNNNNNNNNNNNNNNNNNNNNNNNNNNNNNNNNNNNNNNNNNNNNNNNNNNNNNNNNNNNNNNNNNNNNNNNNNNNNNNNNNNNNNNNNNNNNNNNNNNNNNNNNNNNNNNNNNNNNNNNNNNNNNNNNNNNNNNNNNNNNNNNNNNNNNNNNNNNNNNNNNNNNNNNNNNNNNNNNNNNNNNNNNNNNNNNNNNNNNNNNNNNNNNNNNNNNNNNNNNNNNNNNNNNNNNNNNNNNNNNNNNNNNNNNNNNNNNNNNNNNNNNNNNNNNNNNNNNNNNNNNNNNNNNNNNNNNNNNNNNNNNNNNNNNNNNNNNNNNNNNNNNNNNNNNNNNNNNNNNNNNNNNNNNNNNNNNNNNNNNNNNNNNNNNNNNNNNNNNNNNNNNNNNNNNNNNNNNNNNNNNNNNNNNNNNNNNNNNNNNNNNNNNNNNNNNNNNNNNNNNNNNNNNNNNNNNNNNNNNNNNNNNNNNNNNNNNNNNNNNNNNNNNNNNNNNNNNNNNNNNNNNNNNNNNNNNNNNNNNNNNNNNNNNNNNNNNNNNNNNNNNNNNNNNNNNNNNNNNNNNNNNNNNNNNNNNNNNNNNNNNNNNNNNNNNNNNNNNNNNNNNNNNNNNNNNNNNNNNNNNNNNNNNNNNNNNNNNNNNNNNNNNNNNNNNNNNNNNNNNNNNNNNNNNNNNNNNNNNNNNNNNNNNNNNNNNNNNNNNNNNNNNNNNNNNNNNNNNNNNNNNNNNNNNNNNNNNNNNNNNNNNNNNNNNNNNNNNNNNNNNNNNNNNNNNNNNNNNNNNNNNNNNNNNNNNNNNNNNNNNNNNNNNNNNNNNNNNNNNNNNNNNNNNNNNNNNNNNNNNNNNNNNNNNNNNNNNNNNNNNNNNNNNNNNNNNNNNNNNNNNNNNNNNNNNNNNNNNNNNNNNNNNNNNNNNNNNNNNNNNNNNNNNNNNNNNNNNNNNNNNNNNNNNNNNNNNNNNNNNNNNNNNNNNNNNNNNNNNNNNNNNNNNNNNNNNNNNNNNNNNNNNNNNNNNNNNNNNNNNNNNNNNNNNNNNNNNNNNNNNNNNNNNNNNNNNNNNNNNNNNNNNNNNNNNNNNNNNNNNNNNNNNNNNNNNNNNNNNNNNNNNNNNNNNNNNNNNNNNNNNNNNNNNNNNNNNNNNNNNNNNNNNNNNNNNNNNNNNNNNNNNNNNNNNNNNNNNNNNNNNNNNNNNNNNNNNNNNNNNNNNNNNNNNNNNNNNNNNNNNNNNNNNNNNNNNNNNNNNNNNNNNNNNNNNNNNNNNNNNNNNNNNNNNNNNNNNNNNNNNNNNNNNNNNNNNNNNNNNNNNNNNNNNNNNNNNNNNNNNNNNNNNNNNNNNNNNNNNNNNNNNNNNNNNNNNNNNNNNNNNNNNNNNNNNNNNNNNNNNNNNNNNNNNNNNNNNNNNNNNNNNNNNNNNNNNNNNNNNNNNNNNNNNNNNNNNNNNNNNNNNNNNNNNNNNNNNNNNNNNNNNNNNNNNNNNNNNNNNNNNNNNNNNNNNNNNNNNNNNNNNNNNNNNNNNNNNNNNNNNNNNNNNNNNNNNNNNNNNNNNNNNNNNNNNNNNNNNNNNNNNNNNNNNNNNNNNNNNNNNNNNNNNNNNNNNNNNNNNNNNNNNNNNNNNNNNNNNNNNNNNNNNNNNNNNNNNNNNNNNNNNNNNNNNNNNNNNNNNNNNNNNNNNNNNNNNNNNNNNNNNNNNNNNNNNNNNNNNNNNNNNNNNNNNNNNNNNNNNNNNNNNNNNNNNNNNNNNNNNNNNNNNNNNNNNNNNNNNNNNNNNNNNNNNNNNNNNNNNNNNNNNNNNNNNNNNNNNNNNNNNNNNNNNNNNNNNNNNNNNNNNNNNNNNNNNNNNNNNNNNNNNNNNNNNNNNNNNNNNNNNNNNNNNNNNNNNNNNNNNNNNNNNNNNNNNNNNNNNNNNNNNNNNNNNNNNNNNNNNNNNNNNNNNNNNNNNNNNNNNNNNNNNNNNNNNNNNNNNNNNNNNNNNNNNNNNNNNNNNNNNNNNNNNNNNNNNNNNNNNNNNNNNNNNNNNNNNNNNNNNNNNNNNNNNNNNNNNNNNNNNNNNNNNNNNNNNNNNNNNNNNNNNNNNNNNNNNNNNNNNNNNNNNNNNNNNNNNNNNNNNNNNNNNNNNNNNNNNNNNNNNNNNNNNNNNNNNNNNNNNNNNNNNNNNNNNNNNNNNNNNNNNNNNNNNNNNNNNNNNNNNNNNNNNNNNNNNNNNNNNNNNNNNNNNNNNNNNNNNNNNNNNNNNNNNNNNNNNNNNNNNNNNNNNNNNNNNNNNNNNNNNNNNNNNNNNNNNNNNNNNNNNNNNNNNNNNNNNNNNNNNNNNNNNNNNNNNNNNNNNNNNNNNNNNNNNNNNNNNNNNNNNNNNNNNNNNNNNNNNNNNNNNNNNNNNNNNNNNNNNNNNNNNNNNNNNNNNNNNNNNNNNNNNNNNNNNNNNNNNNNNNNNNNNNNNNNNNNNNNNNNNNNNNNNNNNNNNNNNNNNNNNNNNNNNNNNNNNNNNNNNNNNNNNNNNNNNNNNNNNNNNNNNNNNNNNNNNNNNNNNNNNNNNNNNNNNNNNNNNNNNNNNNNNNNNNNNNNNNNNNNNNNNNNNNNNNNNNNNNNNNNNNNNNNNNNNNNNNNNNNNNNNNNNNNNNNNNNNNNNNNNNNNNNNNNNNNNNNNNNNNNNNNNNNNNNNNNNNNNNNNNNNNNNNNNNNNNNNNNNNNNNNNNNNNNNNNNNNNNNNNNNNNNNNNNNNNNNNNNNNNNNNNNNNNNNNNNNNNNNNNNNNNNNNNNNNNNNNNNNNNNNNNNNNNNNNNNNNNNNNNNNNNNNNNNNNNNNNNNNNNNNNNNNNNNNNNNNNNNNNNNNNNNNNNNNNNNNNNNNNNNNNNNNNNNNNNNNNNNNNNNNNNNNNNNNNNNNNNNNNNNNNNNNNNNNNNNNNNNNNNNNNNNNNNNNNNNNNNNNNNNNNNNNNNNNNNNNNNNNNNNNNNNNNNNNNNNNNNNNNNNNNNNNNNNNNNNNNNNNNNNNNNNNNNNNNNNNNNNNNNNNNNNNNNNNNNNNNNNNNNNNNNNNNNNNNNNNNNNNNNNNNNNNNNNNNNNNNNNNNAGCAAAUGUUCCUCAUUGACCAAACACACUAAGAAGCUCAAUGAUUCUAUUUUUUAAAGAAAUAUGCAUGGCAAAGAGACUCUGAAACAAAAGUUUGACUAAUUUCGGUUUUGUUAAUAACAAAACAAGGUUUGAAACUAAUAAUUCAUUUUAAGUGUUUUUUAGCAAGAGGAUUUCCAAAGAACCAAUCACAACAACAUAAUAAAGUGAAAUCAAGAAAAAAGAGAAGACCUUAAAGAGGAAAUCAAGCAAGACUCAUGUCUAGGAUCUUUUUAUAAAAUUGUUGAUGCACUAGGUUCAAAGUGCAUUUUAUUUUUAUUUAAGUACCUAAAAUCAUCCAAUUUUCUAAAUCAACUUUAUUCUUUUAUAAAGUAAUGAAGAAUCUUUCUAAAUGUAAACCAACUUUAUUUAGUACUAUUCAUAGUUUAAAAGGUCUUUAAAAGGAAAAGGAGUUUAUCUACCUAGGUUUUCCUAAGAAUUUUGUGAAAAUUAUAGAAUUCAUUUAUGCAUAUUUCAAUGAUUUUUACAUGUCAAAUUUAAAAUUGAUUAUUUCAAGAUAAAAACUCAGAUUUUGACAUAUAUUUCAUCAUUUAAAUGAGUACUUUUUUCAAUAUUAUGUUUUCAUAUUAAAAUAAUUUGAGUCAUUAAAAGUCAUUUAUGUAUCAAUUUUCCAUAUUUUGCAUAUGCUUGAUUGAAGUGACUCAAUUGGUUGAAUUGGUUAUUGUUCACUCAAUUGAUUGAGGAUUGGUAGAAUUGGUUGAGCUCUUAUGAUGUAAUAGUCAUUUUUUUGUAUCUUCUAUCACCCAAAACUAGUGACCAAUUGGUUGACUAAUCGAUCCCAAAUUGUUUUUGACAAUUAGUUUAGGUCUUCAACUUUUAAUUAAAGGAUCCAAGCUUUGUGUACCAUUUAUUAUAGAUUUUUUAUUCCAUUGAGCCAAUUUAUAAACCAAAAGUUAUAUUCUUGUCAAAUCUUUUCUCAUAUACCUUGUGAGGUAGGCUCAAGUGUGGGGUAAAACUUGAGGAAUUCCAAAUGUGGUGUGACUUUUAAAGAAUUCAAAAGUUGUUCUCUUAAAGGUGUUUUGUAAAUGGUGCUUGAAAUCAUUUUCUGAAAGGGUACUUGGAGUCACAAGUUUAAAAGGAUUGAUUAGAAUUAUAAUUCAAUUGUGAAACUUGAAGACUCAUAUUGAAGCUUUGAUUAAUAGAACCCUCACUCAAUUAAGAGUUUAAGGAGAUGGAUGUAGGCGGACUUGUGCUGAACCAUUCAUAAAAACUAGUGCUUGCAUUUGUGUUUUCUUUACGUACUUGCAAUAUCACUUACUUUCUAAAUCUAAAUUUGUAAAAAGUGACUAUUACUAUUCACCUCUUUUGUAAAGUGAUUAUCUUAUAUUGGUAUACCUCAAAUUGUAAUAAAAACCACAAAACAUAAGAACAACAAAAUCAAACACUUAUCCUAUUGGACAGUGUGAACACUUACAUAAAACCAAACCAGAUUUUUUAAUCAAGCCUUCUUGAAAGGAAACAAUGAUAAUCAUAUAGUAGAAAAGCUUGAAGAAAGUUAUGAAGGAGACAUGAGGAAAUGUGCGGAAAUUCAUUUUUCAUUUUUUAUUUUUUUUUAAAGUCCAAGUGUUUUGAUUACGUGGCAUUUGACGGCAAUCCCACAUCGAAUUGCUUAUGUGGCUGGAGGAGUAUGGGCAAAUAUGGAAUUCUUAUUUUAACAUCCUUGAAGUGCUUAUUUGAGAGACUAUUUCUACGUGAUGUAGCUGGUAUAAAAGACAAGGAUUGCCUUCUUUAAAAUAAUACAUUUUUUUAAACCCAUAUGGUUGCAUAAUCGCCCUUCGGAUUUUCUAAACAUAGAGCAGUGUGUAUCAUACUCUCUCUUCAGUAAUUGAAUGGCAGCACACACCACAUCAACCACCACAGCAAUCCACACCUCUUGGUCAAUUCUUCACAUUAUUUUUUAAACCCUCACAUACAAUUGGCUAUAAUAUAACAUGGAGUUUCAUAAUUGAUCAGUUUCAUAAUAAACAUGGAAACAGCAUAUGUUUCCAUGUUUAAAUAAUUUUAUUUUACGAGGUUGUUUCCCAACUUCUCCAUUAAAAUUUGUAUUAGUUUAUAUAUUUUCCAAACACGGAUCAGUGCAGCCCAUGUGCCCCUCUCUCUGCCACGCUUUCCUUUUCCAAACCUUGUUGACCCAGCAACCACCAUUGCAAUCUACACCAGUUGCUCACGUCUGCGCUGAUAAAAUUUUCAAUCUCGCUUGUUUCUUUUGUCUCCACUGCCUGCCCUUCGAUUUCUGGAAAGAACUAGCCGAUGGAGGUUGUUGGAGAGUCUGUUCUUUCUGCUGCCCUCCAAGUUCUGUUCGGUAAGUUGGUUUUCCCUGAGUUGCUCAACUUUGCUGGCCAAGAGGGGGUCAUUGCUGAACUUGAAAACUGGAAGGAGAAACUGAUGAUGAUUAAUGAAGUGCUGGACGAAGCUGAGGAGAAGCAGACAUCAAAGCCGUCCGUGAAAAACUGGCUUGACAAUCUCCGAGACUUGGCUUACGACAUGGAAGAUGUGCUGGAUGAGUUCGCGACCGAGCUGUUGCGAUGCAGGUUGAUGUCAGAAGGUGCUGAUCAGGUGGCCACCACAAGUAAGGUACGGAGCCUCAUCCCGACUUGCUUUACUGGUUUCAAUCCUGUUGAUGAAGUUAAGUUUAAUAUUGAGAUGGGGACCAAGAUCAAGGAAAUCACUAGGCGGUUAGGCGAUAGUUCAACCCGGAAAGCUGAGCUGGGUUUUGAUAUGGUCCCGGGUGUUGAAACAAGUUGGGGAAGUUUUGCAUCUGGAGCAGCUUCUACUUGGCAACGACCCCCUUCUACAUCUUUGAUUAACGAAGCUGUUCACGGCAGGGAUAAAGAUAAAGAAGUCAUUAUUGAGAUGCUGUUGAAGGAUGAAGCAGGUGAAAGCAACUUUGGGGUAAUUCCCAUUGUAGGUAUAGGUGGGAUGGGGAAAACUACACUGGCCCAGUUGAUAUACAGGGAUGAAAGAAAUAGUGAAGCAUUUUGAGCCAAGGGUGUGGGUGUGUAUCAGAUGAGAGCGAUGUAGAGAAGUUAACGAAGAUAAUUCUCAAUGCCGUCUCUCCGAAUGAAGUCCGUGAUGGGGAUAACUUUAAUCAAGUGCAGCUCAAGCUAAGCAAUAAUCUGGCUGGAAAAAGGUUUUUGCUAGUUUUGGACGAUGUGUGGAACAUCAACAAUUAUGAGCGAUGGAAUCACUUACAGACUCCCUUUAAGUCCGGAGCUAGAGGAAGUAAAAUUGCAGUAACAACACGUCAUGGGAAUGUUGCAUCUUUGAUGAGAGCAGACAGCUUCCACCAUUUGCUCAAGCCUUUAUCCAAUGAUGAUUGUUGGAAUGUAUUUGUGAAACAUGCAUUUGAAAACAAGAAUGCCAAUGAACAUCCAAAUUUGGAAUUAAUUCAACAAAGGGUCGUAGAGAAAUGUAGUGGCCUGCCCUUAGCAGCAAAGAUGCUUGGUGGGCUUCUACGCUCCGAACCACAGGAUCGAUGGGAACGUGUACUGAGUAGAAAAAUUUGGAAUAAGAGUGGUGUUUUUCCAGUGCUAAGAUUAAGCUAUCAACAUCUCCCUUCACAUCUAAAAAGAUGUUUUGCUUAUUGUGCGUUGUUUUCAAAGGACUAUGAAUUUAAGCAAAAAGAGCUAAUUUUAUUGUGGAUGGCAGGGGAUUUAAUUCACCAAGCAGAAGAAGAUAACUGUCAAAUGGAAGAAGAUCUAGGUGCUGAUUAUUUUAAUGAAUUGUUAUCAAAAUGCUUUUUCCAACCAUGAUAGUAAAUCCGAAUUCAUAAUGCAUGACUUGAUUAAUGAUCUUGCUCAAGAAGUUGCUACAGAAAUAUGUUUCAAUUUCGAGAAUAUAUAUAAGGUCUCUCAAAGGACUCGUCAUUUGUCAUUCGUGCGUGGUGAGUAUGAUGUGUUCAAAAAAUUUGAAGUCCUAAAUAAACCAGAGCAAUUAUGAACAUUUGUUGCACUACCCAUCACACUAGAUAAUAAGAAGAAAUGCUACUUAAGUAAUAAGGUGCUUAAUGGCUUGUUGCCAAAGUUGGGACAAUUGAGGGUGCUCUCUUUUGAGUGGUUAUGAAAUAAAUGAGUUACCGGAUUCGAUUGGUGAUUUGAAACAUUUACGAUUUCUUAAUUUGUUUUCUACAAAAAUCAAACAGUUACCUAAAACAGUGAGUGGUCUUUACAACUUACAAUCGUUGAUAUUAUGCAAUUGUGUGCAACUCAUUAAUUUACCUAUGAGCAUCAUAAAUUUAAUUAAUCUUCGCCAUCUUGAUAUUAGAGGUUCAACUAUGUUGAAAAAGAUGCCUCCACAAGUUGGCAAGUUGAUAAAUUUGCAAACGUUGAAUAGGUUUUUUCUAAGCAAGGGUAAUGGGUCACAAAUAAAAGAAUUGAAGAACUUAUUGAAUCUCCAAGGAGAGCUUAGCAUUAAAAGGUUGGAGAAUAUUUCGGAUCCAAGAGAUGUGAGGUAAGUCAAUUCGAAGGAGGGACGGAAUAUUGAAGACUUAAUCAUGGUAUGGAGUGAAAAGUAUGGCAAUUCAAGGAAUGAAAGCACCGAGAUAGAGGUCCUUAAGUGGUUGCAACCUCAUCAAAGUUUGAAAAAACUGGAUAUUAGAUUUUAUGGUGGCUCAAAAUUCCCAAAUUGGAUAGGAGAUCCAUCCUUCUCCAAAAUGGUGUAUCUGGAUCUUAUAAAUUGUAAAAAUUGCACAUCUUUGCCAGCACUAGGGGGACUACCUUUCCUCAAAAACUUGGUGAUUGAAGGCAUGAAUGAAGUUAAAAGCAUAGGCGAUGAGUUCUAUGGGGAGACUGCGAAUUCUUUUCGGGCUUUAGAACAUAUGAGAUUUGAGAAAAUGCCCCAAUGGAAAGAUUGGUUAAUUCCUAAAUUGGUUCAUGAGGAAACCCAAGCAUUGUUUCCUUGCCUCCGUGAGCUUAUAACAAUAAAAUGUCCAAAACUCAUCAACUUAUCUCAUGAGUUACCUUCCCUUGUGACGCUUCAUGUUCAAGAAUGCCAAGAAUUGGAAAUUUCAAUUCCACGACUUCCACUUCUUAUUAAAUUAAUAGUAGUUGGGUUGUUAAAAAGUUGGGUUGUUGAUGUCCCCUCACUCACCCAAUUAUACAUUUGGAAAAAUCAAGCCUGAGUUGUUUAUGGGAAAGGCUUGCACGGAGCUUAAUAGCCAUUGAAGAUCUGGGAAUUGCUGAAUGUGAUGAACUGGCAUGUUUGAGGAAGCCUGGAUUUGAACUGGAAAACCUUGGUGGUGUGCGACAUUCAUGGAUCAAAGGGUGUCAUGGGGUUGUAUCCUUGGAAGAGCAGGGGCUGCCUUGCAAUCUUCAAUACUGGGAAGUGAAUGGAUGUUACAACUUAGAGAAGCUGCCUAACGCAUUACACACCCUCACAUCUCUUACAGAUUUGCUAAUUCAUAAUUGCCCAAAACUCCUAUCAUUCCCAGAGACAGGUUUGCAGCCUAUGCUAAGACGUCUUGGGGUCAGAAAUUGCAGGGUUCUGGAGACACUGCCUGAUGGAAUGAUGAUGAACAGUUGUAUACUUGAGUACGUGGACAUUAAAGAGUGUCCAUCUUUUAUUGAAUUUCCAAAAGGUGAGCUACCCGCCACCCUCAAGAAGUUGACGAUUGAAGAUUGUUGGAGACUAGAGUCUCUACUUGAGGGAAUUGACAGCAACAACACUUGUCGACUUGAAUGGCUACAUGUAUGGGGAUGUCCAUCUCUCAAGUCCAUUCCAAGAGGCUACUUUCCCUCCACACUUACUUUCCAUUUGGGACUGCGAGCAAUUGGAGUCGAUUCCAGGGAAUCUGCUGCAAAAUCUCACAUCUCUUCGACUUCUGAACAUAUGUAAUUGUCCAGAUGUGGUGUCCUCUCCAGAAGCGUUUUUGAACCCCAACCUUAAAGAACUUUGCAUUUCAGAUUGUGAGAAUAUGAGGUGGCCUCCAUCUGGGUGGGGCCUCGACACACUCACCUCUCUUGGUGAGCUAUUUAUUCAAGGCCCAUUCCGAGAUCUGCUUUCUUUUUCUAGCUCUCACCUUCUUCUUCCUACAUCUCUCACCACUCUCCGGUUGGGAAAUCUCCGCAAUUUGAAAUCCAUAGCCUCCACGAGUCUACAAAGCCUCAUCUCUCUUAAAAGCCUUGAAUUCCACAUUUGCCCUAAGCUCCGGUCCUUUGUGCCAAAUGAAGGGCUGCCAGCAACACUUACAAGACUUGUAAUCAGGGAAUGUCCCUUUCUAAAAGAGAGGUGCCUCAAGGACAAAGGAAAAGAUUGGCCUAAGAUUGCCCACAUCCCCUACGUGCAAAUAGAUGGCAUUGUACAACAAUUAAAAAACAAAUAACAACUUCAAUCAGGUACUGCCAAUUCUCUAUUAUCUUCCAUCAAAAGUUUGACAUUCUAAUUGCUACCGUCUCUAUAAUAUUUGAGCCUCCCUUUUGUUCUGUAAUCAGGGGUUUGCCAUGGUCAACAAUAAGCUACAAUGUUUUGUGCUCAAAACCUCGAUUCUCAUGAAUGUGUACCCUUAGCUUUUUCCUUGCUUUUCGGAUGACAGGCCUUCCUACCGCAGUUUAAUAACUGGGUAUUUGGCACUGCCCUCUUCCAAAAUAGAGGUGCGUAUUAAUGCAUUGAAUUGUAAGUUCUGAUAGAACACAAUUUCACGAUUUUCAACUCAACAUAUUGCUUUCAUUUUCUAAUAAUAUUGAUGGAAUUUAUGUUGCACAUAUAGGAUUGCAGGAAAAGGGAUUGAUGUAGAGAUGAAAGUAAAAUUCCCUGCCAUUUGUAUCUGCAAGGGUAGAUACAAAAUAUCCUACACAUGAAAGGAGAUGUAAUAGAUGCACCAUUCUUUUUUAAUUUUCAGGUUUACAUGCGAUUCCAGUUUCAUGUGUAAAUUUUCUGUUAAUCAGGUCCAAAGGAAGUUUUAAGGCCCUAUCAAAUUUGGCACCAACUUCACUUCCUACUAAGGGAUGGGCAGCUUGGUCAACUUGUAGAACUAACCCACAACAAUGGGCCCUGAAGCUGGUACUCCAUUUUGCUUAAAGCCAGUAUACUAUUUCAAUCACCAUUACUUAAUAAAAGGUAUUCAUGAUUUUGUUUUAUUUCUGUUUCAUUCCAAUCUAAAUUUGAAUCUCAUUCUAUUAAUGAAGCCUUUUUAUUUGAUUUUGUUUUGUACUUUAAUCACACAGGAAUGCUCCCUUAUUCAAUGCCUAGGUUUUCUAGGAUUCUGGCAUUUGCUUGGAAAUAUGUAUUGCAAAAAUGGGAGAGGUAUAACUUUCUCAAACUUUGAAACUGAACAUUGCAUUUCAUCGGGUUGUGUUUAACUUUCUAUCUUUUUUCUUUCUGCUUAUGCCACUUCAACUUUUUUGACUAAUUGCAUGACAUUGUAAUUGUUGUUGGCCUAGAUAGUACCCUUUCUACUGGCAAUUGGUAUGUCAAGUGGUUCAGGAUGCACAGAAAGGGAAUAUAUCCCAGGUUGUUCUUUUUCUCAUUAUCUCUCCUCAUUUUUAUUGAUUUCAAAAAUGUGUUCUUUCAAAUUUAUAUUAGCAUAAUAUAAAUUGAAGAUAAAAUCCUCUAAUGACAGGUGGUAGUUAGGUCUUUGUAAGUUAGUUGUUGAAAGUAAAGAAGAGAGGGCAAUUAUUGGUUCAAUCAACAAUUAGUACCUCCCUUGCUAUGUGCUUUGGUCUAGGUGCAAGAAAUGAGAUUGAACAAUGCCCUCCCUCUGCUUCCUGCCUUUUCUUUUCUUUGUUUCUUUUAUUUUUUAUUCUUAUUUCUUUCAUUUUUUUUUCUCUUUAUAUUGAACCUCAUGACUCUCAAGAAAUGGCUCUCAAAGACUCCUGGCAAGAUAUUGGUGAAUUGUAAGAAUAUUUGUAAUGGUAAUGUUAAGAUUGCAAAAUUUAAAAAUAAUUAGAUGAAUUUAUUGAAGAGUGGUUUGAUAAAGAGGUGAAAUAACUUAUCCAAAGGAAGGAAAUUACCUUACGUUGAGAGGGAAGAGUGGAUCCUUUCCACACGAUGAGGAGCUUAAAAAGAGGGAAGAGUUAAAGAAAGUAAAAUGAUAACCCUUGGAUCCUCUUACAAAGAGUCAAGUAUGGACUCCUGCUUUGGCAAGAGCAAAAUUUGCUAAGGGAUGGUCUAAGUUAUGAAUAGCAUAAUCUAUGAAGUAUGGAUUUCUGCUUUGCCAACAUGCCACCUGGUGUGACACCAAGAAUAAUUUCUUGUCUUAAUGAAACAUGUAGAAAAACUUUGGACACACUUGUAAUUUCCAUAUUGCAGAUUCAUUUUUUGAAAAUUGCCAUCUGGAUAUCUAUCAUCUCUAUGCCACAAUAAGAAAAGUGUUCUCCUAAGGUCCUAGUCUAACUUUCAAGGCCAUAGACCACCACAAGCCAAAAUUUCUUGAAUAACAGGACAUUUGUAUACUUUAGGACUUGAUAACAAUGAGAAGAAUUUUAGUGGAGGUAGAAUGAAGUAGGUCUGCCCAUGUAACAUCUCCAACAUUCCUUUGACUCUAAAGCCUUUUUUACUCUCUUCCUACUUUUCCAUUCCUUGUCAUGUGUUUGGCUACACCUUCAUGUUCUUUGUCUAUAUACAUGGAAAACAGUUAUAUUCUUAGGGCUCUUCAUUUAGUACUUCAGUAUAUAUAUUCAACACACACACACACACACACACAUAUAUUAAUUAUAAUCAGAAUUCAUUGCUUGAAUAUUAAUCUAUAAAGAAUCCAUAAAACUUGAUUUUUGCUUCUCUUUGCAUUCCAUACUUAUGCAAUCUUUAAUUGUUGUUGCAUUAGAGUUAGUCUUCAGGUGUUGAAGAUGUGGAUGAGGUUCAUACAACAGUUUUUGCCUUCCAAAAGGUGAGCUACCGACCACCCUUAAGUGGUUGUUAAUUGAAGAUUGUCAUAAAAUGGGGAUGUUCAUCCAAGGGAAUUAAGCACCAUGCUUUAAUGGACAACAAUAACACUUGUUGUCUUGAAUGAAUAGAGGUAUGAGGAUGUUCAUCUCUAAAGUCCAUUCCAUGGAUCUCCAAAGCCCCAUCUCUCUUAAAAUCCUUGAACUCUACAACUGCCUAAACUCUCGUCCUUUAUGCCAAAGGAAGGGCUGCCACUAACACUUGUAAGAGUUGUAAUGGGGGCAUGUCCUAUUCUAAAACAAAGGUGCCUCAAGAGCAAAGGAAAAUAUUGGCCCAAGAUUGCCCACAUCCCCCACAUGGGAACAUAUGACAUUGUAUCACAAUAACAAGUUCAACCAAGCACCCCAAUUUUUUGUAAUCUUGCACCAAAGAUUCUACUCACUAAUUAUUAUUUUGUUUAAAUAUGGUCUAGUCUUUUCUUGUCCUUUUGUACCUCAAGGAUUCUAUUAUUUCUAAAAGAAGCUCCAAGGGUUUCAUGAAAUUGCCAACAACCCACCCUGAGAUAGAUAGCAUUGUACAACAGUAAAAAGUUCAAUAAGGUAUCUCAAUUCAUAACAGUGAAAUUUCAACUUCUAUGUUUCAUGUGAUUGCAAUUCCAACUUCAAUUUUGCUUUUUAAUUUGCAUACAAAUUGAUUCGUGCCCAGUCGGUGUAUCAGCUGAUUCAUGUCCAACUUUUGCUUCUUGAUUGAGGGAGUAAUCAACAAAAUUUAUAACCUAUUACACCAUGUACUAGGGUAGCAAAGACAAAGCUACUAUAGCAUAGUGGCUCUAGGAUCGUUCAUUGGGAUGAGUUUUCACUUCACAAAUGAUAUUAAUUCAAAGCUGAAUUGGUGCCUUUUCAUUUCAAGGUUAGCUUUAAAAGAAAACAUAAAGAUGUUUGAAUGAAAAAGGUUUGGUUUUAAACUAACAAAAAAUAGUAACCGAUUUUACUUACAAAGAAAAGUGCUUCUUGGAGUUUAGAUCACUAGGAUCAAAUUCCUUGACAAAAAGGGAAGUUCCAGUCACUUGUUUAUUUUCCUCGUAUUAGAGAUUUAACAUAUAGUUAUUUCCCGAACCGGUGUGGUAUAGAUGCUUCCCUUUAAUGGGUUCAAACACUAAAUCCCUCUCACUGAUGCACUUUGCAAUGGCUCAUACUUCUCACCUAGCACUUGCCAUUCAAGGUGAUCUUUAACCUUGGAUUAUCUGUCAAAAACUCGCAAGAGAUAACUAAUGGAUGUCUCCGUGGAGUCCAAAAGCUUAUCAAGUGUUAGCUAUUCUAGAAAAUCCUACCUUCAAAUCACCUCCCAAAGGCUCGCAAGAGAUAAACUAGUGCAUCUCAAUGGAUGAAGAUCACUUGCCUUAUCAAGUGUUGGCCCAGGUGAUUUAAUGGCGUUUUAAGUUAACUAAAAAGAUAAAAACCAUUAAUGGGUCACACUUUCUCUUCAUUAAAAACUAAAACAACAAAACUUCCAAUUUAUGGAUGUGGAAACUUACCCAGCUUUCCUCACUCCAAGAGACGAAGAGUCUAACCUCUCAUCCUCUGAGGAAAAAUCCUCAGAGUUUGAUUGGCUAGAAAGAAAAAGAAUGAGAAAACAAAAGCAGAGCAAGUGCUUUGUAUUUUACUUCCUUACAAAACUGGACAAAGGAUAGAUCGAUAUAUUUUCGAUAUCUUGUGUAAAGGAAAUUACAAACUAUAUAUAAGGGUUUAUUUACCCUUUUUCCAAAUUUAAUAACUAAGGAAUCCUAUCAUUGGUGGGUUACAAGGAGACUUUGGGAAUUUAGACAUAAAAUAUCUAAAGCAAAAUAUCCCAAAGUGUCGGUCGCAAAUAUCUAGAAGCUUCAGGAGAACACUGCAGCACUGUACAAAAUUGUCUGUGAAACUCUCCGAGUAGGCGCUAUUAGAGGAUCCGGAUACGUCCAUCCGGAGAAGUUGAAACGCUCUUCUUUUCUAUCCGGCGUCAGAAUUCCAGACGUGAACAUCCGGGGUGGAAGUGCGCGGCAGUCGAGGUGCAAAAUGGCGACGCACAUUCGGGUGCAAAUGGCGGCAGCCGGGUGCAAAAUGGCGGCAACCUGGUGUAAUUCCUGAUUCGUCCCUAGCAGUGGCAGUGGCAAUGGCACCAUUUGAUUCGAGGUUCGAUCCCCGGCAACGGCGCCAUUUGAUUCGUGCCUAAUUGGUGUCUCAGCUGAUUCGUGUCCAGCUGGUGCUCCUUGAUUGAGGGAUUAAUCAACAAAAUUUAUAACCUAUUACACCAUAUACUAGGGUAGCAAAGACAAAGCUACUAUAGCAUAGUGGCUCUAGGAUCGUUCACUGGGAUGGGUUUUCACUUUGCAAAUGAUAUUAAUUCAAAGUUGAAUUGGUGGCUUUUCAUUUCAAGGUUAGCUUUAAAAGAAAACAUAAAGAUGUUUGAAUGAAAAAGGUUCGGUUUUAAACUAACCAAAAAUAGUAACUGAAUUUACUUACAAAGAAAAGUGUUUCUUGGAGUUCAGAUCACUAGGCUCAGAUUCCUCAUACAAAAAGGAGAGUUCCGGUCACUUGUUUCUUUUCCUCGCAUUAGAAAAUUAACAUAUAGUUCCUUCUCCAACCGGUGUUGUACAGAUGCUUCCCAUUAAUGGGUUCAAACACUAAAUCCCUCUCACUGAUGCACUUUGCAAUGGUUCAUGCCUCUCACCUAGCACUUGCCAUUCAAGGUGAUCUUUAACCUUGGAUUACCCGUCAAAAGCUCGCAAGAGAUAACUAAUGGAUGUCUCCUUGGAGUCCAAAAGCUUACCAAGUGUUGGCUAUUCUAGAAAAUCCUACCUUCAAGUCACCUCCCAGAGGCUCGCAAGGGGUAAACUAGUGCAUCUCUAUGGUUGGAGAUNNNNNNNNNNNNNNNNNNNNNNNNNNNNNNNNNNNNNNNNNNNNNNNNNNNNNNNNNNNNNNNNNNNNNNNNNNNNNNNNNNNNNNNNNNNNNNNNNNNNAGAGCAAGUGCUCUGUUCGUUGAUUCUAUAUAUUAGAUUACAUCUAUAUUUUACAUACUUCCCCCCCAGCAUCUCCUGAGAGUGUUUACAAGAGAGUUUAUAUAGGAAGGUAAUUUACCUUUCCUUGGAUACUUCCUAGCUAAGGAAUUACAUGAGUGGUUGAAUACAAGGAGAAAAUGGAAAUUUAGACACAAAAAUCUGAAGAAAAAUAUCUAAAAGAGUCGGUGCAAAAAUAUCGGGAAGCUCCAGGAACAUUUCGCAGGUGAAAAAUGGUGUUUGCGAGAUUUCGCAGACACUCAAGAGGGCUGCGAAAUAUUUUAGCAUCAACAAGUUAAACUCGUAGGGCUGCUAAGUUGGCUUCCACCUUGUGGUGUUUGGCUUCCAUCGCGGCGUGAAACUUCAGGAGGAAAUCCACAACACUGUACAAAAAGGCUGCGAAAUUCUCGCAACAAAAGGCUGAUUUCGCAACACUUUAGAGUGAUUGACUUGCAGUGGCUGUAACUUCUUCGUUUCAGCUCCAAAUCGUACACGGUUUGAAGCGUUGGAUUCUUGACUUCCUGAGCUUUGAAAUGGUAUAUAGCAUGUAGAAAAUGAACUUCGGGAAGUGCUCCAAAAGUGCGAAAGAAGACUGCAGCUGCUGUCCUCUGUUUUCUUCACUCUGUUUUUCCUCUCUCCUUGCUUCUCUCCUUGCAUACUUUGAACGACUUUGGCAAAGGGUUAUGGAGCUCCAAAGCUUGGUUCUUCAUGAAUUUGAGCUUCCAAAAGCUUUGCCAUAACUUGUCCAAGUAGCUCCUCCAUCAUUUGGCAUGCUUGAAUUGAUUCAUAAGCUGAUAAAAACAUGUAAACUUGCCACAAAAUGGUUAAAACCAAUUACUAAGGACCUUAAUGAAUUAAUUGGGUUAAAUGAAUAUGAUUACUACUCAAAGGUGCUUAAAACCUUUAUAAUUAGGUCUAAAAAAUAGCACUUUUUGGUAGUAAUCAAUUCCUACCCGGAUAUGUUGUUCGGACGCCCUCCGAUGGUGUAUCCGGACGCCCUGUCCGGGUAUAAUCCUUGCAUGGAUUCCAAAGAACUCUCCUCCAUAUCAAAUUUCUUUGGUGAUCAAAAAGCUAUCAAAACACCAAAACUUAACACAAUUUGAUUAGAAUUGAUUGCAAGGGUCCUUAAUAUGUUAAUUGGGUUAAAAGGUGAUAACUACUACUCAAAAGUGUUUAAAAAAGUUAAUUACAAGCUAUGAAAUAUUACUUUUUGAGUAGUAAUCACAAAUGCUUUUUUUUUUUUUUGGCAGCAUUUAGUAAUUGGUGGUGCCACCUUAAAUUUUUGUCUUUCUGUUGCUCAAAUGCAUCAUUCUACAUUAUUGGAAUUGUAGUUUUCUAAUUCGUCAACUAAUCAUUUAACGUUAAACUAAAAAUGUGUAAAUCUCACCAUUUUUUUUUCUUCUCAAUUUAGCAAUGCAAAUAUGGAUAUACAAGUAUAUUUUGCAUUAAUAUUUUUUUUUGGUUAAAUACUCAAAAUGAAAUGCUUUUGAUUUUAUUUAUCAGGCUUUUAUGUUAACAACAUGAUAAUUCCUUUUCAUUAUUAUGCUACAAGAAAGGAAUAUUGAAUUUCAUAUUGGAGACACCAUGUCUGAAGUGAAUUUGGUGUUAGCUCUUCAUUCUAUAUCAUGGUCAUAGUGAAAAUAAGAUGAAAGAGUACUUAGGAAAAGCAUGCUAUGCUAUUUUCAUUUGUUUAUCUUACAUUCCCCAUUUUGAUUUUAAUAAUACUUAAUUUUUGAAAAUCCAUCAUUUUAACCUCUGAUACAUUCUUCGACUACUUGCUAGAGAAUGGCUCAUGCACCAGGCUUGUUCUCUCAUGCAGCCCAAUUUCCUAAACCCGUAGUAAAUGUGAAAGCCUUUCAAUCACGGUAACCCAAAAAGGCAAUAGAAAAGGCUGCAUGAUCAUCUCAUAUCUCUUGUAGAGUUGACACUCAUCAUGCUCAAAAAUCUUUUCCUCUGAAGGGACUGUCAUUUUGUGGUUAGUGAUUCUGAGGAGAAUACUUUUAUUAUUGACUUAUCUGCUUUUGAAUUCCUCACUGAUUAAAAUUUGAUUAGGAGUUUUGGCUUUUGACUGUAGUUAUAGGCUCUAAACACUAACAUCUCUCUUAAACAAUCACCUAUAUGCAUGGUCCCAUCACUCCAACUUCUCUAGCAUCCAAAAACUUUGGAAUCGGGAAUGUGCCCUUAGCUUUGUCCUCAUUGACCAAAGAAAGCCAUUCUUGCCGCACUUUAAUUUGUAAGUUCUAAUAGAAAGCAAUUUUCACUAUUCUCAACUCAAAAGAUUGCCUUUACCUUUUGAUAAUGAUGGAAUUUAUGUUGUACAUGUAGGAUGACAUGCAAAUGAAAGCAAAAUUUCUUAGCUCUGGUGCAGCUCAUUGGUAUCUGCAUGAGUAAAUAUCCUAAUCAUGAAAUUUUGUGUUUAAUGAAAGCAAAAUUGUUGCCUUUAGUGGACCAUUCUUUUUUUACUUUUGGUACAUGUGAUUCCAAUUUCUAGUCUAACAUUUUUGGUUAAUCACCUCUUGCACUAUUCUCAAAAGGUUUUGAGGUCAUGCAUUACAUAUAAAGACUCAUCAGUUAAAAAAAAAACACAAAACUAAUUUUAAUCCUCUUCUUUUUGUUCUGUUUUUGAGGUGAUGUGAGUUUUUCCUCCUUUAGUUUGGCAUGGCAAGUGGUGUUAAUAGGAGUCUGAGGGCCUUGGUUUUCAAAUCCAGGGUGAGCCUUGGUUUUCUGCUUUCCAUGUUUCAAAUUAAGCUUUUAAUCUGUUAUCUCGGUCUUUUAGUUAUGCUAGUGCUUAUUUUUUUUAUGAUCUAAAUUGAGCCUUCACUUCUACCAUGUCUCAAUUGGUGCUUGCAUUUCUAAGUGUCAUGUGUCAUUAUUUUGGAGGUUAUUCUAAUUUCAGACUAUGACUAGAUAAAAUCUCAAUGCAAUCCUAAUUACACGUUUUCGUUCUAGAAUCAUUUGAACUUAGUAAUAAUUCAAACUAUGUUUUGAAUUUCAGGAUAUGAGACUUCUAUCAUCUGAAAAAGAAUGUAGCUAGAACCCAAGUGAAUCCCACCAUUUGAAAACUUAUGCAUCAAUGGUUGCUGCUCUUGCCCACCCAGAUUUGGAUUUGAGAGAUGGAAAUACAAUGCAUCAAUGGUUUAGUUGGGAAAACAGUUUUCAUACAUGGAGAGAGAGCAUAAGAGGAUUCUUGCAAGUAGCCAAGCGUUUCCUUACGUACAAUUUUAUUAAUUGCCUUAAAUGCAUUGUACCUUAUGGAGAGAGAGCAUUUGCCUAUCGCCAAAAUUUUGAAAAAAUCACCGGCAUUUUGAAAAAAUCGAUGAUUUUUUAACAAUCUUCCUCUGUUGCUUCGUGUGUCACUCUAUGCUCGAUUUUUUCAUCAAAUUUUCACCUCCAAACCGAUAUAUCAUCGAUAUUACCGAAUUUUUUUUGAAAUUCUCAUCGAUUGAUAAUUGGUGCCUAAUAUUAUGUCGGGCACCAUUGAUAUUUGAUAUAUCAACGAUAUUUUGCUGAAAAAUAUGAAAUUUUAAUCUUUGCCUAUAGGCAAGUGUUUCCUCCAUCCCACUCAACUAGAUAUCAAAACAAUCAAAACAUAUUUACUAGGCAAAACCUCAAUAUAUAUAUAUAAAAUAAAAAAACAAAAAAAAAAAACUAGAAAGCAUUGGCCUUAAGUUAGUGAUUAUGCCUAAAAUAUUAAUGCCAAAUUAUCUUCACCAAUAAAUACAAUAUUCUUACUACAUUUUUUCAAACGAUUCUCCAUGGCCAAAAUCUAAAUAAAUAAAAUAAGAAUAAUAUCUUAUAUGUGCCUUUUAUAUGUAGUAUAUUGGUUUUGCGCAUGCAUGUAGUAUAAUUAUUUUGUAAAUAAAAUAAUUUUUGAAAGAAGAAAUAAUAAUAAAAAUAAUGAUAAAGUGAAUAAUUGAAAAAAAAUGAAAAGAUAGACUUUAUCUUCUUUUUGCUUUUGCCCUAUUCAUUUUUUUUCCUUUCUAGCAACACUACUGCAACAUUACCAUUUUUCAAACCAACAAGCAUCCACUAAGCAACACUCUAUUCUCUCUCUCUGUCUCUCUGUCUCUGUCCCUCUCUCUCUCUCUUUUCCAUUGCAAUUGUGGACCAUGCAACACCUAUUUUUUGGCAAUUGUAACACAUUCACGUUUUUUCAACCAUGGAGAACUUUUUACUUUAUUCAAAUAUGAUUAACCUUUUAUUUUAUUUUAUUUUCAAUUAAAACAAUCCAUUUUUUUUUAUUUUUUUUUAAACAUAAAAAUGAUGGAGAAAAGGAUAAAACAUAAAUUUGAAAUCUUUACCAUCAAAAAUUUUCAAACAAAAAAUAAAGUGCAACCUUCAAAGCUUCUAAGAACAAAGUGAAUGAGUUUGAAGAUAGUUUUUUUAUGUUUGUGCUUUUGAUACCAUGGGUAUCCACAUUUGCAGAUGCAUUUUAAAAGAAAUCCAUAACUCUCUACUUGCAUUGAAUCGACUAAUUUUUUUUUAUUUUAAUAGUAGUCAUUUAUUGUCAUGCCUUAUGAUUGUUGUGUAUAUUUAUAUCCUUAUUCUCUUCAAAUAUUGAUUAUAUAUUAUAGCAUUUGAUUACAUGCUUUAGAUAUCCAACAAAAAAUAAUCGUAGAAAUCAUUGAAGUUCUCUCAACUUGAUAUUAGAUAUUGAUUUAGGGUUUAAAUGGGUGUUAUAACUUAUGUCAUACUGUAGACCCCCAUUUUGGGGUGUAUUUUUGCAGAUCAUUUUUGCCAGGUGGAAGGCUCUUGGAAGACCACAUGUUGCCCUAAGAUUGGUCAUUGGGUAGUUGAUUCGUCCCCAAUUGGUGUACUCUUGAUUCAGUCCUUAGACAGGAGUUAUCAACAAAAUUUAUAAACCUAAUUCACCAUAUACUAGGGUAGCAUAGCUAGCAUAGCAUAGUGGUUCUAGGAUCGUCCACAGGGAUGAGUUUUCAUUUCACACAUGAUAUUAGUUUAAAGAAUUGGAUUGGUGCUUUUUCUUUUAUGAGUUAGCUUUAAAAGAAAACAUAAUCUUUGGUUGAAAAAUGUUGGUUUUAAGCUAACCAAAAAAAUAGUAACUGAUACUAAUUAUAAAGAAAAGAUUUCUUGGAGUUUCAGGUCACUAGGCUCAGGUUCCUUAUACAAAAGGGGAUAUUCCAGAUCUUUUCCUUGCAUUGAGGAUUUAACCUACAGUUAUCCUCCCAACCGGUGUGUUACAGUUGCUUCCCAUUAAUGGUUUCAACGCUAAAUCCCUCUCACUAAUGCAUCUUGCAAUGGCUCGUACCUCUUACCUAGCAUUUGCCAUUCAGGGUGAUCCUUAACCUUAAAUUACCCUUCAAAAACUUGCAGGAGAUAACUAAUGGAUGUCUCCAGGGAAUCCAAAAGCUUACCAAGUGUUGGCUAUUCUAGAUAAUCCUACCUUUAAACCACCUCCCAGAGGCUCGCAAGAGAUAACUAAUGGAUCUCUAUGGAUUGAGUCCGAAAAGCUUACCAAGUGUUGGCCCGGGUGAUUAUAAGGGAUUUUAAGUUAACUAAAAAUAUAAAAACCAUUACCGGGUCACAACUUCCUCUUCAUUAAAAAUUGAAACAAGAAAAACUCCCACUUUUGUAUCCGGGUCCCUUACCUAGCUUCCUUCAGUCCAAGAAACAAAAAGUCUAGCCACUCAUCCUCUAAGAAAACAUCCUCAGAGAUUGUUUGGCUAGAAAGAAAAUACAAUCAAAGUGAGUAGGUAAGGUAGAGCAAAGCUCUAUAUAUUUCUUACUAAAAAAUGUACAAGUGAUCCCCAAGAAUGUCUUCCGAGAUUCUGAGAUAGAUAUUACAAAAAGAGAUAUGUUAAGACAUAUAUAGAGAGAUAUUUUUAACCCCUCAAUUAGAUAUCCUAAAUAUCUAAAAAGAUAUUUAGCUGAUUACAAGGAGAGAAUAGAUAAUUACACAAAAUAUCUUGAAGUAAAAAUCUAACUGAGUCGGUGCACAAAUAUCUGAAGAUUACAUGAAGAUUUCGCAAGUUAGAUAUGGAGUUGUGAAAAUUUCGCAAGGUUGAAAAGGAGUUGUGAAAUUUUUGCAAUGUUGAAAAGGAGUUGCGAAAAUUUCUUCUGGCUUGCAAAAAUUUCGCAAAUGGUGAAAAGAGGUUGCGAAAUUCUUCAGUGUUAGAUUUCUUCUCUGAUUCUCUUCCUUGCAUACUUGAUUGAUUUGGAAAAGGCUUCGAAGCUCUCCAAACUUGAAUUUUUCAUGUAAUUUAGCUUCAAUCUUGCUUUGCCAUGGAUUAUACCAAGUUCUCCCUCAUUCUUGGUUUGUUUUAAUGAUAAAAAAGCUAUAAAAAACAUCAAAACUUGCCAAAAACUGAUUAGUAACACUUGUAAGAGUUCUUAAUGUGCCAAUUGAGUUAAAAGGUAAUAAAUACUACUCAAAAGUGUUUAAAAGAGUUUAUAAGAAGCUACAAAAGAGCAAUUUUUGAGUAGUAAUCACUCCCCCCAACCGACAUAUUGCUAGUCUCUUAGCAAUGAAGGAGAGAAAAACAAAAAUAAGACAGUAAAAUAAUUUACAAGUUCAUGUUGAUCACUCCAAAAAAUCAUAAGUAGCAUGAUUGUAAAGCAUAUUCUCACACGGAAUAUUAAAGAAGCAAAACCCAUCAUUCAACAAGAGGAUAUAAAAAAUCUUACCUGAUCAUAAUUCAUAUAGAGUAGGUAUUACACAAAUUUAAGUAAUGAGAGGAUUUUCACUCUCCUAAGCUCAAUCAUUACUCUUCCACAAAAAUCUGUGUUAAGCUUAUUAGUUUCCGAAUAUAGUACUCUGAAAUAAUCUCUUCCCCCAACCUAGUUUUUUCUCAGACUUUAGCAAACUGACCACUUCCAAUAAGCUAAGAACGCAUCUUUUUUAUUUCACAAUUUUUUUUCUUGUAGGCGUGCAAUGCUAAAGGUAUUGUUUUCUAAAGUGUCCAUGUAACGGGGAUCCAUCAAUGACUCCCAACCAAUCAAGGUUUAGGGCAUCAAGCUUUAAGGAUCAUUCGACCACUAACUCCUCGGAUUUUUACCCCGGACUUUUGAAAUUGAAAUUUAAUACCUAAGCACCUACAAUAUGUUAAACUCCACCUAUUCACCCUUGUGACGAGCAUUAAGGUCGGUGACUCCCAACUAAUAAAGGCUUAGGGCACCGGGUUUUAAAGACUUUCGCCAUAUACCCCUCGGACCUUGCUUGGGUUUCAAGGCAAGCGAAACACUUUAUUCUUUUUUUUUCAAAGGCUCAUUGGCCUUUUAUCAGAUGUCUCAACACUAUUAAAAUGAGGUCAAAGGUACCAAGUCUAAAUUUUCCUAAGUUCAAGUGGUGAGAUAGUUUUUCAUCUUAUAAACGGAACCUAAUGUGCAUAAUGUGUGGUACGAUUAAAGUGGAAGAAAUAAGGUUGAAAUCAAUAAGAGUUUCAAUAAUUCAUCAACUUCAAUAAACAUAAUACGACUCUAAUAUUCAAGUAAAAAGGUAAGAACUCAAUUUCUCCCAUUUCAUUUUGAGAAUUUUUCCUUAAUAACCAUGGAGAGUAGAGUAAAAACUUUUAAAAUUAAGCAUUUUUUUUAAAUUAAGCAAAAAGUACUUAAUUAACAAAAUAACUUAGCAUUAUUAACAAUACUUCCUUCUUUUUACUUUCUCCCGAACCAAGAUCAACAUUGCCCUCAAUGUGGCAAGAAUGGUUGUAAAUAAAGGGAGGAAGUGGUACCUCCUGAGUGACAUGGAGUCUGAGUCAUAUAAGAAAAACCACAUGAUUCAAAAAACAAAAGAUUAAUGAGUAAACAAGCCACCCUGGACCUUGAUGGUAGGAACAAUGCAGAUCCAUCCUGAAGCGUAGUGGCACGGGCUGGGAUACAGGUCUAAGAGCCAACUGAGUCAACAAACCACCCUUCAUGAGCUUUUGGAAAACUCGACUCAAAGGGAUACCUAGCUGGGAGAACUGUCAUGUCUGUCUCUAUACAAGAGGAAUAACAGUCUGUGGGGCUCGGGGCCGAGGGUAUAAAGUAGGAGGUCUCUUUGAAACCUGUGCAACAAAAACAAGAUCUAAGGUCUGGUGUAGGUAUGUAGGAGCCAUGGGCCUGAGCAGUCUAUAUUGAACAUAACACUAUGGGUAAUAGUCUCCUGAAGUCUGCCCAAAUGUCUAAUAACACCUGAGAGGUCUCGAUCCUGUUGAACUAAUAUUACCCACAUCUUCUGGUCUCUGUCAUCCUGAGGGCUUCUUCCCUUUUGAGUCAGGAAGGGAAGACUCGGGCCACAAUCCUCUAGCAGUGCCCUCUUCUAUACCAUAUAAAGCCUGUACCAAGGAUCCAAAAUCCAUAUGAGGAAAUCCCAUCAAAUGUCUGGCGAAUCUGGGUUGUAAACUCCUCAAAAUCACACUAAUAUGGUCUCUCUCUGAAGGACGAUCAAUAAUCUGAGUGAUCUUCUCCCUCCAUCGGGAGAUAAACAAAGUCACUGACUUCUCUGGUCCCUAUCUCAAGACCUCUAACUCUCUCCUUGAGAUGUCAAUGACAACAUUAAAUGCAAACUGUCUCAAAAACUCUUGGGUCAAAUCAUCCCAAUUCCUACGGUGUGAGGCAUCUAAGGAAGCAAACCAACGCUAUGCUACACCACUCAACGACAUGGGGAAAAACAUGAUCAAGUGGGCCUCAUCCAAACCAUGGGCCCUCAUCACACUACUGUAUAGCCUCAAAUGAAUCUUAGGGCAACCUAUGCCCAUAUACCUCUCAAUAUCUGGCAUCCUGAACUAGGUUGGUAAACUGGCCAUUGGUGCUUCAUCAAAAUCAUCCCAACUGAUAGCUCCAUUUGAAACCCUCACCCGUCUCAUUCUCUGCUCGAAUAUAUCCAUAUGAGCAUGUGCAUUCUCUAAGAUCGGAACGGGUGCUACGACAGGAAGUGGGGUAACAUCAGUCUGAUUAUGUAAAACAUGCGGUGCAGGGUGUGGAACCGACUGAUUGAGUUGAGGGGGUGGUGAUGUUGUAGAGUCAUAUUGUGCACUAUCCCGAGACGGGGCCUACUGCCCAUCUAUUCUCUAGGAGAGGCCGGCUAUAACCUCUUGAAUCAAAGCCAUAGUCGCAGCAAACUGGGCAAUAGUGACUACCUGUGAGUCCAUAUCUCUCUAAUCUAGUCUUUGGUCUGGCUGAUCUGAUGCUCUAGUCAACCUGCCUCUAACUCUAGUCCACGAAGGCGAAUCCAGAUUGGGCACAAAAAUACUUCUAUAAACACAGAAACACUAGAUGAGAUGCUAUACAGGAGUAGCUCUGUAGGAACCGACUUAAAGGUAAUCAAGCAUACAACCCAUGUAUGCUGAAACUGAUACUCGUAUCUGAUCAUACCAAAAUGAGAAUAUGGAGAGGGUAACCGAACCAAAUUGUAACCAAGGCAGCUCUGAAGGUCCACAGAUGCACCCACGUGUGGGAAUGAAAUCUUAAUUAGGUCUAAGCUAACCUAAAAGAUUGAGGUGGCUCUAUAAGAUAAAAUGAGUGGGUUAAAGGAUCCCUAACAAAAGUGAUCGUACCCUCGACGAUACGCAACCCUCUGCACACCUCCAAGGAAAGGAGAUGCUUCCAUGCAAGGUGGUCAUCACCUCCACACAUGCAUUUCCUCGCGUUCCUAGGGGGUUUCUUAAUGGUAAAGGCUCUCUCAUAUCUCAAUACUCAAGGAAAAUCUAAAGUGUAGAGUGAAGGAUGUGGGUGCAUAAGAAAAACCUAAGCUCUAAAGUGAGAUAGUGAACAAAGACAAGAAAUCAUAUAAUCAUGCAAGAGAAAGGGUUGUCAUACAACAAGCAGUCAUUCGAAGUAGAUAAGUAUCAUACAAUCAGGGUCCUAUCUAACAUAUGUGAAAGUGAAUCAUGCUGAAGUGAGCAAAGCAAUCAAGUGACCCUUCAAGGCAAUCAAACAUGUUAGAUAGCAAACCAAGCAAGCAAACAAACUAAAUCACCUUGUUUUAAAAAAGGAAGUACCCUCUAAUCGACCAAAUAAAUGCCACAUUUUCCUCAACUAAUGUUCAAGCUUGAUCCUCAAAAUCCCCAGUGGAGUCAGCAAUUUGUGGACCCGCAUUUCUCACUUGCACCCCCACUCUAUUGUGAGACUCGCUUUUAUUGGUGAAAAAUUGAUUUUGGAAAAGUCAGAGUCGCCACUUAUUUUAUUUUAUUUUAAAGGGAAAUUAAAAUAAGAAAUAAAACCCUAGAAAAAAAUGACUUCAUAGUUUUUGGAAAAGUGUGUCUUUGGAAAACCCGAGUCUAGGUUCAAGAAUCAGGUUACCUAUUGGGAAUGUACCUCUAAAAGGUAACACCCCUCUAACUCCUACAAAGGUCUCUACUGACUAAGUUGAGGGAAAUGUGGCAAUUAAUUGAUUAAUUGAGGAUACCUAGGUAGACUAAGGUGAUUUAAAAAAAAAUAGAAUGCCAAACAAGAUCAAAUCAUAAUAAAGAAGAGUUAGGAUGCGUACCCGAACCGCUUCUUAAGCGCUAUCAUAAAACAUCAGAGUUAGUAUAGAAAUAUAACACACGACAUGUAUUUAAUCACAGCAAAUCAAGCACAUAUCUAAGCACUUAAGGAUCAUAUCAAGCAUAAAUAAGGCUCACGACAACAUGCAUGUUCAUGGAAUUCCGAAAAAAAAUGAUAGAGAGCGUACCUUGAUAACAUGCAUAAUUUAUAAGAUUCCUCCAAAAAUGUUAGAAUGGUUAGGAAAAGUAUAAAUUAUAUAACAUCUCUAUUAUGUCUAAUAUACAGUACCAAAUCCAAAAGUGAACCAAGGUAAGUCAAAUGACUCCAAAAGCAUAUAACAAAUUCGAGCAAGUACUGAGUCAUCAACAUGCAUAUAGUAAAGAGAGCAUCACAAAACAAUUGCUAAAAAAAUGUCUUGGAGUGGAAUUUAAUCACAAAAAAUUUCAGGAAGCUACUCCUACAUAUCUAGAACAAGAUACCAAAAUCCAAACACUCAUUUGAAUGAAAAAUUACAGCAAAGACACUAAAAAGUUUCAAAAGGUCCAGAUUAGGUAAAAAAAUAGUGACAUGCAUAAAUGAAUUUUUUAAAAAAAUAAUAAGACAUCACAUAAAUCCGUACAAAAAAUCACGUACAUCGUUCAAGGUGUCUAUAUCAAAAGGAAAACAAAUUCAGGGUUGGGUAGUACUCUAAAAUAUUUUUAAAACGCUCCAACGUAAUUAGAUGUCCAGAUUCCAUCAUGCACAGUAGGUGUCUAAGAUCAAUUUCAAGAAGCCUAGAAUUGAGGAAAAAUAUUGGAUCAAAUUUAAAAAGUUGUCUGGUAUUUUAAUUUUGCAAAAAGAUCUCGGGUGUCUAGAUCUGGGUGAAAACAGACUCCCCUUAAAAACUCAUUUAUAUCUUUUAUUCUAGAAUGGCUUUCUAACUCAAACGAAACUUUAAAUUUCAAGUUCAAGAAGUGAGGAAAGUCAUACAAGAUUUGGAAAAUUUUUUAAAAACAUUCCAAAGUUGCUAAAACAAAUUUUAAAUCUAAAGGGUCAGUGGCUGAGUGAAAAUGGGUAGCAAGGAAGAGUUUUGAAAAUUUUUCUUAUGUAGGAAAUUCACCAAUUCCCCAAUUAUUAUACAAAAGUCUAGCCUAGAAUCAUCCCAUUUAUUUGGGACCACAAACUUUGAUUCGUGUUUUAUUCAAAACCAAAAUUUUCAUUGAAAAUCGAGAAAAAUGCAAACUGAUCAAAAAAUGGUUGCAUGUUAUUUUAAGAAAAUGAGAUUUGGAUUAUAAGGACUCUAAAUGGAUUUUUUUUAUAAAAAAAAUGGAUUUUUAUGAGGAACAUUUUGAGAAAUGUAUUUUAUUUUAUUUUAAAAUAAAAUAAUUUGAAAAACAACAGAACAUAAUAAACAAAAUACCAAGCAAAACAAAAGAAAAAACAAAAUCAUAAAAUGAUUAUUUUUUUUACAACUGAGCAAACUAAAAUAGUAAGAAUGGAGGCCAAUCUUCACUAUUUUCCGAUGGCCUCCAAAAAGUAAAUUUUACCAGAGACUACUAAAGCAAUAAACUGUUCAAACUUAAAUCAAUUAAAUUAAUGACUAAUAUUCAAGGAACAUAUCAAUUAAGAGUAAUAAUCACGAAUUAACACGUGAUCGAUUAAACACACAAACGCAUCUAGAUUGAUUAAAAUAGACCAAAUUAAAUCAGGGCAAACAUGAAUUUUCAAUCAUAGAAUUAAUUUUAUUAGUGAGCUAAUAUUAUAGAAAAUACCUAACUGAAUAGAUGAGUGAAGUUAAAUCAGCGUAAACUAAACACAGACACCUUUUAAAUGUGGAUUUGAUUUUAUUAAUAACUUAGAAUUAUAAAAAAAAUACCUAAAAUAAUUAAAAUGAAUCAAAUGAAAUGAAAGCAAGCUAAAACAAAAUAUGAAUUCAUAGAAUCAAUUUCCUAAAUAAAUUUACAUUAUUAAAUUGAAAUCUAAGCUCAAAAUGAAUUAAACACUAAUUACGACAAAUUUAAGAAUCAAAUAUUUAUCAAAUAAGAUCAAUUAUUUCAACAAACUAAAAUUUUACUUUAACCAAAAAUUAAAUUAUAAAACUACCCAAAACAAAUUUUAAAACUAAAUUUCUAACCUAUAAAAUCAAACUCAUUAACAAAUGGAUAAGUAGAUAACACAUAAAUAAAUAAAUAUGACUAAAACGAAAUAUGAACUCAUGGAAUUAAUUUUUUUUAACUAAACUUACAUUACUAAAAUAAAAUUUAAGCUUAACAAACGUUUUUAACACUAAUUAAGGCAAGUCUAAAAUCUAAUAUUUAACACAUAAAAUCAAUCAUUUCAACAAACUAAAAUUUUACUUAAACCUAAAGCCGAUUCAAACUACCUACAACAUAUUUUUUUAAAAAAAAAAUUAAAUUUUUAACCCAUAGGAUCAGUCUUAUUAAUAAAUAAGAAAUAAAUAAAUAAAUUACAAAUCAUUAAAUUAGUAGCAAAUAAAUAAAUAAACAACUAAUAAUUAAAUGAAUCAAAACUAAAUUAAAUAAAGAUCAAACUAUAUUUUUUUCUCAAAGUAAAACUACAUAAAAUUUUAUUUUCUGAAUUUAAUAUAAUAAAUCAAAAUUGACCUUAAACACAAUUCUAAUCUUUAGUGUAAUAAAUCAAAAAUUAAACAAGAGUGAGAUUCAUGCUGCCAUGUCAAAACAAAUACAUGUUGGAGCUAACAAUAUAAGUCAAACCACUCACCCAAUAUAAUAAUCACACUUGAAAAAUAAACCAAAACUUUAAAUUCUACUGAAAACCUAUAUAUAUAUAUAUAUAACUUACCUAGUCGGCUUACCAAAACAACUUGGUGGCGUGUAGCUGUUUUCUCUUCUCCGAUGAUGCUCUAGAACAAUGGUGUACUGGUUGAUGGAGUUUUGGUUCUUUAGCCAAUACUAUUCUUCCCUAUCAGCAGAUAAACAGUACAGAACUCGUCUCAAGGAACGGUAAGUAUAAAUUUAAGAACUCCAUGCAAUUGGUUUUCAACUAUUCUGAUAGCCAUCGGAAUACGGAUAUUGUGUUCCAGAAGUUGGAUGAACAUGGAAACGUGUGGCAAGAGAAUGGAGAAAAGCAAAUUCUUUCGAAUCUUAGUGUGGCCUAGUUGCAUAGAUCGACCCUUGACGAUGAUGGGAAUUUGAGAGUUUACCAUUUUCAGGAAGGCAUGGAUGGGUGGGCUGUUGUUCGACUGGUUCUCGGUUUUCGGCCAAAUGAAGAUUCAGAAUACUGACGCGACAGGAAAAUUCAAAUGACGCAAACACCAACUCCAGCUUGACUACGUCAACUUCAGCGACGGGGUCGACCAAAACAAUCUGGGUGUUCAGGUUGUUACCAUCGGUGAGUCCAAAUGUCGCAUUCCUUCUUUCGCUUCGAAAUCCUCCUGUUCUUCCCUCUCUUCUGAUGCGUGCUGAAAGUGUAUCAAGAAUGGUGCGGCUGGUUGAUGGUUCCCUUCCAAAAGACGUCAAUUUCUCUAAAAAUAAAAAAUCCAGCCUUCAUCCGUGAAUCCACCCUCCAACCUUUUUUCGAUGAUCUCCUCAAUAAAGUUGGAGAUCUCUUCUUUACUCUCUGUGUAUGGCAGCCUCUCCCUCUCCUCUCCAGAAUGCUGGAUCCUGUUCCACAUGCCCUUUCUUCUUCUUUUUUUUUUUCUUUUUUUUAAUCUCUUCUCAAUCACCCCUCAGCUCCUCUCUCCAGCCACGGUAAUAGAAGGAACAGUAGAAACAAUCGUCAUUUCUCCUUUCAGAUCACCCUCAAUCUUUUUCAGUAAUCCAUCAUACCUCCCCUUAAUAGUGCGUUUUUUUUCUUUUUUUCUUAAUCUUUUCUCCAUCACUUAGUCAGCUUCUCUACAACCACGGUGAUGGAAAAAAUGGCAGAAAAAGGUUUUCUUCUCCUCUUCCAAUCAUCCUCCAUCCCCUCCAAUUUUCUUUGUUUUUCCUUUUCUCUCUUCAUCUCUCUCCAAUCCACCGACUGCCUCCAUCUUUCCUUUCUAAUGGUGUUUUUCUUUUUUCUUUUACGGAACACGUGGGAUCCAUGCAAAACAAAUAAUAAAAAAAAUAAAUAAAUAAAAAUACCAAUAAAAGAAAACUAAGAGUUACAAUAAUAAUAAAAAAACGUGUAACUAAGAAUUAAAAAUCCAAAAUAUGCAAUUUUAAACGAAAUUAAAAAAUAUAGGUCACAUGCAAAACUAAAAUAAAUUAUCAACUCAAGUAACUUUAUAUCAAAAUAAACUAAUAAAUAGAUAAAUAAAAACAAAAUGAAUAUGAUUAUUAAGCUCAUGCAAUUUCCUAAAAAUAAAUAAAUAAAUGAAUAAAAAUAAUUAAUAGAGAAAGAUAAAAACAAAAAAAACAAAAAACAAAAUCAAGCAUAUACAAGCCAUACGAGCUAUGCAACCAUGCAAGCCAUGCAAACCAUGCAUCCAUGCAAAAAAUGACCUAAGUGGGCCUAAGGUGCCUAAAUGGGCCUAUGGUGCAUAAGUGGGCCUAUGGUGCCUAAGUGGGCUUAAGGUGGUGCCUAACGGGCCAAGCGUGCCUAAAUGGGCGUAGGGUGUCUAAGUGGGUCUAGGGUGGUGCUUAAGGGGCCAAGUGUGACUAAAUGGACCUACGGUGCCUAAAUGGGCCUAAUGUACCUAAAUGGGCCUAGGGUGGUGCCUAAUGGGCCAUGUGUAUCUAAGUGGGCCUAAAGUGGUGCCUAAUGGGUCUAAGGUGCCUAAGCGGGCCUUAGGUGCCUAAGUAGGCCUAUAGUGCCUAAUGGGCCUAAGGUUCCUAAGCGGGCCUAAGAUGCCUAAACGGGCCUAAGAUGCCUAAGCGGGCCUAAGGUGCUUAAGCGAGCCUAAGGUGCAUAAGCGGGCCUAUGGUGCAUAAGUGGGCCUAAGGUACCUAAGUGGGCCUAAGUGGACCUAUGGUGCAUAAGUGAGCCUAAUGGUGCCUAAGUGGGCCUAUGGUGCAUAAGUGGGCCUAUGGUGCCUAAGUGGGCCUAUGGUGCCUAAGUGGGCCUAAGAUGCCUAAAUGGGCUUAAGGUGCCUAAGUGGACUUAUGGUGCCUAAGUGAGCCUAAUGGUGCAUAAGUGGGUCUAUGGUUCCCAAAUGGGCUUAAGUCUAAACUAAGGUUGCCAAGAGUCACAAUGGAGUUAAAUAAAUCCCUCAACCAAAGUCCCCAAGGUGACUUAGAAAAGAUAGGCUACAUGAGUAGUAAUGGGCCAUCAGGGAAUUGUUGUAAAAUACGGAACAAAUACCUAAUAGGACAUGUGCUAAGAGGACAAAAUGGAGGGUCUACAGUAACAUGAUCUCACAUCAUUAGGAGAGUUGAGAAUUUCAUCAUGCUAAAAAAAAAAUUCCUCUAAGGGAAUGGUUUAUCAUCCUUGUUGUCGCAUUUUGUACUUAGUGAUUGAGUGGAAUACUUUUAUUAUUGACUUAUCUGUUUCUGAAUUCCUCAUUGAUUAACAUUUGACUAGGAAAUUUGGCUUUAGACUGCAACUAUAGGCACUGAAUGCUAACAUCUUACUAAAGGAUUCAUCUAUAUGCAUCCAAAAAACUCUGUAAUCAGGGAAUGUGCUCUUAGCUUUGUCCUUAUUGGUUAAAGGAAGUAUUUCCUGCCAUACUUCAAUUGUAAGUUGUGAUAGAAAACAAUUUUCAAAAUACUGAUUUUACCUUUUGGUAAUGAUGGAAUUUAUGUUGUACAUGCAGAUGAAAGAAAAAUUUCUUACCUUUGGGGCAACUUAUUAGUAGGUGCAAAGGUAAAUAUCCUAAACAUGAAAUUUCUAUUUAAUGAAAGUGGAAUUUCUUACCUUUGGUGCUCUAUUCUUUUUUAAUUUUGGUACAUGUGAUUCCCAUUUCAUGUCUCAAAGUUUUUGUUAAUCACCUCUUGCACUAUUCUAAGAAGGUUUUGAGGUCAUGUAUUACAUAUAAAGUCUCAUCAAUUAAGAAAAAAAAAAAAAAAAGAUGAUAUGAGUUUUCUCCCAUUUUCAUAUAGUAUGGGUGAGUGGUGUUACCAAAGGUCUGAGGUCCUUAAGGAGUUAGAAACCUUUAUCAAUCAAAUCUUCAAUAAAUGAUAAGAGAAAUAAAAUUAGAUAGUGGAGAGAAGAAAAAACUUCAAAUCUAGAAUGAGCCUUUGUUUUAUGAUUUCCAUGUUUCAAAUUGAGCUUUUAAUUUGGUAUCUCAAUCUUUAGUUCUACCUAGUGCUUAUUUUUUAUGAUCUAAAUAGUUGAGCUUUAAUGUUAUUCUACUGAAGAUAUGAGUCUUCACUUUUACCUUGUCUCAACAGUUCUUGCAUUUCUAAGCAUCAUGUGUCAUUCUUUUGAAGGUUAUUCAAUUUUUAGACUCCUACUUCACUCAAAUUUUCUUAUGGGAUUCAAUAAAUUGUCAUCAUUGUAGGAUAUGGGAUAGGAUUGAGAAAUAGGAGCUGAUGUUAUCUACUCUUUGGAGAGAGUGUGGAUGAAUAAAAUGUGAUUCGAUUAUGUGUAAAAAUAUGUUUUAUAUGUAUUUUUAUCUUUUGAUUGAGCUUUUGGGAUGUUUUCUUUUCAUAAUAAGGUUAAAGUUUCAAUAUUUUCUCUUGUAGUUCACACUUCAAAUGAACAUUUGUAAGUUUGAUAUUGUUGUAAGCACUAGUCUUGUAGAUUCUUUUUUUUUGGAUGCUUGUGACAAUUUUUAUCUCAAGAAUAAGAUGAAUUCAUAUUAUUAUUCAUCACAUGUUCUUUCUUUGAAAUCAAAAUAGGGGUUCAUCUUGUGAAAUACUCUUGGGAGUGAAAAAAACCCUUCUUGGGAGCCCUAGAAACUCUUGCAUUCUUGGCAUGAACUUAAAAUUUCAAUCUAUAAUGAGGUAAGAACAAAGUAUUUGUAUUAUUUAGUGGCUUGUUUUGGACAAUAUAUUGCCUGUGACAAGACAAAAUCUCAAUGCAAUCUUAAUUACACGUUUUUUCUUUCUAGAAUCAUUUGAACUUGGAAUUUCAACUUAUGGUUUUAUUUCCUAUGUCUUGAAUUUCAAGAUAUGAGACUUGUUUCAUUAGAAAAGAAAGGAGCUAAAACAUUUGAAAACCUAUGCCAUCAAUGGUUGUUGUUGUUUCAGUUGUGAAGGAAGUUUUCAUAUAUGGAGAGAGACCAAAAGAGGAUUCUCGAUAAGCUUGACACUUCUACCAUUCUCUUCCCCUGGCUACUAAAGUGAAACACCAAUGGGUUUUACUUGAUUUCUAGUUCCAUGAAUUUAUUGAACAUUUGUAAAAUGAAGCAAGACAAAAAUGCUCUCUUCCAUAGAAUUUGAAGUUAUUUGGAGAACAAAAAUUGAGUUGGGGCAUGCUAAUUAAUACUAUUUUAAUCACCUUCACCCAUAAUAUUAAUAUUUAAAUAUAAUUUAGAUAGAUAACCUUUUGGGGUUUUUCUCCCACGCUUCCUAAAAUAUGCAACACUUGAUCUUCACUCUCUCUAUCUUUUUUUUUUCCAUUGCGACCAUGGACUAUGGAGCACCCUUUUUUGAUUGCUCCAACACCUUACCUUUUUCCAACCAUGGAGAACUUUUAACUUUUCUCAAAUAUGAUUAGACUUUUACUUUUUUUUUUUUCAAGUAAACAAAAUUAAAACCCCCUUUUUCUAUUUUUAAUCUAAUUACUUAUGGUUUUAAAUACAUAUAUUUUAACGAUGUAUGUUGAAACUAACUUUCAACUUUAAUGAAUGGAAACAUAAAAAUGAGAGGAAAAAAGAAUAAAAUAUAAAUUUGAAAUCUUUACUAUCAAACUUUUUCAAACAAAGAAUAUAUAGACAAAAGAAAUACAAGUUUUAAAAUAAUUUUAUUAUAUUCUUUUUAAAAAAAAUUUAUUAAAAAAAACAAAAUAUGUGUUUCUAUUUUCAAUUAUUUUAUUGGUUUUAAGAUUAAUAUGGUAUAAAUUAGUCGCAACAAUUAUUUAUGAAAUAUUUGGUCAUUAUUUGUAUUAUAUAUAAAAGGAUAAGGUGUAUGUUUUUUUAACUUUUGUCUUCUAAGAUAGCAAUUUUGAGGCUUGGGACAUACUAACGAUUAUUCAUGAGGGCACUUGGUUGUGAAGUUGUCUAAGAUUCAAAUGCUCAGAGCUAUAUUUGAGAGUUUAAGGAUAUGAGAUGCUAAAACGUUUGCUGGAUUCAUUUUUAAAUUAAGUAAUAUUUUCAACUUGAGGUUUAACCUUGGGGAAAAGAUUCUCUAUUCUAAGGUAGUUAUGAAAAUCCUUAAUUCUCUUCCUAAAAGGUUCAAACACAAGGUAAUUGUUAUAGAAGAAAACAAGAACAUUGACUCCAUGAGAGUUGAUGAAACUUAUAGAUUUUUACCAACUUAUGAGAUGUCUCUACUAUUUUCAAAAGUCUUAGGGUGCAACCUUCAAAGCUUUCAAUAACAAAGGGAAUGAGUUUGAACAUGUUUUUUUUUUUCUUCUUCUUUUUUUCUUCUAUAUUUAUGCUUUUGAUAUCAUGCAUAUCUAGAUUUGCACAUGCUUAUUAAAAGACAUACAUGACUUUUUACUUACAUUGAAUUGACCAAUUUCUCUUUUCUUGGGGGAAUGUAUGAAGGAGAACACGGUGCCUUUAUCCUUAGGAGAAUAUUGAAUAAUAGUGAACAUGACUUUAAUAGUUGAGUAAUAGAUUACAAUACUUAGAGGAUUUAAGAACAUAGGUAGAAUAACAGUCAAAGAGUAAUUUUAAAAGGGAAAUGAGAAAUCUCCCAUAGCAGCCACAAGGGCUUGGACAAAUUUUGGUGUAAAGGUAAGAUUGUUUUAGGUGUGGGAAAUAAUGGAGAGAGUGUCUUGUGAAGGAUUUCUCCCAAACCAAAACCAGAGGACUUUUGGACAACAAAUUCGUCCUUAGUCUUUGCAAAACCACAAUGUCAUUUAACCCUUCCAUCACAAACCAAAGAAACUGACCAUUUAAUUUUCAAUAGAAAUCAGGAGUUCAUGGAAUUUAGUCAUGAUCCUAAUAGGAGUUAAUGUAAUUAAGGAGGUAUUAUUCAAGGACAUGUGUAUGUUAUAGAUAAAGUGAAGGAAGAUAAUGCUCUUGCCUUUUUGGAAGAUGCUAUCCUAGUUUAUAAUUCUUGAGCAAAAGUUCCAUUUGAUUCUAGAACAACAACUCUUUCUUUUUUGCCUUCUUCAUGAAUGCACUAGAAUUAGUACUUAAGGGACAUAGAUCCUCUUUAUCUAUUAGUCCUCCUAUGGGACAAACCUUAGAGAGAAAAAGAAUAUGUACAGUAUUUAAUAUGACAAUUCUAAAUCAUGAAUUAAAAGGAGAUUUAGUUGUUUUAGAGAUGUUAGAAUAUGAUGUAAUUUUAGGCAUAAAUUUUUAUCCUCCCCACCAUGCUAUUAUUGACUAUUUUAAAAGAAAGGUAAAGAUUCAUAUCUUAGGAAGGGAUGUAGUUUAUUUCUUUGAUGAUAAGGGUGUACCAUUUCCUUGUCCUCCAUUAAAUUAGUAUUAUCAAUUAAGAUUAAAGAAAGAUGGUAAAUACUUUUUGACAAGUGUUUAAGUAGAGAUUAAAGGAAAAAAAAGAUUUGCAGUCCUUUCAUGUUAUUAAUUAAUUUAUUGAUGUUUUUUUUGUUUGAAGAAUUACUUGGAUUGUCUCCUAAGAGAGAAUGUAACUUUACCGUUGAAGUUUGUCCAAGUAUAUUUCCUACAUCAAUUACACCCUAGUUAAGUUACGAGCAUUGAAGAUUCAACUUCAAAAACUUCAAGAUAAGGAAUUCAUUAGACGAAGUAAUUCUCCAUGGGGUGUUCCUAUACUAUUUUUUAAGAAGAAAGAUGGUUCUUUAAGUUGUGAAUUGAUUAUAAGAAAUUGAAUGAAGUCACCAUUAAGAAUAAAUACCUUUUGCCAAAGAUUGAUGAUUUGUUUAAUUAAUUAAAGGAUACUAGAUAUUUCUCCAAAACAAGGAAGAGAACAAUCACACUCCUCCCUGACCAUCACCAUCUUCUCCUUUGCCCUCCUUGAUCUCUUCUACCUUAUCCACUUCAUCCUCCAAUACAACCUUUUGAUGACUCAAUUGAUUCCCUUACUUGAAAUCAAAGCGAGCUUGCUCUGUAAAGGAUGCAGUCAGUGUUACAGAGAUAGUAAAAGUCUUACUACAUAUUGCAACAACAUCAACAAUUGAAGAUUUUAUAGUCAAAGCUUAGUUAUCUGUCUCUUGAGACUUUCUAAAGUUGUCACAUAAUCAAUAAUCCCUAAAUUGUGGUUAAGAAGACCAUCCUUUAAUCAACUUUCAAUAUGUGAAAUAGAAAUCCUCUGCCAUAUGUUUAGCUAAUAAGGUGGUCCACCACUACGCCCAUCAUUAGCCACAAAGCUAUUAUGAGACCCACCACAUUGUAAUGCAAUAAAUGUGACUAGACUACUACCAUCACACAUCACAAAAUGGGUCAUUCCCACACAAAAGAGGACCACUGUUUGGAUAAUACAACCACCUACUUGAAAGACUGACCUUCGCACAAAGAGCACCCUUGUGCAUUAAUUAUAAAAUGGACAUGACCCCCUCAUUAGUCAAAUAAUGGUUAAAACUUAAAAGUUGUUGAAAAAACUAUUCAUUGUCCUAACAAUUAUAUAUGUCAUAAUCAUCUCAUAAUGAUUAAAGCCUUAAAGAUGAACAUAAUAGAAAUCAUUUAAAAUAAUACCUAACGAACAUCUCAUUUAUAGUCUUCCCAUAAUCAAUCUAUCAAAAGGUAACUACAAGAAGAAGACCAUAUUUUAGAAAAAGUACACAAAGUGAACUCUAUCUCAUAUCUCUUAUUCCUACUUUAAUCCAUGACAAACUUGAUCAUCUCAAAAGGGUCGACCUAAGCAACCCAACCUUUUCUCAUCAUUCUCGCUCUCUCACUCUUUCUCCCUAAUCUAUUGGAAAACUGUGAUGCCUAGUUCAACCAUAGUCGAAGGAAUGUGUAACAAAUUCCAAAUCUAAUGAGACUUAAUGCAUAGGAUUUGACAAUUUUUAAAAAUAAUUUAUAAUUUAAAACCAAUCUAAUUAAUACUAAAAAGUCAUGAAACUAAAAAAAUUGAUCCAAUUAAUACUAGAAAGUCGACCAAAAUUGAUUUUGAAUGACUUUGUUUGUUUUCUCCUUUACAUCUAACUAUAAACCAAAAUUUAUAAGGUUUUUCAUUAAGCAAAUAGAAUCAAAAUCCAAUAAGACUUGAUGUGUUAGAUCUAUUAACAAGUGUUAAAGAAAAUUAGAACUCAAACACCAAAAAUUACUAUCAAAGAUUCUUGAACCAGAUUUGGUACUUAAAUGACUGUUAUUUCUCUUUUACACAUAAUGAAAUUUAUGUGAAUUUUCUAUGUAGAAAAAUGUACUUCAAAUUAAGCAAAACUUAAUACAUCAGAUUUAUUAAAAUGUUUAGUAGUUUUUUAAUAAAGAAAUAAAAAUUAAAUACCAAACUAAUUAAUAUUGGAAUUUGUGGACAAACUCUUUGACAUAGAACUAUAAUUCUCAAAAUUUUCUAAUUGGACAAGUGAAUUCUCUUCCAAAUUAAACAAGACAUAAUAUAUUAAUAUUGUUAACAAGUUUAUUAAUUUUUAAAAAUAACUUAAAAAUAAAAUAAUAACGUAAUUAUUAUUAGAAAUUCAUAGCAUAAAACUAGUCCAAAAAAACUUUGUUGUUUCUCCUCCACAUAUAAUUAUAAUUUUAUGAAUUUUCUGGUUAGGCAAAGAAACUCUAAAUUAAGCAAAACUCAACAUAUUAGAUUUGUAGAUGAGCCUAGUAAUUUUUUAAAAUAAUUUAAAAUUCAAAAAUAGAAUCAAUAAAAAAAAAAGGAUAAAAAUUAGUCUAGAAUGAACAAUAAUUAUAUUGUUUCUCAUAUGCGCAUAACUAUACCUUCUCAAAUUUUUUUAUUAGGUAAACAUAUGUUAAAUUAAUUGAGCCCAAAUCAAAUGAGAAUUAAUGUUUUAAAUUCUCUAAUUAAUUUACUAAUUUUUAAGAAUAAUUGAGAAUUUGAAAAACUAACUCAAUUAUUAGCAUAGCACUUUGACAAUGGCUAAAUAUUAAAUGCGCACAGGUAAUGCAAAAACUUAACAUAUUUACCACUUUUAUAUAUAUAUAUAAGUGAACUUUAUUGUUUUUAAAUUCACUUUAAGUAAAAUAUUAUUAACCAUUAUUAUUUGUAAAGUAUUAUUAUUCAAUUUUAACAAAAAAAAAAAAAAAGAAUUAUACCUUUAAGAAGAUAUUAAUAUCCAUAUUUUAUUAUAUCUAUUUAAAAUUAUAUCAUUUCUAAUUAAAAAAUUUACUUAUAAUUUUAUUAUAAUAUUAGUAUUGGUAUUUUACAAAAAUUAUUUAUUUUUCAUUAUAUAAUAAUUAUUUUCUAUUUUUAUUAAGACUUGAAUUGAAUUGAAUUGAUAUUAAUAUAAAAUGAGUGUACAAUUUUUAUUUUUAUUUUUGUACAAAAUGAAAAUAGAAAAACUAUUUUUAAAAGCAACUAAAAUUUACUUAUCCAAAAGUGUUUUUGUUUUUUUGCUUUUUGACAAAUAUGUUUAAAAACAACUUGCCAAGUAUUAUUAUUUUUAAGACAUACGUAAAAAACUUAUUUUUUCUUUUUAACUCUAAAAUAAUUUUAGAAACAAGGUUAAACAUACAUGGGCAAACAGAAAUGUAUGUCUUAAAAGAGGCUUAGAAGAGGCUUAACUCCUUCAGAAGUUUACAUAUGCCAACAAAAGAAAAACUUAUCCAAUCCCUCGAUAGUUUUUUCCGAAGCUUUCUCCAUUCAUAAGCAUGGAAUGAUGUGCUUUUCUCCCUUCUUGAGAGCUUCCCUAGCUUCUUAGCAAUCCAUCUGCUACCUUUCCACUACAUCCUUUUCCUUUGUGUUGGCCUUCCUACAAUAUUGUACUCCUUAGGCAAAAUUGUUUUAGUUUCUUAAUUACUUGCUUUAACUUCUCCAAUCCCUACGAAAAAAAAAAAAGUAAUUUUUGUUUGUUUAAUGAUUUUUUUUUGUCUAGUACUAAAUCAAUCCAUCAAAUAAAUGGGUUAAGAUUGUAUUAUUUGGUUAUAAAAGAAGGUGAAUGCAUUAUUUAAAAAAAAAAAACAAUUUUAUGAAUUUUUUAGCUAAGUAAUAAAUUUCAAAUCAAACAAUACUUAAUGUAUUUGAUUUAUUAAUGAGUUUAGUCACUUUUAAAAAUAAUUUGAAAACAAAAUACUGAAGUAAUUAGUAUCAUAGAUUUAAGAUCAAACAUGUUCUACAUAGAACUAUAAUUUUCAAAAUUUUCUAACUAGACAAGUAGAUUCCGAAUCAAGCAGGACACAAUGUGUUAGAUUUGUUAAAAAGUAUAUUAAUUUUCAAAAAAUAAUUUUAAACCCAAAAAACUGUAAGGGAAUUAUAGAACUAUCUUUAUUUUACUCUAAGUAUUGAUAUUCAAGUCUGUGCCAACACAGGAGUUCGGAUUUAAUCUACAGAUCUGUACUUAUUUGAAUAAGAGAUUUGUAGUUUAAUUAACUUCUCCAAUCGCUUAUAGUUUUUUCAGAUGCUUUCUCCAUUCCUAAGCAUGGAAUGUGGUGCUUUUUUCCCUUUCUAAGAGCUUCCCCCACUUUUAAGCAGGAGUCCAUCUGCUACCCUUCCACUUUAUCCUUUUCCUUUGCGUGUACGCCUGCCAAAAUUGUAUUCCCUUAUUCCCUAAUUAGCGAAACUAUUUCAGUUUCUCAAUUAGUUGCUCCAAGUCUCACCCUCCUGACCAAUUUCCUCUUCUUCUCUUGCUUACGUACCUCUCUCCCUAACUCACUCAAAACUAAGAAACAAUGGAGGUUGUUGGAGAGGUUGUUCUUUCUGCUGGUCUUGAAUUGUUGUUGAAAAAGCUAGUCUCCUCUGAGUUGCUCCAAUUUGCUCGCCAACAGAAAGUCUAUUCUGAACUCAAGAAAUGGGAGGACAAUUUGCUGACUGUGAAUGAAGUGCUCGAUGAUGCUGAGAUGAAGCAGAUGACGUCGCCUGCAGUGAAAAACUGGCUAUGCCAGCUCAGAGACUUGGCUUAUGAUGCAGAGGACGUACUGGAUGAGUUCGCCACCGAGCUACUGCGACACAAGUUGAUGGCAGAACGCCCUCAGACCCCCAACACUAGUAAGGUACGAAGCCUUAUCCCCACUUGCUGUACGAGUUUCAAUCCAUGCCAUGUCGUGUUUAAUGUUAAGAUGGGGUCUAAGAUUAAGGAAAUAACUAACCGCUUAGAAGAGCUUUCAACUAAAAAUUUUGGGCUUGGGCUGCGAAAAGCCACAGUUGAGCUGGGUUUGGAGAGAGUUGAUGGAGCAACUUCUACCUGGCAACGACCCCCCACUACAUCUUUGAUUGAUGAACCUGUUCACGGCAGGGAUGAUGACAAAAAGGUUAUUAUUGAGAUGCUGUUGAAGGAUGAAGGCGGUGAAAGCUACUUUGGGGUAAUUCCCAUUGUUGGCAUAGGUGGGAUGGGGAAAACUACACUCGCCCAGUUGGUAUACAGGGAUGAUGAGAUAGUCAACCAUUUUGACCCAAAGGGGUGGGUCUGUGUAUCAGAUGAGAGUGAUAUAGUGAAAAUAACAAAUGCAAUUCUUAAUGCAUUCUCUCCUCAUCAAAUCCAUGAUUUUAAAGACUUUAACCAACUCCAGCUCACAUUGAGCAAGAUUCUGGUUGGAAAAAGGUUUUUGCUAGUUUUGGACGAUGUGUGGAACAUUAACAAUUAUGAGCAAUGGAGUCACUUACAGACCCCCUUUAAGUCGGGGGCUAGAGGAAGUAAAAUUGUAGUAACGACACGUCAUACAAAUGUUGCAUCAUUGAUGAGAGCAGACAACUACCACCACUUGCUCAAGCCUUUAUCUAAUGAUGAUUGUUGGAAUGUAUUUGUGAAACAUGCAUUUGAAAACAAAAAUAUCGAUGAACAUCCAAAUUUGAGAUUGCUUGAUACAAGGAUCAUAGAGAAAUGCAGUGGCUUGCCCUUAGCAGCAAAGGUGCUCGGUGGGCUUCUACGCUCCAAACCACAGAAUCAAUGGGAACAUGUACUAAGUAGCAAAAUGUGGAAUAGGAGUGGUGUUAUCCCAGUGCUAAGAUUAAGCUAUCAACAUCUCCCUUCACAUCUAAAAAGAUGUUUUGCUUAUUGUGCAUUGUUUCCAAGGGACUAUAAAUUUGAGCAAAAAGAGCUAAUUUUAUUAUGGAUGGCGGAGGGUUUAAUUCAUGAAGCAGAAGAAGAAAAAUGCCAAAUGGAAGAUUUAGGUGCUGAUUAUUUUGAUGAAUUAUUAUCUAGAUGUUUUUUCCAACCAUCAAGCAAUAGUAAAUCCCAAUUUAUAAUGCAUGAUUUGAUCAAUGAUCUAGCUCAAGAUGUUGCUACAGAAAUAUGCUUCAAUUUAGAGAAUAUACAUAAAACUUCUGAAAUGACUCGUCAUUUGUCAUUCAUACGUAGCGAGUAUGAUGUAUUCAAAAAAUUUGAAGUCCUUAAUAAACCGGAGCAAUUACGAACAUUUGUUGCAUUACCCGUCACUGUAAAUAAUAAGAUGAAAUGUUACUUGAGUACUAAGGUGCUUCAUGGCUUGUUGCCAAAGUUGAUACAAUUAAGGGUGCUCUCUUUGAGUGGUUAUGAAAUAAAUGAGUUGCCAAAUUCGAUUGGUGAUUUGAAACAUUUACGGUAUCUUAAUUUGUCUCAUACUAAACUCAAAUGGUUACCUGAAGCAGUGAGUAGUCUCUACAAUUUACAAUCAUUGAUAUUAUGCAAUUGUAUGGAACUCAUUAAGUUGCCUAUUUGCAUUAUGAAUUUAACCAAUUUUCGACAUCUUGAUAUUAGUGGUUCAACUAUGUUGGAAGAGAUGCCUCCACAAGUUGGAAGCUUGGUAAAUUUGCAAACAUUGUCUAUGUUUUUUCUAAGCAAAGAUAAUGGGUCACGAAUUAAAGAAUUGAAGAACUUGUUGAAUCUCCGAGGAGAGCUUGCCAUUAUAGGGUUGGAAAAUGUUUCGGAUCCAAGAGAUGCAAUGUAUGUCAAUUUGAAGGAGAUACCAAAUAUUGAAGACUUAAUUAUGGUAUGGAGUGAAGAUUCUGGUAAUUCAAGGAAUGAAAGUACUGUGAUAGAGGUCCUUAAGUGGUUGCAACCUCAUCAAAGUUUGAAAAAACUGGAAAUUGCAUUUUAUGGUGGCUCAAAAUUCCCGCAUUGGAUAGGAGAUCCAUCCUUCUCCAAAAUGGUUUGUUUGGAACUUACAGAUUGUAAAAAUUGCACAUCAUUGCCAGCACUUGGGGGUUUACCUUUCCUCAAAGACUUGGUGAUUGAAGGAAUGAAUCAAGUUAAAAGCAUAGGUGAUGGGUUCUAUGGGGAUACUGCGAACCCUUUUCAGUCUUUGGAAUAUCUGAGAUUUGAGAAUAUGGCAGAAUGGAACAAUUGGUUAAUUCCCAAAUUGGGACAUGAGGAAACUAAAACAUUGUUUCCUUGCCUUCGUGAGCUUAUGAUAAUAAAAUGUCCAAAACUGAUCAACUUACCUCAUGAGUUACCGUCCCUUGUGGUUUUUUUUGUUAAAGAAUGCCAAGAAUUGGAAAUGUCAAUUCCACGACUUCCACUUCUUACUAAAUUAAUUGUAGUUGGCUCGUUAAAAAGUUGGGAUGGUGAUGUCCCCUCACUUACCCAAUUAUACAUUUGGGGAAUUUCGAGGCUGAGUUGAUUAUGGGAAAGGCUUGCACAACGCUUAAUGGUCCUUGAAGAUCUGGGAAUAAAUGAAUGUGAUGAGUUGGCAUGUUUGAGGAAGCCUGGAUUUGGACUGGAAAACCUUGGUGGUCUGCGACGUUUAUGGAUCAAUGGGUGUGAUGGGGUUGUAUCGUUGGAAGAGCAAGGGCUGCCUUGCAAUCUUCAAUACUUGGAAGUGAAGGGAUGCUCCAACUUAGAGAAGCUGCCAAAUGCAUUGUACACCCUCGCAUCUCUUGCAUAUACGAUAAUUCAUAAUUGCCCGAAACUCGUGUCAUUCCCAGAGACAGGUUUGCCGCCCAUGCUAAGAGAUCUUAGUGUGAGAAAUUGUGAGGGUCUAGAGACACUACCUGAUGGAAUGAUGAUUAACAGUUGUGCCCUUGAGCGGGUGGAAAUUAGAGAUUGUCCAUCUCUUAUUGGCUUUCCGAAAAGGGAGCUACCUGUCACGCUUAAGAUGCUGAUAAUUGAAAAUUGUGAGAAACUAGAGUCUCUACCUGAGGGAAUUGACAACAACAACACUUGUCGUCUUGAAAAGCUACAUGUAUGCGGAUGUCCAUCUCUCAAGUCCAUUCCAAGAGGCUAUUUUCCCUCCACACUUGAGACGCUUAGCAUUUGGGGCUGCCUACAAUUGCAGUCGAUUCCAGGGAAUAUGCUACAAAACCUCACAUCUCUUCAAUUUUUGCACAUAUGUAAUUGUCCAGAUGUGGUGUCCUCUCCAGAAGCGUUCUUGAACCCCAACCUUAAAGCACUUUCUAUUACAGAUUGUGAGAAUAUGAGGUGGCCUCUAUCUGGGUGGGGCCUACGCACACUCACCUCACUUGAUGAGCUCGGGAUUCAUGGCCCAUUCCCAGAUCUGCUUUCUUUUUCCGGCUCUCACCUACUUCUUCCUACAUCUCUCACCUAUCUCGGGUUGGUAAAUCUCCACAACUUGAAAUCCGUAACCUCCAUGGGUCUCCGAAGCCUUAUGUCUCUUAAAAGUCUUGAAUUCUACAGUUGCCCUAAGCUCCGGUCUUUUGUGCCAAAGGAAGGGCUACCACCAACACUUGCAAGACUUGUAAUCUGGGAGUGUCCUAUUCUAAAAAAGAGGUGCCUCAAGGGCAAAGGAAAUGAUUGGCCCAAGAUUGGCCACAUCCCCUAUGUGGAAAUAGAUGAGAUUGUACAACAAUAACAGCUUCAAUCAGGUACUCCCAAUUCUUUGUAAUCUUCCAUCAAAGGUUCUACUUACUUAUUGCUGCUUUCUCUGUAAUAUUUGAGUCUCCCUUUUGUUCCGUAAUCAGGGGCUGCCGUGGUCGACAAUAAGUUGUGGAGUUUUGUGCUCAAAACCUCGACUCUCAUGAAUGUGCCCUUAGCUUUUUCCUUAUUUUUCCAAAGGAAGGUCCCUGCCCUCUUCCAAAACAGAGGUACUUAUUAAUGCAUUGAAUUGUAAGUUUUGAUAGAACACAAUUUUCACCAUUUUCAACUAAAAAUAUCGCUUUCAUUUUCUGAUAAUGAUGGAAUUUGUGCUGCACAUUGAUGUAGAUGAAAGCAAAAUUUCUGGCCAUUGGUGCAGCUUAUUUGCAAGGGGAAAUAUCCUAAACAUGAAAGAGUUGUACUAAAUGCACCAUUCUUUUUUCAUUUCAGGGUUUACACUUUCAAUUCCAGUCUCCACUGUCAAUUGUUUUUGGUAAUCAGGUCCAAAAGUAGUUUUAAGGCCCCUAUCAAAUUUGGCACCAACUUCAUUUCCUACCAAGGGAUGGUCAGUUUUAGGGCCCAACUUCAUUUCCUACAAUAAGCUAAACAGUUUUGUGCUCAAAAACUCACCUCUCUUGAUUGUGUUCUUAGCUUGUUCCUUAUUUUCUUAAGAAAGGCCUUCCUACCAUAGUUUAAUAACUGGAUAUUUGGCACUUUCAACUCAAAAUAUUGCUUUCAAUUUCCAAUAAUGAUGUCUUGUACAUAUAGGAUGGCAGGAAAAAGGAUUGAUGUAGAUAAAAGGGUAAUUUCCUGGCAUUGAUGCACCUUAUUCAUAUCUGCAAGGGGAAAUGCCCUACACAUGAAAGGAGCUGUAAUAAAUGCACCAUUCUUUUUUAAUCUUGGGGUUUACAUGUGAUUCCAGUUUCAUGUGUACAAUUUUUUGCUAAUCAGGUCCAAAAGAAAUUUUAAGGCCCUAUCAAAUGUGGCACCAACUUCACUUCCUACCAAGGGAUGGGCAGCUUGGCAAACUUGCAGAACCUAACCCACAACAAGAGGCCUUAUAUCUGGUGCUUCAUUUUGCUUAAAGCCAGUAUUCUAUUUCAAUUACCAUUAAUUAAUAGAAGGUAUUUCCGAUUUUGUUUUAGUUCUAUUUCAUUCCAAUCUAAAUUUGCAUCUUAGUAUCUUAAUAAAGCCCUUCUAUCUGAUUUUGUUUUGUACUUUAUUCACACAGGAAUUCUCCCUUACUAAACACCAAGGUUUUCUGGGAUUCUGCCAUCAGCUUGGAAAUAUGUAUUGCAAAAUGGGGGAGAGGUAUAACUUCUUUGUUGAUGAGAUUUUUUUCCCUUUUUUCUGCUUUUCCACUUAAUUUUUUUUGACUAAUUACAUGACAUUGUGAAUGCUGUUGGCCUAGACCCUUACUACUGGCAACUGGUAUGUCAAGCAGUUCAGGAUGCAGAGAAAGGGCAUAUAUCCCAGGUUGUUCUCUUUCUUAUUCUCUCUCUUCUCACUUGUAUUGAUUUAAAAUGUGCUCUUUCAAAUUAAGGUCUUUGUAAGUAAGUUGUUGAAGGUAAAAUCCCCUAAUUGGGGCACAUGAUGAUUGUAACCUAGCCAGGUAAGGUGAUAUUUUAUUACUGUCUUUCUAGCUUUUACAUUUGCAUAUUUCUAUAUGGUUGCUUAGGCUUCUGCACCAGAAUUCUUUUGACUUGGUGCUACAUAAUUUUUUUUUAUUUUUAUCAUACUGUUUGCUACAAUGGGCAUGCUCUGCCCAUGUGAUACCAGAAGGUGAAGGUUGUGGAUUAGUAAAAGACUUGACCCUGAUGAUUCAUGUUACAAACUGAUGAAGAAGAGAGUCCACUAAUAUCUCUAGUUAGUCUUUGUAAAAUAAUUACUUAGGCCCUCUUCCAUAAUCAGUUUGUAUUUGGAGUCUCAUUUGUAUUUGGAGGCUCACUUCAUGUAGCAUUAAUCUGCCCAAUCUAAUAGGGAUAAAAGGCCCUCUUUCAUAAUCAGUUUAGGGUUGAAGAGAGGGCAAUUAUUGGUUCAAUCAACAUAGGGAAAUGAGAUUGAACCUCAUGCCCUCCACUUCCCACCUUUUCUUUUAUUUUUUAUUUUUUUUCUCUUUAUAUUGAACCUCAUGACCCUCUAGAAAUGCCUCUCAGAAUCAUGGCAAGAAAUUGGUGAAUUGUAAAGAAUAUUUGUGAUGGUAGGAAUGUUAAGAUUGUAGAAUUAAAAAAAUAAUCUGAUGAAUUUACUGAAGACGGAUUUGAUAAGGGGUGAAAUAAUUUCUGUAAGGGAAGGAAAUUGCCUAACCUCUAGAGGGAAGAGUGGAUCCUUUCCAUGCUAUGAGGAGUUUGAAAAGAGGAAGAGUUAAAGAAACUGAAAUGACAACCCUUGGAUCCUCUUAAUCUGUAGAAUUUAAGGAGUAUGCAAGGCAAAAGUUAUUGAAUAGCAGGACGUGUAUUCUUUUGGACUUGAUAACAACGAGAAGAAUUUUAGUGGAGGUAGAAUCAAUUAGGCCUGCCCAUGUGGCAUCUCCAGCAUUGCUUUGACUCUAAAGCUUUUUCAGAUUCUUCCUACUUCUUUUCCAUUCUUUGUCAUGUGUUUGGCUGCACCUGCAUGUUCUUUGUCGAUAUACAUGACAAAUAGUUAUGUUAUUAGUGCUUUUCAUUUAGUGCUUCAAUUUAUAUAUAUACAUAUAUAAUCAGAAUUUAUUCCUUGAAUAUUAAUCUAUAAAGAAUCCAUAUACCCUUGAUUUUCACUUCUCUUUGCAUUCCGUACUUAUGCAAUCUGUAAUUAUUGUUGCAUUAGGGUUAUUCUUCAGAUGUUGAAGAUGUGGAUGAGGUUCAUACACCAGAUUCUGACUAUAUUAAAUAAGCUAAAUCUUGGCAAGCAUAGGGGGCCACAAGUAAAUAGUUUUUCUUUCCAUUAAGAUGGUAUACACAAACACAUAUUUAUGUGUUGGUGUCUGAUUUUAUAAUUUUCCACUCCUUAUGUUAUAUAAUUUAUUUCCAGAUUAGCAUUUCACAAAUGCAUUGAUGAAGUUACAGAGAGCUGGUAUAAUAGGGGAGUUUCUAAGUAUUUUUGUAAAUGAGUUGGUAAAUUCUUGUCUCCUAAUUGUACUUUGUCUUGUUUCUUAUCUUCUUUUUUGCUUCACAUUUGGUCAAUGGAGAAUAUCCUAUUGCAGUCCUUUUCCACAUAAAAGAAUUGCGAUGGUGUAAGGCUGAAUGAGUCCUAAGCUUCAACCCUUAUUGCAAGAAGAAUAGAGAAAGGACAUAUUCAUCCAUUGAAAGAUUCAUAUUUUCUCUUAAUAGGGGAAUGAGCAGAGAUCAUGUUUCCCUCCUUAUAUGACAAAUUUUGCUUCUACGCCUUUGCUAAAUUUGAAAAAAAAAAUUAUUUUUUAUUUUUUUAUAAUAAUUAUAAACUAAUUUCCCCAUUAUAUAGUGUGUAGCACGGCUUAAAAGGUUCCAUUCUUGUGAAGUGAAAGAAAUACAAUCACCUUUUGCACUAUUCUUCGUUGAUUUUGGAGUAAUGCAUUAUAUAAAGUUUCAUCAAUGUUUCCAUGAUAUUUUAUGGUGAAUCACAUCCUUAAGACACAAAAAAGUAUGAUUUUAUUAUUAUUAUUAUUUAAUUUGUUCUGUUUUUGAUAUGAAAUGAGUUUUUUCUACUCAUUUUCCCCCUUUUUAUUUGGUAUGGGCAGGUGGUCUUAAUAGGGGUUCAAAGAUGUCUCUUAUUGGCUUUCUAGAAGGUGAGCUACCCACAUUGACCCACCACCAACACUUGCAAGAGUUGUAAUGGGGAGAUGUCAUAUUCUAAAAGAGAGGUGCCUCAAUGACAAAGGAAAAUAUUAGCCUAAGAUUGCUCACAUCCCCUAUAUGGAAAUAGAUGACAUUAUAAAACUACAACAAGUUCAACCAGGUACUCCCAAUAUAUGGAAAUAGUUGUGCCCUUGAGUACCUGAAAAUUAAAGAUUGUCCAUCUCUUAUUGGCUUUCCGAAAGGGGAGCUACCUGCCACCCUUAAGAAGCUGAUAAUUAUAAAUUGUGAGAAGCUAGAGUCUCUACCUGAGGGAAUUGACAACAACAACACUUGUCAUCUUGAAUAUCUACAUGUAUGGGGAUGUCCAUCUCUCAAGUCCAUUCCAAGAGGUUACUUUCCCUCAACACUUGAGACCCUUUCCAUUUGGGACUGCCAGCAAUUGGAGUCGAUUCCAGGGAAUAUGCAGCAAAAUCUCACAUCUCUUCAAGUUUUGCAAAUAUGUAAUUGUCGAGAUGUGUUGUCCUCUCCAGAAGCGUU